Molecule: long non-coding RNA, 164977 nt
Filed under: Glycine max (soybean)
Lineage: Eukaryota; Viridiplantae; Streptophyta; Magnoliopsida; Fabales; Fabaceae
Description: long non-coding RNA (GMAX_LNC003544)
Source: RNAcentral
AAAGACAAACCUAAAUGGGCAUGAUGAAGAAGCAAAAUUCGGAUUUUUUCAUCAUAAACCAAUAUUCAAGAAACAUAUUCCAAUUCCAGUAUAUAAACCUGUACCAAAGCCAUUUCCAGUGUAUAAACCUAUACCAAAGCCAGUUCCAGUUCCAGUGUACAAGCCUAUUCCAAAGCCAGUGUAUAAGCCUAUUCCAAAGCCAGUUCCAGUGUACAAGCCUAUACCAAAGCCAGUUCCAGUUCCAGUGUAUAAGCCUAUUCCAAAGCCAGUGUACAAGCCUAUUCCGAAGCCAGUGUAUAAGCCUAUUCCAAAGCCAGUUCCAGUGUACAAGCCUAUACCAAAGCCAGUUCCAGUUCCAGUGUAUAAGCCUAUUCCAAAGCCAGUGUACAAGCCUAUUCCGAAGCCAGUGUAUAAGCCUAUUCCAAAGCCAGUUCCAGUGUAUAAGCCUAUUCCAAAGCCAGUUCCAGUGUAUAAGCCUAUUCCAAAACCAGUGUACAAGCCUAUUCCAAAGCCAGUUCCCGUGUAUAAGCCUAUACCAAAGCCAGUUCCCAUUUAUAAGCCAAUUCCCAUUUUUAAGCCAAUACCGAAACCAGUUCCCAUUUAUAAGCCAAUUCCCAUUUUUAAGCCAGUACCGAAACCAGUUCCCAUUUAUAAGCCAAUUCCAAUUUUUAAGCCAGUACCAACACCAAUUCCUUUUUUUAAGCCUAUACCAAAGCCUGUUCCUAUUGUUAAACCUAUUCCUAUUCCAGUUUUUAAACCCAUACCUAAACCAUUUCCAAUUGUUAAACCUAUCCCUUAAGCCAAAGUCAUUUUUUAAGCCAGAGACUUUCUUCAGAAAACCUAUUCCUAAACUUCACCCAAAUCUGAUAAAGCACGGUCUUCUACAUUUUCCAAUUCACAAUACAAUUCCUACAAUUUCAACUCCAUAAGAUGAUUUGGCCGUGUCCUAUAAAAUUAUUGUACUUAGAACGUUAUCCCAUUCUAUUUCCAAUAUAGCUACGUUUGUUCUAAAACAUCAACGGGGUUUCUGUAGAAAUCCUAUCGUACUCUUGUGCAUUGUAUUAGAAUAUAUGCAGUUCAUUUGCCUCAAUAAUCUUCUCAGCAUUGCCGUUGUAAAUUGAUUUGUAUGUAUUAUUCCAAGAAUAGAACUAAUUCUCUAUUUUUGGUUUAAAUAAUAUUUGUAUUUCCUUUCAAUAUUUUGUAUUACUCCAUUUUCAGCAGGGCUCCACGUACAAAACUAACCCUAAACUAACCUUGAUUAAGGAAUUAAAAGAAAACAAUGUGUAAAUCAUAGAAAAACACAAAAAGAAAAAAUUUGGGAAACGUAAUUUGUAGUCUUCUAAUAAUUUUUUUAUAUUCUUAAAUAGUCCUUAAUUAGUAUUCUUAGGACACUUGUUAACAUUUGUAAAAAAAAAAAAUUAACUUGCAAAAGUUUUGAUGUUUAAAAAGAAAAAAAUGACCUCCUGGAAGUGAUCCAUAUUAACUUCUUAUUACAAGUUACACAGCAUAAACUAAUAUAUGUACGAAUUGAUGGAAAUCGACAAUCGUGAUGUUUGUGAUAAUGUUUUAAAUUUUCAUUUUAACAUUUAGCACCGUCUAUUUUAUGUACAGAAAUGUGGACUCAAUUUCUGAUUUCAGCUUUCACCAUUUCGUUUGUUUUAUUUGUGAACGAUAUGUUGAAAGAGAAAGUAAAAGUAUCCCACCAACUUACCCUAGUUCUUAGUAAUCAUUGGUUACGUAAUGCAGGAUGAAAUCUGCUCUCAUACAUGUGUUGAUCAACUUUAACGAAAUUAAACUAUAUAUAUCUCGAGUAUGUAAAUGAAUGGCAAUCGUAAUAAUUUGUAAUAUAUUUGAAUACACAAGAUUUAUUUUAUUUAACAAUCAUGCAUAUAUCUCUUUUUUUAAAGGCAAAACCAUGAAUUAUUAUAAAUAAAAGGCCACAAUGUGUGACUCAAAACAGAUUGCACGACAAAGAUAAGGAAAGCCAAAAAAGUCCUAACAGACCAUCUGCAGUCCAUAGGAUAUGGACUAUUACACCAAUUGGCAAAAGCAACACCACUAGCAAAAGGAUUCUUAUAUCUAAUCCAUGUCCACGAGAUUCCCUAAAUAUGCAACAGAACUGAAGAGAAAUGAGCAGCCUGAUUUUGAAAAAUGACCUUUUUCUUAGCCAAAUGCAUUCUGUUAAUUUAAACACUAUCAAUAUUUUUUAUUUCUUUUUUCUCAUCACAUUAUAAAUCCUAUUAAGUCUAUAUUUUUUUUUGCUCUCAAGGUGUUCAAUGGGUGAUAGGGAUACUGCUCGUCAUGUACCAUUUUUCUUCCACCAAAUAGAAAUCCAGGCUGCACGUAAUGUUGCUGAAGAUCAUAAUGCUGCACCAUAGCAAACACCCAACCACUUAUAAAUUGCAUUACAUAAUUGAUAGAAAAUUUACAACUUAAAAAUAAAUGAGAGAUCGUUUCACCACCUGAAUCCACGAUCCCCCCCCGCAUCAAUGCAUCACGGGUUGGCAAACGUCCAAGGAGCAGCCUUCCAGGAAAAAACCAGAAUUUGAGGGAGAUGAAGUGAUGAUGGAUCUAAUUAAGACCCGAGGUGAGUGAGGAAAAGUUAUUUUGAAAAUAAUUUUAAUGCAUAAAAAUGAGAAAGGGGUUCAAACAUAUAAAAAGGUGUAAAAUAUAAAAUUUUAAGAUAAAUAUGUAAGACUUUAUUAAAAUAAGUAUGUAUAUUUAUUUAUCAUCAUAUGAAAAAUAUGUCAAAGAGUUGAAAUACAUAAAAUUAAGAGUGCAAAAUAUAAUUUUAAAAAAAUAAUGUGAAUUUAUUAAAAUGAGAGAGUAAAUUUGCCCAUCCUCAAUCAAACAUAGUACGCCAGUGGGGACAUAUAGACUUCCAAAAUGUGUUGAGCAAAUUAUCUAGAUUGUGUAAAUCGGGACCAGGAGAGGAGCAGAAGACUUUAUAAACAGAAGCUACUAGGAAAAAAAGGAGAACUCAUGCCUCCCCAUUUCCAUGAUGAAAUCUCGAGAAUCCUAUGUAAUAAGUUUUUAUUAUUAUAAGUUGCGAUUAAUUCCUUAUUAGUGGUAUGUAUGUUUUAGACUUGGAAAGUCAUCUUUGACUAAAGUGCUUCUUCAGUUUUGGAGUUGAAAGAUCAAAUAUUCAAUGACAUCAAUGGGUGAUAAUGACUACUAAAUGCAUUCAUGAUGGUAUAAUAUCUAUAUAUAGCACAUGUGUUUGAUCCCUGAACCCAUAUCUUUCAUUUCGUUUGAUAUACCAUCUACAAAGAGAGUGAGAGUUUGAAAGAACUAAAACAAAGUAGCUCUUUCAUGACAAUGAUUGAAGGUAUAUUUUGAUUUUGUUUUCUACAUUUCUUAUUGACUUAUGUUUAGUUUUGUUGUUUGUAAUAUCACAGGUUUGUUAUUUUAGUCUUUCAGUUGGUAUCAGAGUCUCAGUUACCUCUGCCAUGUUCAUUUUUGAUUUUCAGUAUUGUUGGUGUUUAGAGCCUUGUUUGUUACAAAUAAGAUUAGAAAUAAUCUUUAUUUUAAUUGAUUUCUUUAUUUUUUGGGUUUUGAAUCGUGUAAAACGGUACCUAAAUGAGUGAAAAUCGAUCGGGUCUGUAUGUGGGUUGAUUGACCUUCUAGAGGUUGAAGACGAUGAACAAUUAUUUUCUAUUCGCUUAAAAAAAGAAGGGUAAACAGACCAUGUCGGCACUGUCUGGGUCUAGAACUAGUGACCUUUAGUUUAAGGGAUGUCAUGUGAGUCAUUGGGCCGUUUAAGGUUCUUUCCUAUUUAUUCAUUUCCCGUAUCUUAUAUGCUUAUACGAUUCUGUUUACUUUUGUAAUUUGUGCAGUUUUGAUUUGUUUUAUGCAUGAAUACAUUCUAGAAAUGUUUAUUUUGAGCAUAUAUAUAUAUAUAUAUAUAUAUAUAUAUAUAUAUAUAUAUAUAUAUAUAUAAUCAAAUGCAUAAUAUUAUAUUUCAAUUAUGCAAUUGUAUAUGAGAAUUUUAUUCAUCAUUGUAUUAUAUCUUGAUCUUGACGUGCUUUAAAUAAUUUAUUUUCACAUGAUUAAAUUUUAUGUCUAAGUGAUCUUUAUAAUUUUGAUUAACUAUGGAUUAGCCACAACAUCUAUAAUUUGAUUAAAAUUAUAUAUUGAGUUGUUUAAAGAUCAUAUAAGGAAUUAAGCAUAAUAUUAUGAUUAAUUGUACUUUAUAUAUUGAAUUUUAUCCCAUAGGAAUUUUUAUUAUAUUUGUAUGGUUAAUUUAGAUAAAAUAUCAUAUUAUUUUUCAUGGUUUACCCACAGGGAUCAUGAGGUGAUUUAUAAUUUGGUUGUUUUAUCAUAAAGUAAAUAUUUGCAAUAGAAAAUCGAAUUAUUUUCAUGUUGGACCCGUAAAGCUUGAACUUGAAUAUGUAAUUUGAUUAUUCUAUCAUAAAGUCUAAUUGUAUCUUAUUGGAUUAAAAAUUUAACCCACAAACAAUUUUUAUGUCAUAAGAUUCAAGUUUCUAGUAUGUUUACAUUGUAAAACUUACAAAUAAGAUUAAUAUGCCUCAAAUUUUGACGUAAGCCUUUGGAUUUUUGCAGCUUCUCAAAUUGUUGAUGUUUUUUAUAUUCAAUGUGAUGUUCCUCAACUCAAAGGAGAUAACUAUAAGAUAUGGAAGGAGAAAAUUCUUCUACAAUUAGGGUGGAUGGAUAUAGAUUAUGCUAUAAGGAAAGACAAAUCACUUGCAAUCACUAAUGAAAGUAGCCCAACUGUUGUUGCGCUAUAUGAGCAGUGAGAGUGAUCCAACUGGCUCAGUGUGAUGUUCAUUAAGACCAAAAUCUCGGCUAGGAUAUGUGGUUCUGUCGACUAGCAUAAAAAGGUCUGAGACUUGCUUAAGGCUAUUGAUGAUCAGUUCAUCACUCAGUUAAGGCUUUAGUAAGUACCCUUAUCAUGAAGUUCUCCUUUCUCUGGCUCACUAGUGUGAAAGAUGUGUGUGAGUAAAAAUGAAAAUGUGAAAUAUUUCAACUCAACUUAAGAAACUGGAGGUUGAUAUGUCAGAGUCCUUCCUGAUGCACUUCAUUCUAAACACCUUUCCAUUGGAAUAGGGGUCGUUUAAGAUUUUCUACAACACACAUAAGGACAAAUGGUCUAUUAAUGAAUUAAUGAUCUUGUGUGUUCAAGAAGAAAAAAAGCUUGUAAUGGAGAUGAGUGAGAGUGCAUUGCUGGCAACUGCUUGUGGGAAGGACAAAGCUACUAAGUAUCAAGCUAAUAAGAAGGGGAAUGGUAGAAUACCACCUCAAACUGAUAUUAAGAAGGUGACAAAGUGUUUCUUUUGUAAAAAGAAGGGACACAUGAAGAAGAAUUGCCUUAGAUUUCAAAAAUGACUUGAAAAGAAAGGUAAAUCAAUCUCAUUAGUAUGUUAUGAAUCUAAUAUGACUUGUGUUAAUAUUACGCAUGUGUUUGGUCCUUGAGCUCAUAUCUUUCAUUUUCGUCUGAUACACCAUCUACAGAGAAAGUGAAAGCUUGGAAGAACCCAAACAAAACAACUCUUUCAUGACAAUGACUGGAGGUAUAUUUUGAUUCUAUUUUCCGCCACUCCAAGAAAAAUCAUUAUUUCUGACAGAAUAUUUCCCAUGGAAAAUAUUCCUUCAAAAAUUUUUAUUUUACCACGAAAUUUACUGAAGGAAAAAUUUCCGUUGGAAAUGUUUAGAAAAUCGAUAGAUCUUAUUGACGGUCAAUUUUUUCGUCAAAAAAUUAAUAUUUUCGAAGGAUUAUUCCGAUGGAAUAGAGAUCCGUCAGAAACUAAAAAUUUGAUAACAAAGCACGAGAACCCUAGCUGUUUCAGUGUUUCAUUUUUUUGCUUUCUUCUCCCGCUCGUCCCCCAUUUGUGCCUUUCAUGAAGACCAACUAAGAAGCAUUUCAUUGUUGAUUUUCGUAUUUGGUUUGUAAUUUCAAUUUCGCAUUCUUCUCCCCCUGACCGUAAUUGUUGUUGGUUUUCCCUCUAUUGCAGUGACACUCGUCUGUGUCGAGGAAAAGUCACCUUCACGACCUCUAACGGUGUCGUUCCGACGUUCUGUGUCAAUUCACCUCUCACAGGUAUCAUUCGUGUGUCCGCUCUCGCAUUCUGUUUGGCUCAUUCGCGUGUUGCAUUCGCCUCUCACAAUAUGUGAUUAUUGCUUUUUUGAGUGAAAGAAACCUUCAAUUCUUCAAUUAAAAAUGAUAAUCCUCCACAAGGAAAACAAGAAUGACAAGUUCAUUAUGUUGAUAUGAAGAUUUAUGAAGUAGGGAUUAUAAAGUUGUAUUUUAAAGUUGACAAAUUGAAAAUGCUCGUAUGAUGUUUGAAGAAAAUCCAGACCCAAUUGUUGGUGGUUCUCAUCAUCUUCUGUGCUAUGGGUUUUGUUUUUUUCAUUAUACUGUAAUUGAUGUCUGUUUUAUAUGAUGUUUGUUGGUCACAUUGUGUCUACUGAUUGAGUAUAACUAUAGAAUGACUACAUUCUUGUUCUACUUUGGUCAUUUACCUCAUUUUCUUUGUCUGCAUCAUUGUUGGAUAAUAUUAGACCCACUUACCUUGUGUCUACCUCUGAAUGUGUCAAUAAGUAACACCUUAUUUUCUCUCCAACUAUUCAUUAUUUUGUUUUCCAUUUGAAAUUUUUUUGGUGGCCAAUUGAAUUAAGGUCCUGGACUGGUUUUUGGAAAUCCGCCCAAACAACACAAAUACUUCAUUAAUAUUCUUUAUUUGUUUUUAUCUCACUUAGCUUUAUAAUAUCAGUGACAUUAGCAAUAAUAUUAAUAGCUUAUUUCUCCUCUCUUUCUACUUCUCGAUGGCUAUUUAUUCCCCUUACGUGUGUAAGGAUUUCUCCAUAAACAAAAUUGCAUUUGCUCGUGAACAGACAAAAUCACAAAAUCUGAGCAAUUGUAUUCAACUUUUUUGCCAGGCUAAGCUAUGUCCUAGUGAUGUUUGAUAAAUAUAGCAAGAGCAAGUGGUUCUGAAAGGAUGAAACAAAAAUAUUCUUGUAAACCAAACAAAAACUUAGAAGAUGUGUUGAAUACUUAUCAAAACCUAUCAAUAACAUAGCAAACUGACUCAAAAGAUAGAUUUUAUUUAGUGGCCACAAAUGUGAGAAACCAACAUUUAAAGGAUUUACCGUAUGGUUCGAUGAGUUACGUUAAAGAAUGACACACAUACUUUGUCAAUGGGUACAAAUUCCAUACCCAAGCAUGGACUUCUGGGAAGCAAACAAUAAAUAGUGGGGUUCACGUAAAAGGCCUUAUAGAAGAAGACACAUAUGAUUUUUAUGGGGUCAUUCAACAUAUAUAUGAGUUAGAGUAUAAUACUACGAGCUAUCCUAAGCGAGUAGUAUUAUUUUAUCGUCAUUGGUUUGAUCCAACGAGUAGAGGAACAAGAGUUGAUCCUAAAUAUGGCACGGUAGAAAUUCGAAUGGAUAGAAGUUAUAAUUUGUUUGACCCAUUCAUUAGUGCACAUAGUGUAAGGCAAGUGUAUUAUAUGCCAUAUCCAACAACAAGAAGGGACAAGCGUGGUUGGUGUGUUGAUUAAAACAAAGCAAAGGGGUUACAUAGAAUCAAAUCAUGUACAAGAUGAUGUGCCUUACCAAGUUGAGGAAAUGUCACAUGUCAACAAAGUCAUUGAAGUUGAAAGUAUUUCUGGAUUGCAAGAUUUAAGAGGUGGUGUUGAAGAAGUAGACAUUCCUAAUUUGUUGACAAAUGAAGGGGAAUCAGAAGACAAUGAAGGAGAAUUAGAAGAUGACUUUGAAGUUUAUAAUUCUGAAGAGGAUUAGACAUUGAUGUUUGUUAGUCAGUUAUAAUAUUUGUUAUUAGUGACAUGUUUGUUUUCUUCUAAUACUUCAAAACUUUGUUGGUGUAUUUUAUUUUUGUUGUGAUAUGAAAGUUUGUUAGUUAUCUAAUUUUCAUUUACCCCAAUAUUCUGUUUGAGUGUUUAUGUUAUUAUAUUAUUUUUGUAUAUAUAGAUAUGUCAUCAGGUGGUGCUGACCCUCCCCGACCCCCGUCACAUCACUCCAGUGGGAAAAGGACAACUGCGAAGAAAAGAUGAUAUGUGGUUAGACUAUUACUGCGUCGAGGUAGUCUACUAUCAUCUACCACAUCCCCAUCUUCUGUGUCUAUGCCAGUUAGGCCUCCUGAUGUUGCACCUACACCAUCUCCACCUCCGACUGAAGCUAGACAAUCUCCAUCUGAUGUUAAUGCACGUGGACUGUCCCCGAUACUUGCAUUCACACCAUUUCCAUCAUUGGUGGAAGCACGUGGACCAUCCUCGGUACUUACAUCCACACCUUCCCCAUCCCCAUUUGUAGCCAACAUGCCUACGGAUGAAGAUGCUACAAAUUUGGUGAUGGAAGACCCCCCCCCCCUUAAUGAUCGCCCUACGGUUACGCUAACCAAUGGAGCGUAAGUAUUACAAAAUUUAUAUAAUUAUCAUUAUAUAUGAUAGAUCAUAUGAUCUUUUACUAUUUUGAUUAAUUAUUUUUUAUAUUUAGGUUUCAUCCAUCUAAGGUUGCGGCAAAGACUGUCACUUUGUCCAUUAGGCAACAAUUUGGUCAGCCUUGGCCUACAUGGGGAGCGAUUCCAAAAGAUCAUUAGGAACUUUUUCCCAAUGUUUUAAGGUAAAUUAUUCUUGUGUUAAUGAAUUAGUUCAAAGGUUGAAAUGUAUAGUAAUGUUAUUUUUUUAUUUUAUCUGAAAUUGUGAAAUUCAUAAUUUUCUAAUUGUGUACCAUUUUAUAACUUUGUUAUACUUUAGAGAAAAUUGGUCUGGAGACUUGAGGAAGAGAAUGAAAUCAAAAUAGCUUUUAACUCGAAAGCCUCUCAUAGACUUUCUAAGGUGUUUAGGGAUGCCCGAAAUGAAAAUAUAAGGCCAUAUUGGAUUGGAGAUCAUGUUUGGAAUGAUCUGUUAUCACAUUGGAAUGCACCUGAGUAUCGUUCCAAGUGCGCACAAGAAAAAAAAGGCAUCUGAAAAGGUGGGGGUAUGCACACAGGUGAUUCUAUCAGCUUGCAGGAUCACGCCAUUCGAUUGGUAUACACAUUAAAAUAAUAAUACAUAGUUGUUUAUACUUUUUUAAUUUAUCACUUAAUGUUUAUUUUAUAAUGUUUGUUAAUAGUCAAAGGAGCUUGGUUGAUCUGUAUAUGUAAAUGAGGUCUUUCAACAAACUUAUUUACGAAAGGAUACUGGUUAAUUUGUCUAUGUUAGAUCUAGACAAACACAUGUGAGACCAUUAUCUUGCAUCUUUUUUUAUUCUUUAAAAUGUUUAUUAUAUUUAUGAAGUAAUAUCUCUUUAUGAAUUACAGGAAGAAAUAAUAAUUGUUUAUGAAUUACAGGAAGAAUUUGAGGCUAGACUAUCUCAAGCUAGGUCUGAUGCUGCAUCAAGUGUUGGUGAAUCACAACUCACUCCUUUAGACCCUGUUGAAGAACAAAGACUUAGGAGUCGAUGUUGGGUUGUGACUGUGGGAUCAAAGCGUAAAGGACGCCUUUAUGGUGCUGGAGACCUUGUUCAUACUUACAAAUGUGGAAAUGACAUCUUCAUGCAGCAUACACAAGGAUCUUCCUAAAGAUGCUGCAGAGAUUAACUGACUUAGGGAGGAGCUGCGUCAAUCAAAGAAGAUGUGUGUUUUUCAAUCAGUUGUCCUUCAGUUCUUACCUCCUGAAGUAUGGAACAUUAUUCAUCAACAACAACAACCUCACCAGCAGCAUCAGGAUCAACACCAACACCAUGUAGAUGACCAGCAAACAGAUGACCAACACGAACAUGAUGACUAACAGAGACACUCUCCUGAUGACUACAUUGAUAACUGACUAAGCAACACAAUUACUAUUGACAAUUGACAUUGAAGUCUUGCAUUGUUUAUCUUUUACAUUUGUUUUCAAUUUAACUUAAUGAUUUAUUUGUUUAUGUUUUGGAUUUAUCAAUUUUAUUAUUUCUUAAUUAUAAGUAUGUAUUAAAUUCAAAUUUUUACGAUAAAUAAUAAAAUUCAUAACAUAACUGCCAAAUUGUCAAUCAUAAAUGAUUAAAAAAACAAUUGAAAUAAUAAAUUAUUUAUAAAAUUAAAUUUUCCAAAGGAUUUUCCAUAAAAAAUUUACGACAAAAAAAUCCGUAAGAAAUAAUUCAUGGGAAAUUUCCGAUGGAAAAAUCUAUCGGAAAAUCCAUCGGAAAUUUCUGAUGGAAAAAUCUAUCGAAAAAUUCGUCGGAAAUUUCCGAUAGAAAAGAAAAUCCGUCGGAAAUAAUCCGUGGGAAAACUCCGAUGGACAUUUUCUGUUGGAAAUUUUCCAUGGACUUUUUUCGACGGAUUUUUUGUCGGAAAUUUCCGAUGGAUAACAAAAAAUCCGUCGGUUAAAAUUUCCUACGACCAUUUUUCCGACGGAUUUUUGUUAGUCGGAAAUUUACAGUUAGUGACGGGUUUUUAACGUUUCCAACAAAUUUUGGUUGUGGGAAAAAUGUUUUUUUUUGUAGUGCACAUUUGGUACCGACCUAUGUUUUGUUUUGUUGUUUGUAACAUCAUAGAUUUGUUAUUUUAGUGUUACAUCUUGAACAAGGUGAACAUUAGAUAUAAGUAAUUCCAACUGGUCAAGUAAUUAAUACAUUUAUCAUUUAUUUCUAAUUAGUUUUUUUUAAAAGAAAAGCAAAUGAAAUAUGUAUUUGAUGUUUUUGUGACAUGAGAUAUAUUAAAUACUUUCCAAAUAUUUCAUGUGAAAAGUACUUCAUGAUACAAAUUCAUUGGACGUAUUUAACAAACAAAAAUUGUAACACAAGUGCAUGCUUGAUUUUCAUCAAAUUUGUUUUUCUUUUACUAUUUUCAUUUAAUUUUUGUCUAAUAAAAUUAUAAAAACAUGUGGCUUCAUAAUAAAUUCAUUGGAGAUCUUUUUAUACUAAUCCAUUCAUAAAUUCGUCUAAUUAAUAUGUAUAUAUAAGUUCACAAUUACAAGAAUGAAGUUGUCAAUAGCACCAAAAAUAGAGAAUUAGUUUGGAACCAUUAUCAAAAUGCUAGAUAUGAAUAUGACACAUGUACAUGCUAAAUAGGGACAAGAUUGCCAUCGCUAAAAAGAUCAGGGUUAUAAGAAAAGAAUUGGUAGUCACCUUAAGCAUGGGGUUGAGGAAAACAUUGUUCAAAUUUUGGAAGCCAUAUAAGAAAGUGAUAGGUUGGUCAAUGUUGGUGUAUUUGAUCUUUUAUUCCUUAUGAUGGAGGAGGCUUUGCUACCAUUAAAGAAAUUAAUUAUCUUCAGUAGAUUCAAGGCUUUGUGAAAGCUUAUGGUGAGAUUUUGAUUGCAACUAAUAAUUGGGGUUUUAAACAUGUUGAAAUGAAUAUCAUGGGGGAUCAUUAGUAUUUGAUCAGAAGGUUUUUUUUUUCUAUCAAUAAAGAAAAUUUGAACUUACACAACUAAAAAAGUGUUAUUUACGAUGAUUCUAAGGGAAUUUUUUAUGACAGUUUUUAACCAUCGUUGAAGCCACCAUCGUGAAAAGUCUUGACAUUCCACAACGGCUUUCAAAGGUACAAUUUCUAAGACGGUUUUGUCUUAAAACUGUCUUAAAAUGUUUUUUUAAUUAAAAAAAUUUUAGAAUUCUAAAACCAUUUUAGAAUGUCUUUUUUAAAAAAAAUAAAAAAUUGAAGAUUCAAAUACGAUUUUUUUCAAAAACUAUCUUAGAGAGUCUACUUUCUAAGACUGUUUUUCAAAGAAACGUCUUAGAAUGUCUUUUUUUUUUAAAAUAAUAAAAAAAAAAUUGACGAAAUUGAGUACAGGUACCCAAACAUAUUUGCACAUACAUUCAUGCUUAUUUAAAUUGACUACAACCAUCCAAAAGGCAAAGUCACACAAACUAGAUUUUAAACACAAAUAAUCCUUACCUUUGCUACAAAUGUCAUUGUUUUAAGGAAAAUAAGUGUUUUUAAUUCUUAUAUUUUCAGUCAAACUUGGUUUUAUCCCUGUACUUUCAUAUUGGUGAAUUUAAUCCUGUAACUUUUAAAAAUAUGUGAAAGUAGUCUCUCUUCAUGUUUAAACUUAACAUUUAGUGACAAUUUUUUACUUUACAAAGUUGAAAGAUGGACUAAAUUCACAUAUUUUCUUAAGUUGAAAGAUGAAUCAAAAACAUAUUUUUCUCUUUUAAUUUCAACCAGAGGAUGAGUAUUAGAUUUCAUGCUAGUUUAAGAAAAUUUUCAGUUUUAUAUCAAUGAUGUUUGAAUGUUGGGAAGAAAAAUCGAAGUCAUGCUGCAAGUGGAUUUCUUAUGAUUGUAUCACAAUUUUUUGUACUUUAAUCAGAAAUGUCGUCCAGUCCAAUCCAAAGGGAUAGAAAAUAAUAAACAUUAGAAAAUGUAAAGGAAGAAAAAAAUAACCAAAAGAUAUAGUAAAAUUAAUAGAUUUAUUUUCUAAGCAAAAGUAACAACUUUUCUUACAAGGAUAUCCUAACCAAUCCAAGCAAACGAUGCACGACGAUAAACUGCCCAAACCAAGCAAACACUAUGCAGAAUAGAGUAACAACAACUGUUAGAUAUGAGACAGCUCCAAAGAAGGGUGUCUUCACAAAUGUUUGAGCAUGUUGUUGAAACUAUCUCAAACUAUAAGUAUUUUGCUGUCAAUUUCAAAUUGGGUACAUAUAUUCCCUAUUUAAAAGAGAUUAGAUUAGCAUAAUAUCCACACAUUUAAGUUCUUUAACCUUUUAAGACUAUUGAUUCUUGAUACUUACAAUGAACAUUUUAGAUUUUUCUAUUCCCAUAUAAUUUAAAAAAAAAACAAAAAAAGACUCAUUAAUCUAAAUCCAAAAUUUCUUCACACACCCCAUCCCCAAUUCCAUUUAAUCAUACCUUAGCUUCAAACCAACCAUCUUUGCGUGGUAGUUGUAGUUUUUUUUUGUUCAAAUUAUAUUUCCAUAGUCCAGUUCAUACCAGCAGAGAUAUCACUGCAUGGAAGCCUAGUUAAUUAGACCAUAAUCUAAAAAAAACAUUAAAUGAAAAUAUUUUAUAUUACCUUCUUCUAAUGUUUCUUGUGUACGGAACACAACGACAUACAUCACCUUUAAUGGUAACCACCAGCAUAACAACAUGACAUUAAAUUAUAAUUUUGUAUUCUUUGUUAUUCAUAGAAUAAUAUUAGAUAAUUACUCUAGGAUAUAACUUUGAAAUGACCAUAUUGAUAUUUUUGUUGUCAAAACAAUACACGUAAUUCAUCAAGUAAGCACAAAGCACUAAUUCAUCAAGUAAUCAAUACACGUAAACAAUGUUAGAAUUAGGUGCAAUUCAUGUAUCAUAUGUUGAACAAGUUCCCUCCUUCAUCACAUGUUAAAUGCAUUUAGUUUUAAUAGAAAUUAGUUCUUAGGAAGUAGCACCCUCACUAUUCCUGAGAAUUCUACCUUCACCACGAGAUCCUAAAGAUUCCAAAAAUAAAAAUCAGAAAAUGAAAAGCACCACAUUCCAAUUUAAUUGGACAAGGAGCUUGUAAAGUGAAAAAAAGGCAUGUAAAAGUAGCAAAUAAAACUUGAACUACACACCUUCUAUGAUAAGGCAACCUGCUCCAUAUAAUAACUGUUGGGUGAAAUUGUACAAACUCCAUAUCCUAAAAAAUUUAUGGUGAGGAUGUGAAUGAUAAAAGACUAAUGUCAAAGGAUAUCAUGUUAAUAUUGAAAAGCAACCAAAAGGGAAAAGCACACCUCAAGAGAGAUCCCACCACUUGCAACCAUGGCAUUGCCAUCUCCAAUACAAGUAUGUGUUGAGGUUGCAGAGAAGUAUGGUUUGUAAAUCUUUAAGGGGUUUCCUAGACUAUCAAUGAUAGGAAACAACAGGAUCUUGAAACCUAUGAUUCUCACAAACAAUCAAUAAACAACAAUAGAUAAUGAUGUGUACCUUUCUCCAUAGGAAGACUUGUACCUUUCUCCAUAGGAACUUCUCUCCGGUGCACUUUGAUUUCCUUGAAAGAGGAGAGAAAUAAGAUUUCACUUCCUUAGGCCUUUCUUUUCUGCCUCUCUCCGUUCGUGAUGGCUAUGGGUGAGAGAAAACACUUUUCUGGUCAGGAAGGAGACCUUAUUUCACGUUAGUGGGUAUUAAGCCCCUUUUAUAACUACUACUCCCAUCAAGUAACAGUUAGCUCUAUAAACUUCUCCUUUUAAGCCCAAUUACAAUUUAGCCCUUAAUCGUUAAUUAUUUACUUAUUAGUCCCUACAUAAGUCACAUGCCUCUCACAUGAGACAUUAAUUCUAACAUUCUCCCACUUGGCUCAUGUGACAUUAAUAAACAUUAUGGACUAAAUAAAUGAAUAGAUUAACUAACAUAAUGCGCAUUAAAAAUGACUAAAUUGUUAUGUACAUUGGGUACAUCAUAAUUUCAUGAUUAAGAAUAUGAACCAAUUCGAGUCAUGGCGGUUGUACAUCAUCUAAUCGAUAUAGUCCCUUCCAUGUACUACAAAUUAGUCUUCUCCUUAAUAUGACCAUUAGUUAGGAGUACAUAAUUGAUCAAACAUAAUGUCUUCAUUCAAGACAAAACCUGUUAACAUUACUCUAACACAAACAUGCAUGCAAACAUAGAGAACAGGUAAUCAGAAACAUAUUAUAAUUGAGCUCAGAGUGUCACUAAAAAUGCAUAAGAUAAAUUACACUUAAUGAUCAUCAAUAACAAUAAUGCCCAUACUUUCAACAUGUUCUAUAAUGUCUUGGGCGGUAAUCCCUUAUUCAAAGGGUCAAUCAUCAUAAGGUUUGUGCUAAUUUAUUUUAUUGACACUCUUUGUUUCUGAACAUCUUCCUUCACGACAAAGUACUUCAAUUUCAUAUGCUUAGCACCCUUAGAGUACUUGUCGUUCUUACAAAAAUAUUGCUGCGGAGUUAUCACAAUACAUCUUUAGUGGCCAAGCGAUACUGUCGACAAUUCCAAGCCCUGAAUUAAAGUUUCGCAACCAAUUAAUCUGAAUUGUAGCCUCAAAACAUACUACAAAUUCAGCUUUCAGAUGCAACAACAACUGAUGCAUACAAAAUAGCUUUCAUUUAUUUUCGUUCCAUAUCAUUUCUAGGACAUUGUGCGAGACCAAAUUUGUCUUCUUUCUAAAUUAGAACAGGUAAUGUUAAACACCUUUCCAUCUUGAAUCUCUCUAGCACUUUAUCAAUAUAUAUACUUUUUGAGAUAAGCCUAACAAUCCUGGUGAUCUAUUAUGGAAUAUUUCUAUCCCUAUCACAUAGCUUAUCUCACCCAUAUCUUUCACGUCAAAGUGUCUAGAGAGAAAUUUCUUAGUCUCAUGAAGAAGACCAAGAUCGGUAGCUGCAAGCAAGAUAUCAUCAAUAUACAGAAUUAGAAAAAUAACCUUACCCCCACUGACCUUCAGAUACAUACACUGAUAAACAGUAUUUGCCUUAAAUCUAAAGGAAACAAUGACAUCAUUAAACCUCAAAUACCAUUGGCAAGAAGCUUACUUUAAGACUGUAUAUUGAUUUCUAGUUUGCACAUUAUGUGUUCCUUACCCUCAACUGAGAACCCCAUUGGUUGGUCCAUACAAACAUUCUUCUCUAAAUCUCCAUUAAGAAAGGCAGUUUUCACAUCCAUCUGAUAUAGCUCCAAGUCAUAAUGGGCUACUAAUGCCAUGAUAAUCCUGAAAGAAUCCUUUCGUGAGACCGGUGAAAACGUCUCUUUAUAAUCAAUGUCAUCUUUCUGAGUAAAUCCCUUAGCAACAAGUCUAGCCUUGUAAUGUUCAAGGUUGCCAUGAGAGUCACGUUUAGUCUUGAAGAUCCACUUACAACCAACUCUCUUACAACCCUUUGGUAAUUCUACAAGGUCCCAAACACCAUUAUGUUCCAUGGAAUUUAUCUCUUCUUUCAUGGCAUUUAACCACUUCUCAGAACUAUCACAACUUACAACUUGUGAAAACAAAAUUGGAUCAUUAUCAUUAAUGCUUAAGUUUGUUUCUGUUUCAUGUAGGUAUACCACAUAAUCAUUCGAAAUAGUUGGUCUCCUUUUAUCUUUGAGACCUCUUUAAUGCUACUUCUUGUGGUUCUUCCAUAAUAGGUUCAUUAUGCAUUAUGGGUUCAUUAUUGUAUUGCUCAUCUUCAUUAAUUUUGUAACAACUAAAAGAAGCAAUCACCUUACUUCUAGAGGCACAAACUAAAAGGACUUGCACUCUAACUUCUUUAAUUUCCACUUCUUGUGGAACUAUACUCCCACUGAUUUUAUCAUUUUCAAUGAACCUUGCAUUUCCAGUUUCAAAAAUUCUCAUACUAUGAUUAGGACAAUAAAACAUAUACCCCGCUGAUUUUCUGGAUAACCAAUGAAAUAUCCACUGAUUGUUCUUGUAUCCAAUUUUCUUUAUUGUGGAUUAUAAAUCCUUAUUUCUGCCUGGCAACCCCAAACAUGCAGGUGCCUUACACUAGGUGUCCUAUUUGUCCACAGUUCAAAGGUGUCUUUGGAACUGUCUUACUAGGAAUCCUAUUCAACAAAUACAUAGCAGUUUUCAAGGCAUACAUCCACAAAGAUACGGGUAAAGUCAAAUUGAUUAACAUACUCCUAAUCAUAUCCAUUAAAGUUCUAUUACGCCUUUCUGAUACACCAUUUUGUUAUGGUGUACCGGACAUUGUGUAUUGUGCACAAAUGCCACGUUUUUGAAGAGGCUUAGCAAAUGGACCUGGGUGUUGCCCAACUUCAUCAUAUCUUCCGUAAUACUCUUCACCUCUAUCAUAUCUAAUAAUUUUCACAUUUAUGUCUAAUUGCCUUUUUACUUCAUUGUAGUAAAUUUCUAAGGCAUCCAUUGCCUAAGAAAUCUCGGGCAGUAAGUAGACAUAAUCGUAACGUGAAUAAUCAUCAAUAAUGGUGAUAAAAUAUCAUUCCUUUUCGAAAGAACUAAAAUCAAAAGGUCCACAAAUAUCAGUAUGCACAAUUUCAAGAAGCUGAGUGCUUCUUGUAGCUCUUUUCUUUGUAUGUUUUGCUUGUUUUCCCUUAAUACAACCCACACAAAUAUUUAGAUCCAUAAAAUCUAGAUAAGGAAGAAUUUCAUUCUUUAUUAAUCUUCCCAUCCUUUCUCUAGAAAUGUGACCUAAACGUUUAUGCCACAAAGAGUAUCCAGUAACAUCAAGUUUAGAUAAUGAAACUAAAUUACUAGAUAAACUAGUUACAUAAAGAGUUUCCAAUAAAUCUAAAUGAUGUUCAGUGUCGAGUUUUACACAAUAAGUCUCGACUGCUUACAUUGGAGUUUCACUCUAUUCCCCAUGAAAAUGAACUUCUCAUUUGGGUUUAUGGUUUGGAUUGUAAGGAAUCUCUGCAUAAUGUUAGAAACAUGAGUCAUACAUCCAGAAUUAAUCCAUCAUGUAUUAUGGGAAACUUUAGUUAAGUUUGAUUCAAAACAUACAUGAGCAUUAAGCCCACUUUUCUUUUCGAACCAAGACUCGCACUUUAGGUAAUCCUUCUAGAAAUGUCCUGAUUUCCUACAAAAUUGACAAUUAUUUCCCUUUGAUACCUUCCUCUAGAUUUGCAAAGAGUAUUGAUUUUUAAUUACCCUCUGCCUUUCUCAUGCUUCUUCAUAAAUUUCUUUCCAGCUCCUUGAUUCCCUUGGUGACUUUCAUAAUGGACUGAGUGACUUCCUUGAUUUUUAAGCCUCGUUUCUUCCUGAACUAACAUAUUGUGCAAUUCAUGCACAUUCCAUUUAUCUUUAUGGUAUUAUAGUUCAUUUAGAACGGGCCAAACUCAGGCGGUAAUGAGUUUAGAAUAAACUAAACAAGAAAGUUCUCAUUCACAGCCAUUAUAUUCCCAAGGUCUUAAGUCUUGUUGCAAUGUUUGUCAUCUCAAUGACAUGUUCAUACAUAGUACGUGAGCCAUCAAACUUCAUGGUGACCAAUAUACUCAUUAAUGUCCCAACAACAGACUUAUUAUCUGUUUGAGAGCGCUCUCCCACUAAUCACAUAAACUUUUUAGCACUUUCGAUUUUAGGGAGAGUUGUCUUAAUACUGUCAGCAACAGUCAUUCUCAUCAACAUUAGACUGAGUCUGUUAGAUGUUUCCCAAGUUUUAUAAUGAACUUUCUCUUCAUUUCUACUAACAUUAAUAAUAGUAACAAACUUCUCUUCCAACAUAGCAAGAUCAUGAUCCAAAACACCGAGGUGAAAUUGGACUUGCUCAUUUUAGUCAGAGAAGUUAAGUCCAUUAAAAUUGGCUCAGAUGAUACAUAAGAAUCCAAUGAAUUCAAAACAUGUAUUACAUAAUAAAAUUCACAUAAGUGUUUUGAGACAUAAAAUACAUGUCAUACAUAUGAUUCAUUCAGAUAACAGUCAAUGUAUAUUGAUGUUCUCCUUUGGGUGAUACACCAACACACAACAUACAAACAUAAUGAUGCUAAUAAAAUUUUAACAUUAUUUGGCAAUUAAAUAUGCACAAAUUAGUAGUAUCUAUUUCCUUUGGGCAUAUAAAUAAAACUAAUGAUACACACAAAUCGCCUACAAUUAUAUUAAUUAAUUAUAAGAACAACUAAUCAACCUUUGGGCGAUCCAUAAAUGCCUUAUAACAAUGAAUUUCAAUUACCCAUAAACCAAUAACCAUAUAAUUUAACAUCCAUUAUUCUAUGAGUAAUCAAAAUAAUCAUUAAUUUUGGAAUUAAAUAACCUUAUAAAUUUGGCCACUUUGGUGACUAACAAAUUCAACAUACAUUUAAUUCCAACCAAGUAUAAUUGAAAUAAUCAUUAAUUUGGAAUUAAAUAACCUUACAAAUUUGGCCACUUUGGUGACUAACAAAUUCAACAUACAUUUAAUUCCAACCAAAUAUGUAUGACCUGCACAUACUUAUUGCUAUUAACAAUUCAUAGUCAUUCUAUUAAUUUCAUUCCAGGCCAUAAAAUAAUAUUUGCAUUUAUUUGUGUUUUUGCAUUCAAACACGUUCAAGCAAAUAUGUACCAUAUACAUAUAUUUAUUGCUACCAAUAAUUGCAAAACAUUCAUAUUAAUUUAAUUACAGAACAUAAACUUUCAAUUCUUUAAUCACGUUCAACAAUAAUUUUUCGGGAAAAAAAAAAGAUCAAGUGGGAUUGGAAAUAACAAACAUAAGGUUGCAAAUAGAAAUUUCCAAAAUUUCUUAUUCUUCCCUACCGAAAACCUAGGCGCAGUUUUUCAAAAUUGAAAUUGAAUCUUUAUGUUAAUGGGCACGCUUCCUUUCUUUCACCAUUAGAAGUAAAAACUUUCUCCAAAUUUAAUAUAUACAUGCCGUGCAGCUUUCUCUCCGAUAAUCAUAAGUUUUCAAAUAAUCUUUCUCCAAAAAUUGGUAUUCAACAAUAAUAAAAUAUCGUCAAUAAAACAAUACAUGCAACGAAAAAUAAAAUUCCUAAAUUUUAUAAUUAGGAUUUAUGCAUAAUUGGGAGAAAUUAAAUUAUCCCUAAAUCUCAUAAUUAGGGUUCAUGCAUAAUUGGGAGAAAUUAAAUCAUUCUUGGAGAAUCAUAAAUUUCAUAACACAUGCUCUGAUACCACAUGUAAAUCUUUAAGGGGUUUCCUAGACUAUCAAUGAUAGGAAACAACAGGAUCUUGAAACCUAUGAUUCUCACAAACAAUCAAUAAACAACAAUAGAUAAUGAUGUGUACCUUUCUCCAUAGGAAGACUUGUACCUUUCUCCAUAGGAACUUCUCUCUGGUGCACUUUGAUUUUCUUGAAAGAGGAGAGAAAUAAGAUUUCACUUCCUUAGGCCUUUCUUUUCUGCCUCUCUCCAUUCGUGAUGGCUAUGGGUGAGAGAGAACACUUUUCUGGUCAGGAAGGAGACCUUAUUUCACGUUAGUGGGUAUUAAGCCUCAUUUAUAACCACUACUCCCAUCAAGUAGCAGUUGGCUCUAGAAACUUCUCCUAUUAAGCCCAAUUACAAUUUAGCCCUUAAUAGUUAAUUAUUUACUUAUUAGUUCCUACAUAAGUCACAUGUCUCUCACAUAAGACAUUAAUUCUAACAUGGUCUACCAUAACCCUGAAGUAGAAUAAAGGAUCGCACUUAUCCAUAAAUAAGUGAAAUAAAAUAAAAUAAAAAUCAGCAUCAAGCAUCGUCUUAGAAAAUUGUUACCCUUGUGGCUAAAAUUGUCGAAGCAGCUUUGAAACGAUGUAGUGUUCCAUCCUCCAUAUUCAAGGAAAUCACUCCUUGACAUCCUUUUACGUUUGCAAACUUCUGCCCAAACACACACUAAGUGAUCAAUAUAUUGUAGAUAACACAUCGACAAGAUGCUAUAUGGUCCCAUUGUUUAUCUUAUGAAUGGUCCUAGGCAGGAAAAACAGGAAAAAAAAAGAGAAGCUUAUAAGUAGAGCCUAUAAACUACUACUAGGCAGUACUUCCCACCAUUUGACAAAGGGUAGAGAAGUAGGAGCAAUAAUACAAGAGAGAAGAGAUUCAUAGUAUUUGAUUAAUUGUCAUAUCAUUCAUUAGUUUAAAGACCCCACAGUUGUUAUCCCAGUGCUUAAAUUUCUUGGGUCCUACACUAUUUACAAAUUCCCUGUCACCCCAAAGAUAUUGAAUGAAAGAUGUAAGAAAAGCCUGGUUAUUCUGAAAUGGCAUGGGAUUUCAUUUAAAAAUAUAAGGAACAAAGAAUACUUACGGCCACGGGCCAUCACCAAGGAGAAGAAUGUCAUUCCCUUGGUCAACAAAUACAAGCUGCCAGUCUGAUCUCACAGGGUCCUCUAACUUACCUUCAAGGCCGAACAUACGAGCAAGCUCGUCAGUCAAUCGUUUUUGAGAAAAAAGAUCAAUGCAAAAUAUGUCAAAUUGUCAAUACCAGACUUUCAAGUAUGUAAUAAUUAUAUACUUGGAAAUAUGGUUAUUUAUUUGAUUCCUUUUGUUAUAGUGUACUGGACUAAUUAUUAGUUAUUAGAAGCAUGGACAAUUCUAAAUAAUAUUUGUAAAUGUGUUGUACUUGUGUCAAACAAAUGCAUCUAUAUAUGUUGAUAUUGCACAAAAACUUUCAAUAUCAUUCGAUCUGGUGUAUUUUGCAUGUAAUUUUUUUAAACCUUUUACCAAUACAAUUUUGAAUAUCAUGAUAUAUAUAAAUAGAUACAAUUUUGCAUGUAUUUUAUUACGUUUAUAAUGUCAUAUAAACUAAUUCAAUUUAUACAAUUAAAAAAAACUCAUUUAUGAUAUUAAUAACGGCUUAAUAUCAAACACUCAGGCUAAAGAGUUAUAUCAUUCAAAAAAAACUUUUAAAUAAAUUUUUUAAGUUUAAUUAAAUGCCUGCAAUUUUAAAACAAUAUUAAUGCUAACUCCAAGUUAGUGAUUUGACAAAAAGAAGUUUCUUAAAUAAAACAUCAAAAGUGAAAAUAGCAAGUAAGCAAUGCACAUAUAUGAUAUUGAACCAUAGAAAUUUUGGGGGGAAAAAAUGGAACUAGAUUAUGCCAAAAUAGUUUUAUAUAGUCAAACAAUUAUUCAUUUAGUUACAUACUUUGAAUGCUAAAGUGAAAGUUUCUAAAAUAAUUGCACUGACUUUGAACUUCUUAUUAUAUCUUCUUAUUAACAGAAUUUGCUACUUUAAACUUAUUAAACUUACCGUUAGGUGUGAUAGGAGAAUCAUCAAUCUAAUUAUGAAACGAUAUCCUUCCGAAUGGGAUAAAAUAAUUCCUUAUAUAUUAUUUACUAUUCCUAUUUCUUCUAUUAAUUGAAGAAAUAAUUUGAAAAUAAAACAGCAAGUACAAAAAUGAGUAAUAACCCCCCAGUAGAGACUGGUACGAUUCAAUUCAACAUUUUUUUCAUUUGGGUUUGAUUGUGUCGUAGCUCUAUAAUUCAAAUUAGGUUUAUCGUUGGAUGAACUGCAUUGCUGAUAUUGAUCCCAAAAAAGAAACACUGGGUACCGCUAGUCUGUGAACAGCCAACCAUCAUACUGUAAAAAUUGGAUAGGUCCUAUCUAUGGUCAUUGGAGCCUCCUAAAAAGAUCUAUUAAAUUCAUCAAGUUGUUCCAAAGGAUCAAAACGGCCAGUUAUUAAUGGAAUUCCUUGUCGGCUCUCUGUAAAAUAUUUGUUUGGGCGGGGACUUUCAAAAACAUCGUAAGCUAGACCCGUGCUGACAAAUAACCAACCUGCAAUGAAUAGGGAGGGUAUAGUAAUGCUAUGAAUAAUCCAGUAUCGGAUACUGGUAAUAAUAUCAACAAAAGAACGUUCUCCUGUGCUUCUAGACAUGUUGAACUCCACAUAUUCUUGUACAGUCAAAAGGGGGAUCGAUUCCAUAAAAGACGAGAUCAGUAAGUAGAAAUUUACUGAAAUGUAAUCCUUGUUAGAUCGUCCAUUUUGUACCAACGGUGUCUUUUGAGUAUACCGAAUCAGUAUAGCUAUCCUUCUUCUAACAGAGCAAUGAAAUUUCACAAUCGAAAUCUAGGACUAGAUAAGUUCUUUCUUCUUUCUUCAUUGAUUGUCUCGAUGUAUUCAAAAAUCCGAUAGAAAAUUUUUUAAUAGUACAUUUUUAUAGUAAUAGUAUAAAAUGAAGGUUCUUCACAUUUCACAUUAUUAUUUUCGGACUAAAAAUUAAGUAUCAAUUAAAAUCAGAAUAUGGUAAAUUGGUUUCUUAGAAUUCAUAAAGGAGAUUUUAUAUUUCUAGAAUUCAAUUAGAUGCCAAAUCUAUAAAUAUACUUUUUGUGGUUGUUGAAGAUAUUUUUUCUAUUUUCUUCUAUAUCAAUUCAAAAUUAAAUAAAUUGAAAUAACAAAGUUAAUUUUCUGUUUUUAUUUUAAUAUUCAUUUUUCUUUCUAAUAGAAAUAGAAUUCUAUUCUAGAAUAAUAUAUGAAAUAAUACGAAAGAUUUUCAUUAUCAUUAGAUUAGUUUACUCAAUUCUUGAGUUGAUUAAUAAGUCUGUUGAUUUGGAAUCACAGGAUGAGUAGAUGUCACAGAUGAUGAAUUUAUUUCUAAAUUAUGUCAUUCUAUUUCUCUUUUUAUUCGUUUGUAAUAAUUUAUUAAUGAAUCUCCAAUUUUCAAUUAUAUCUUUUAAGUAGUAUUUUUUCUUAUCUUCUUUUUUCUCUCAAAAAUGGAAAUUUAGGGAAGUGCUUUAUAAACAGAUGUAUAAAAAUAACAUAUUUCAUUUAGCUUAUAUCUGCUCACUAUAACUAGUUAUUUUGGUUUUUUACUAGUAGUUUUAAUUAUAACCUCAUCUCUAUUUAUUGGUCUGAGUAAAAUACGACUUAUUUGAUUUGUAAUUUUGAGAGGAAUAGUCAAUUUUGGAAUAAGACAUUCUAUAGUUCCUUACUGUGUCAAUUUACAAUUAUCAGCCGUUGAGAUUCAUGAUCAAUACAGAUUAAUGGUUAAGGAUAAAUAUUACCUUUCUUUUUACCUUUUGAACAAAUAAAAAUGAUUGAAGUUUUUCUAUUUGGAAUCAGGUUAGGUUUAAUUCCCAUUACUUUGGCUGGAUUAUUUGUAACUGCAUAUUUACAAUACCGACGAGGUGAUCAGUUGAAUCUUUGAUUAAUUAAUGUCUCUUUUUUUGUGGAUUCCCUAUUUUUUUUGUUUUAAUCCUAAUCCACAAGGAUUAAAUUCAGACUUUUUAAUGUUUAAUUAUUUCAGUGUAAUUAUCAUUCGAAAAAUACUAGAAUCAUGUUCUGUAGGAUUUGAAUCAUCACGCUCUGUAGGAUUUGAACCUACGACAUCGGGUUUUGGAGACCUGCGUUCUACCGAACUGAACUAAGAGCGCUUUGUUUUCAUAAAUUAUUUUAUAUGAUCCAAAUCCAUUUUACAUGUAUAUACUAUAUCAAUAUAUAUACAUAUAGAUAUUCGGUAUGUAUGUCCAAUUGGAAUUCAUCUUCAAUUGGUUCCAUUUUAUUGCUCAUCUCAUAUAAUAAAUAUAUAAUACGGAAUAUCAUAUGAUAAGUAAUAGUUAGGGAUAGGGAUGACAGGAUUUGAACCCAUGACAUUUUGUACCCAAAACAAACACGCUACCAAGCUGCGCUACAUCCCUUUUCCAUUUGUUUCUAGUGUUAUUGUAAAGAAUCUUUGUCUUGUUUUCUUCAUUUUUAUCUGUUGAUAUAUAUAUAUAUAUAUAUAUAUAUAUAUAUAUAUAUAUAUAUAUAUAUAUAUAUAUAUUCUUUAGAAUAAUAAAAAAGAAUAUUAAAUUCAAAUAAAUUAUAGAUAGAAAAAAGACUUAAAAAAGAGGAUUUGAAAUGCGAGAUCUAAAAACAUAUCUUUCCGUGGCACUAGUAGUAAGUACUCUAUGGUUCGGGGCUUUGGCGGGUCUCUUGAUAGAGAUCAAUCGUUUUUUUCCAGAUGCAUUGAUAUUCCCUUUUUUUUCAUUCUAGUUAUUGACACAGAAAGGGGUGAAGAAGAUUAUUGAUCCAAUUAAGUAUUAAAUAUAUGUAAUUAAUCUCUUCUUCUUUAUUUCGUCUUUUAUUUCUUCUUUUUUUUACAAUUAUAAUAGAAUAAGUUAGGAAAGAGAAAGAAUAAGGGUUAAUUUGGCCUAAUUGAAAUUCGGAGUGAAACUCGGGAUCUCGUCCAGGCUUCCAUGGAAUUGAAUUAAUAAUUCAAUUCCAUUUCUAUUAAUAAAAGAGUGAAAGCAGAAAUUUAAAUGGAAUGUAUAGGGUGGGGGCAACAAUUGUUGGAGUCUAACAGAACUUACAUAAAAGAUAAAAUGUAAAGGAAGGAAUUCAUUCACAGUUAUUGAAAAGCAAACCUGGCUAAUAUAUAGCCUUACAUCAGAAUAAAGAAAACUGAAAAAUAAAACUGCUCACGCAUACAUGACCCACUAUUUCCUAAUAAUGUGCUAGACAUAUUCAAAAACAUAACUGCUCCUAAAAAUAUGGAACCAUAAGCUCACUAACAAAUCCUCCCUUAAACUGAAUGCUAUAUGCAAUUAGUUUAUAUCAGACUCUGAACACAAUCCUAGUGACCUGCGUAGCUUUAAGAAAGUAUCAAGCUUAAGUGGUUUGGUCAUAAUAUCAGCCACUUGUUCUUGUGUCCCACAAUGCAUCAUCUUGAUAGUUCCGGCCUUUGUAAGAUCUCGAAGGAAAUGAAAUCGGACGUCAAUAUGUUUACAACGACCAUGCAUCACUGGAUUCUUCGAAAGCUUAAUAGCAGAGCUACUAUCACAAUGAAUUACAGUAGCUUGGUCUUGCAUUUUACACAAUUUUCCCAACACCCUUUUCAACCAUAUGGCUUGACAAGCACAUGAUGCUGCACCUAUAAACUCUGCCUCUGUAGUUGAUAGACUCACAAUUGGUUGUUUUUUUAUGACCACGAAACAGCAGCUGAACACAAUAAGAAAACAUAACCCGAAGUACUUUUUCUGUCAUCCAAAUCCCCUGCAUAAUCGCUGCCAGUGUAAGCAAGAAGCUCUUUGUUUCCUCCCUUUUUGUAGAAAAUUCCAAACUCAGUUGUUCCCUUUAAAUAUCUCAGCACCUUUUUGGCUGCUAGUAAAUGCAGCUCAGUAGGAUUCUCCAUGUACCUGCUAAUUAAGUUCACCACAAACAUCAUAUCGGGUCGAGUAGAUGUUAGAUACAUAAGACAUCCCACAAUUUAUUUAUAGUAAGUCUUAUCCACCUUUACACCAGUGUCGUCCUUUGUGAGUUUAACACCAGGAACAAUUGGAGUUUGCACCGAAUUGCUUUUAUCCAUUCCAAACCUUUGCAGCAUCUCUAAUGCAUAUUUCUUUUGACAUAAGAAAACGCCAUCUAUUCGUUGCAUCACUUCAAGACCCAGAAAAUAUCUCAUAUUACCAAGAUCUGUCAUGUCAAAUUCAUGCUUCAUGGAGCUUUUAAAUUUUGCAAACAUCAACUCAUCAUUUCCAGUAAAAAUAAGGUCAUCAACAUACAAGCUAACAAUUAAUAUUAUAUCUUCAUUUUCUCUCUUCACAAACAAAGUAUGCUCAUAGUCACACUUCUCAAAUCCUUCCUUCAGAAAAUAUGCUUCUAUGCGACUAUACCAAGCACGUGGUGCUUGCUUAAGUCCGUAAAGGGCUUUCUUCAACUUAUACACUUUAUGCUCUUCCCCUUUUUGUUCAUAACCACAAGGUUGGUCCACAUAUACUGUUUCAUCCAACUCUCCAUGUAAAAAUGCUGACUUUACAUCCAGCUAAUAGAUUGCCCAUCCCUUUUGAGCUGCAAGUGCUACCACCAAACGAAUUGUCUUCAUUCGUGCCACUGGUGCAAAUACUUCUGUAUAGUCUACCCCAUAUUCUUGUGCAUACCCCUUCACUACAAGCCUAGCUUUGUACUUGUCCACUUCUCCAUUCUCUUUGAAUUUUGUCUUAUAAAUCCACUUUACUCCAACUUUUUUUGCUCCAUCAGGUAAUUCCAUCAAUUCCCAUGUGCCAUUUUUGUUUAUUGCUUCCAUCUCCUCAUCCAUGGCUUUCCUCCAUUUUGCAAUUUGAACAGCUGCAUCAAAGUGAGUAGGAUCACUUUCACCAGUUGCAGACAUAGCCAGAUUAGCUUCUGUACUGCCUUCAGAAAGUCCUUCUCCAGUUUCAUAAUCUUCCAUCCAAAGGGGUGGUCUUCUACACCUUCGUUGAACAGGACUAGAAGUGUUUACUUCGGCCAUAGAAUCAGAGGAAAUAAUAAUAUCCUCUUAUGGGGUAUCAGUAUUGUGUCGUACCUCAUGUUCUUCUUCUACAACAGCUUCCACAUCCUUAUCACCCCAAUCUAAAUCACAUAAGAUGGUUUCUCCAUACUGCUUAUCCCAAUCCCAACGUUUAUCUUCGUCAAAGACAACAUCUCUGCUUAUUAUGAUCUUUUGUGAAAUCGGAUCAUAAAGUUUGUAUGCUUUUGAUACUUCACUAACCCCCAACAAAACACAACACAAACUUUUAUCAUCUAGCUUGGUUCUUUUAGCAUCAGGCACAUGAACAUGAGAAAUACAUCCAAAAACUCUAAAAUACUUAACUGAAGGCUUGACUCCACUCCAGGCUUCUUCCGGCGUUUUAUUUCUCACUGCUAAUGUGGGACUCCGAUUCAAAAUAUGCACAGACUAGGUGGCAGCUUCAGCCCAAAAAGUUUUGGGCAUUUUCUUCUCUGAGAGCAUGCUCCGAACCAUGUUCAUGAUGGUUCUAUUUUUCCGUUCUGCAAUUCCGUUCUGCUGUGGUGUGUAUGCAGCUGUCAGUUGCCUACGAAUACCAUUGUCACAACAAAAAUUGGUGAAAUCCUGUGAUGUAAACUCUCCCCCACGAUCAGUGCGCAAACUUCUGAUUAAUGAGUCAGCUUCUUUCUCAACAAGAAUUUUAAAUUUCUUAAAGACAGAAAGAGCUUCUGAUUUUUCUGUCAAGAAAUAAAUCCAAGUUUUUCUACUGAAAUCAUCAAUAAAGGUGAGCAAAUGCCUCUUUUUGCUGUUGGAGAUAGGUGUGAUUGGUCCACAAAUAUCUGCAUGAAUUAAUUGUAGAACCUGUGUAGCCCUCCAAGUACUCUUCUUUGGGAAUGAAGCUCGUGAUUGCUUCCCUACCAAGCAGUCCUGGCACAGUUUUGUUGGUGCUUUCAUUGUUGGAAAACCAUAUACCAUGCUCUGCUGGUAAAGCGUAUUUAAACCCCGAAAACUCAAAUGUCCAUAUCUGCAAUGCCAAAGAUGCACUAUAUCCUCUGUAACUGUGUGAAAGCAAGUGGAUUUGGUAGGUUGAGAUAUGGCAUGUAGCAUGAACAUUCGAUUGGAAGAGAUUCUGGUUUCCAUGAUUAAACCGUUUUCAGGAUGAAACACCUUGCACUUUCCAUGUUGAAACAGAAUACUAAGUCCCUUUUCUUGUAAUUGCCCAAUACUUAGUAAGUUAUUCCUUAAAUCUGGCACAAAAAAAACUCCAGUAACAGUAUAAGUGUUGUCAUUCAUGUUUAUCCGAACGUUACCUUUGCCCGUUACAGCCAUACUGGAAUUAUUGCCCAAUUUGACUGAAUCUUUGUAAUUUUCAUCAAGAUCUGAGAAAUAUUCCUUCUUACCGCACAUGUGAUUGCUACGUCCAGAGUCAAGAAACCACACAACUUCUUCAUUUGCCUUAGUCACGUCUAUGCAGGCCAUCAAUAACAUUUCAUCAUCGUUUUCUACAUAGUUGGCCUCCUUUCUUUGGUUUAAACAUUCCCAGCUGAAAUGUCCGAGUUGAUGACAAGUGUAGCACUCCACAGUGGAUUUUUCAAAUGCCUGUCUGCCACGUCCUCGGCCUCGUCCUCUUCCUCUUCGUCCAAAGCCUCCACGACCUCGCCCCUGUUCUGCAUGUUGACCUGUAUGAGCAAUCUGCAAGGCCUGCGCUUCUUCUACAUGAGAAGUCAUGCGUAGUUCAUGGACAAGAAGACUACUUUGCAAUUCAUCAAUGGUCAAUGUGUCUGUAUCCUUAGACUCCUCAAUGGAACACACAACAUAAUCAAACUUGGGAGUCAUGGAUCUCAGAAUUUUUUCAACUACAGCCACAUCUCCUUUGUUUUCACCAUUAGCCUUCAUCUUGUUGGCUAUGGCAAGUGUCCGAGCAAAAUAAUCGUUUACAGAUUCUCCCUCCUUCAUGUGGAGAAUUUCAAACUCUUUUCUUAGAGCUUGCAACUGUGCACGCUUGACUCGUGAAGUGCCUUGGUACUUCUGUUUCAAAGAAUCCCAUAUAUUCUUUGAUGUAUCUUUGUUAAGAAUUGUCUCCAGGACGGAACGAUCUAAUGCUUGAAAUAGGUAGUUCUUUGCCUUCAAAUCUUUUAAUUUCUGAUCAUCAAUAUGCUUCCUCUCUACUUCGGUAAGAGGUGUUCCUUCCACUAAUUCAGGAAUUCCAUUUUCUACCAGACCCCAGUACUCCUUUGAACGUAAGAAAUUCUCCAUGAGUAGCGCCCAAUGAUCAUAAUGCCCGUCAAACUUCGGUAUAGCGGGCUGCACAAACGAACUCUCCGAUGCCAUAGCAUUGCUUAGAAGACUGCUGCUUCUACUUUGAAUCAGGCCUCGUGAUGGUGCUCUGAUACCAGAAUGUUGGAGUCUCACAGAACUUACGUAAAAGAUAAAAUGUAAAGGAAGGAAUUCAUUCACAGUUAUUGAAAAGCAAACCUGGCUAAUAUAUAGCCUUACAUCAGAAUAAAGAAAACUGAAAAAUAAAACCGCUCACGCAUACAUGACCCACUAUUUCCUAAUAAUGUGCUAGACAUAUUCAAAAACAUAACUGCUCCUAAAAAUAUGGAACCAUAUGCUCAGUAACAACAAUAUCAUAAAAAAUACUUAGUUAAAAAAAAUGAAAAUACUGUAUUGCAAUUGUAUUGCAAUUCGAAACAAAAUAUAGUUCGAGAUCAUUGUAUUAUUUUUGUACUAUAUUAAUCUUAAUCUUAAUUGGAACGAAAUCUUUCAAAAUUGGAUUUCGAAUUCUUAAUUUAUAUUUUCAUUUUUUCGUUCUUUUCUUUUUCUUAGAUUAUAAUCCGAAAACAAAAGAGUUAAGUGAAUUAAAAACCCAAGGGAGGUUCAUGGCCAAAGGUAAAGAUAUCCGAGUAAUUGUUAUUUUGAAAUGUACCGAUUGUGAUAAAAAGAGUGUUAAUAAGGAAUCAACGGGUAUUUCUAGAUAUAUAAUUAAAAAGAAUCGACAGAAUACGCCUAGUCGAUUGGAAUUGAGAAAAUUUUGUCCCCGUUGUUUCAAACAUACAAUUCACGCAGAAAUAAAGAAAUAGAUCAAAUUGAUCGCUUGUGUGUUACCCUUCGAACCAAAGAACUUAACAUGUAAAAUGAUCUAUUUUUCUUAUCUAUAUAGAUAGAUCUAUCUAUAUUCUAUCAUUUACAGUUGAAUAUAUACAAAUAUCAGUAUAUAACAACAUAUAUUAAAAAAAUAAUUACAUAUAUUAAAAAAGUCAGAAUAAAAAAACAAAUCCUUUAUUGUAUUUCUUGUAAUAAAUGUGAUUUUUGGAAUAGGAAUAAAUAAACCAUGAAAAAAUCUAAGCGACUCUUUAUGAAAUCCAAGCGAUCUUUUCGUAGGCGUUUGCCCCUGAUCCAAUCGGGGGACCGAAUUGAUUAUAAAAGCAUGGGUUUAAUAAGUCGAUUUAUUAGUGAACAAGGAAAAAUAUUAUCCAGAUGCGAAAAUAGAUUGACCUUAAAACAACAACGAUUAAUAACAAUUGCUAUAAAACAAGCUCGUAUUUUAUCUUCAUUACCUUUUCUUAAUAAUGAAAAACAAUUUGAAAAAAGCGAGUCAACCGCUAGAACUACUACUUUAAGAAAAAAAAAUAUAGAAAUUAAGAACUAUAAAUCCAAUUUUGAAUUGAGAUUUGAAUGAAAUAUUGAUUGAUGUUUUGUUUGAAAAUCACGACAAUUCAAUUUGGGUUUUUAUGUUGUAAAUGGGUAUAGCUUCUAGACCUUGGCUCCUUUUUGAAGUCUGUCAAUAUUUUGUUUAUAGCUGACACACAAGAUGCAGAACCAACCACCUCAACCAUGUGUACAUUCUCAAUAAAAGUAUCUUCAAACUAGCAAUUAAUACAUUUAUCAAAGAAACUAAAACAUCAACUUGAUGACAAAUUGACAGCAUGAUUUUAUUCAAAUUUUCAAAAAUAUAAUAUUCAAGAUCUAAAUAAUAAUUAUAGUUCGCUGGAUUAUUCUUAAGCGCCUAAGACUAAGAGAGAUUAAGGGAAUCAGCCAAUAUAAUCAGCAGAUGAGCGGUCUAGUCCGCUACUUCCAGCUCAGGAGGAUCCACGGAAGAUGUUACCCCCACCAACUACCAGUGCAACUUGAAACAUCAGCCUAAUUGUUUAAACCAAAAGUCUGAAAACCAGUAAAAAGCUUUGAAUAACUUCAGGUCAAAUGUUCUAACUUGCAGUGAUAUCAUAAAGUCUCCCAAUGUUACUGCCAAAUACAAAAAUAGAUCCGUGUAUCACUUCUCCUAAAGAUUAAUUUGUAAAACACAUCGUCAACGACAAUUUCACAAAACUACUGUAAAUUUCACAUAUUCAAUUAGUCAAAUGAUCUCAAACAACAGAUGAUGCAGCAGAAAAACUAGAACAAAAGAAAAAAAUGUAUUACCAUAAAAGAAUCCAUUGUAGUCACCUCAAUGCCAAGGCGAGUCACUGCUGCCACCUCCCUUGCAAUGGCCAUGGUUAUCUGUAUCCAACCAUAAAACAAUAAUUUAAGAAAUGAUGCCGAGAACAACAUGAUGUAUCAAAAUAUUUCAUUUUAUUUCAAUUAUGUUUUCAGGAAUUAUGCAUUGUCACUCUUCUCUAAUUAACUUGUUUUCUCAUUUCCCUAAAAUGUCCCUUUAAGUAAUUAAGCCAUAGCAAAUAUAUAUUGCCACUGUUAUAUCUAUUAUGUAUACUUGUAAUUAACAAUUAGAAAACUAAUUUUAAAUAAUAAAGGCAAUAACACACAAUAAAAUAGUAGAAAAAUGUCCUGCUCCUGCAAGUGAGAAGUUAUUAAAAAAAGAAGAAGGGAAUAGAGUGGGAAAGCAAAGCAGGGUAUGUAACCUUAGGGUCAAUGUUCUGAGAGUGGUCUCCAGCAAGUGCUUCUCUGCUAACUUUGAGCAAAACCCUUCGUCAUUUAAAUGAUGACCUGCUACUUUCGUUCAUUGAGAGUCUCAAGUGAGACAUGGACGGAAUCUUGGACUUCCUGCCAACAAAUUUUAUUUAUUUUAACCAUAACAAACAGUUAUUAUUAUUAUUAUUAUCGUCUUAGUUCCACAGAAGCAUUUCUACAAACAGCUUGUUAGAAGAAGAGAAACAAACUUGAAAUUGAUGGGCUCAGGCGAAGCGGCCAUUUCAGAAUAAGAGGAGCGAAUGGCGAGACUGGUGGUGUGGGAGGUUGAAUAGAAAAUUAAUUCACAGAAAUUUGAAUAUUAAGGAAAUAACAAGAAACCCUAAACAAUCAAAUGAAGUAGAUGAUGCUCCACAAUGGCAUUCAUGCAUCCACAUUCCCAUUGAUGAAGGCCUCUCUUAGCUAUAAAAAAAUGAACACUUAGUUUCCUGCUUUAUACAAAACUGUCAAAAUUACACGAGCAUGGAUUAAAACAUAAAAAUUAAAAAUAAAAUUCUAUUUCGUCGCGGUAGCCUGAUAACGUUUAAUUUGCAGUCCCAGUGGGAGGUUCUGGUGAGCACGGUGUCGAACACGCUGAAGGCGAUGAGGAGAGGGGUGCAUCCGAUCCAAAACAUGGCGUGUGCCCAAUUAAAUGAAAAAUUACAGUUGGACAAAAUAUGAAAAUAUGUGACUGCUUUGAAUUAAGAUAUCCUUACAACUUCAGCUAAAACUAAGGUUGUGAAAAUUUGAUCCAACCCACUUGUUCAAUUGGUUAAAUCGAGAAUUAAUCUGUUAUGCAGUUUUUAAUAAUCCUUAAAACAAGAAAAUAAUCAUUAAACAGAUGUAAAACUAGGGUGUUAAAAAAAAAACUGAUUUAGAUUGGAUUAGAUUGUAGCGGAAUUUGAAUUGUUUUUUUUAACUAGUUUAAAAAAAAAGACGGUACUAUCUUAUAAAAUCAAGUUAGUUAACUCGAUUGUUUGUAUAAGAUCAGUUUCGUUAAUCGAAUUAAUUUUUAUUUAAAUAUUUUUUUAUUUGAAAAAAUAACUCAAAAUUAAUUUGAAAAUCAGUUCAAAAUUAGUUUGUUUGUUAAAAUUAAUUUAAAACUGGUUAAAAAUUAGUUCAGAUAAUAAUUCAUUUUUUAAAAUCAAUUUAAUUUUGUACCCGUUUUUAAAUCAAUUUGUAUAUUUAAAUAUAAAAUUGAACCGAAUAUAAAAUUGAACAGAUUGAAACAGUACACUGAUGCAAGAAAAGUAGAAACUUUGACUAAAGUUAUAAAAAGAGAAGGGGAUUGAAGGAGACAAACGAAACUCCUAUGAUCAAAGGCAAAUUUAUUAAAUAGUGAUUUAAUAUAUUUAAAAAGGUAAAUUUAUUAAAUAAAAUAUUAUAAAAUUUUAAUAUGUUAAAUAAAAUAUUAUAAUAAAUAAAUAUACUAUGAACAAAGUCAUUAAAGGUAAUGAAAAAUAUAUUUACGUUACUUUAUUAUUGUUUUUAUAUUGAUAAAAAAAUAUAUAUUAUAUAUUGUGUUGUUGAAAUUUAAUAUUACAAUUUUUAUAUCUUGAUUUUUAUAAUUGUAUAUUAUACUAAUUUUUCUUUUUUACUCAAAAUACAAAUCUGUUAUUGUUAAUGAACAUUAUUGUAUUUUAUUAAAAACUUAAAUAUUAUGGUAUGUUUUAUUAGACUUUUAAGUAUAUUUUGAAUGUUAAAGAACUUAUAAAGUUAUGUCAAAUUAUAUUUAUUUAGUAUUAUUGCAUAAACUUUUUAAUUAUUAAUAUUGGUUUAACCACGGUUCAACUAUGGUUGAACCUUUGAAUCAGUGUCUUAAUUGUUUAAUGAUCAAUUUGAUUUUAAAAAUAUUGGUUAAAACAUAAAUCUUAUAACUCAAUUAAAAACUCAAUAUACUCACUUCUAGAGCACAUUAAGGUUGGGAGCAAUUGUUCAAGAUGGACUAGGCUUCAAAUCCAAUUUGCAUAAUUGCCCACCUUAAUAUGUAGAAAUCAUAAAUCUUAGAAUUUGCAUAACAAAGCAUAUCAUAACAAUAGUCAAUUCACCAAUCGUCAUAUGAAGAUUCAAUCAUCAUACACCGUCGUUAGUCAAUCAAUCAUCAUCAUCAUGAUUUAUCCAUCAAACAUCAUCAUCACCUGUCCAUCAAUCAUCGACACCAAAGACAAAUUCAACUCCAUGAAGAUUUCACCUUUGAGCAAUUAACCCCAAAGUACUUCUCUUAACAUAGUCACACGGUAUGAUAUGACCAUUUUGGGAGACUUGAAUUAACCUUGUAAAAGAUAUAUGGUUUUAUCGAAAAUGAAUGAAUGUAGGUAGUGACUUACCUCGAUAAGGCUUGCAAAAACCUUAACCUACCAAAUGAUUAGUGAAUUUUAGCUAUGAUUCAGCCCACUAAUCCAAAAUCAAGUCCAAGAUUCUCCACUAAGUGUGCUUAGAUGUCAUGAGACAUGUAAAGCAUGAAGGACAUGCACAAAGUGUGACUAUAUGAUGUGACAAUGGGGUGUAACAAGAAAAUGCUCACCUCCCCCUCUAAAAUUUAAUUGGAUUGGGCUUCUCCCAACUCAAUUAAAUUUUAUCUCCCAAUACACACAUCAAAUAUUCACUUAAUGCAUGUAAAAUUACAAAACUAUCCCUAAUACAAAAACUAGUCUUGGUGUCCUAAAAUACAAGGGCUGAAAAAUCCUACAUUACUGGAGUACCCUACUUACAUUAUGAAGCUCUAAAUACAAGACCCAAAAAUAAUAAAAUUCUAAUCUAAUAUGUACAAAGAUAAGUGGGCUCAUACUUAGCCUAUGAGCCCAAAAUCUACCCUAAGGCUCAUGAGAACCCUAGGGUCUUCUCUUGCCUUUCUGGUUGAAUCUUCUUCGAGUCUUCUAUCCAAUGCCCUUGGGGGUAGGAUUGCAUCAUUCAUGAUGUAGCUUCAUGUGGAGCUUGUAGGCCUUGGAUCUUCUUCAUCAAUGGAGUCCUUUGCUUCUUAAAGAUCAAUGAUAGCGGAAUGGAGAAGGAAGAAAGAUGAUAGGAGAUGCUACUUCAAGGAGAAGAUGUGUCAAGAACAAGUUCACCACCAUAGGAAGCCAUGGAUAAGAGCCUGACUGUAGGAGAAGAUGAGUGGAGGGAGAAUGAGAGAAAGAGCAUGAAAUUUUAUGCCUCAAAUGAGGUCUGAACUUUAAAGUGUAAUUCCAAAUGAUCAAAGUUGAAAAAUGCACACACAAGACCUCUAUUUAUUGCCUAAGUGUCACACAAAAAUUGGAGGGAAAUUUGAAUUCUAUUCAAAUUUCACUUGAAUUUGAAUUUGAAUUUGUGGAGCCAAAUUUAGAGCCAAAAUUUCACUAAUUAUGAUUAGUGAAUUUUAGAUAUGGUUCAGCCCACUAAUCCAAGAUCAAGUCCAAGAUUCUCCACUAAGUGUGCAUAGGUGUCAUGAGUCAUGUAAAGCAUGAAGGACAUGCACAAAGUGUGACGAUAUGAUGUGGCAAUGGUGUGUAGCAAGCAAAUGCUCACCUCCCCCUGUUGUUCAACCUUCAUUUCCCAAUCUAGGUAGGCCUCAACAUUAUCUUUUCCGUGGAAAUAUGGGAGGCUAAUGUUAACCUCUUGAGGCCUUCUAUCCUUUUCUCUUCUUUGGGAGUAAUGUUUAGUAUGUGACCUAUGGAGCCCUCUAUAAUAGUCACUAAGUUCUUCACUUAAAUUUUUAACAGAGUCAUGACUACUAAAGAAGGCAUAUUUUUCUCUUUUCAUUUCUUUCAUUAUUUUUCUUCUUUCUUCCUCUCUUUCUUUCAUCUUGACUUAUUUCUUCCACUCUUUUUUUCCUUUUUCUUUUUUCUCUUGUUUUUCUUUCCAUAAUUUAAGGGAUCUCAACUCAUCUAAUAUCUUAUACAAGGGGUCCUUAGGAUUAGAACCCUCACCAUUAACACUAGAUGAAGAAUGAAUACUCAUGUUGGUUCCUAAGUUGUGGUUCUUUGUUGUUGGGGGUUUGAAAACAAAAGGUGAUGCAAUCCUAUCCCGCAAAGGCAUUGGGUAGAAGACUCCAAGUAGAUUAGGCUAGAGAUCCAAGGGAAGGCCCUAGGGUUCUCAUGAGCCUUAGGGUAGAUUUCAAGCCCAUGGGCUAAGUAUGAGCCCGCUUAUCUUUGUAAAUAUUAGAAUAGGUUUUUCCUUUGUUUGGGCCUUGUAUUUUGGCCAUUCUAGUAGUAUAGGGUUUUAGCCUUGUAUUUCGGGGCAUUUUGAGUAGUCUUUGUAGUAAGGACUUUUUUUUUGUAUUUUCAUGUUUUUUGUCAUGGGGGUGAGUUUGGCUAUUAUAGGGGGUGUGUAGCUAAGCUCUAGCUUCUCAUCUCAAGGAGGUGAGCUUAGCUAUUAGAGAGGUAUGUGUAGCUAAGCUCUAACUUCUUUAGGAAUCUUCUUAAGGAAGCUCCUCAAGGAGGUGAGCUUAGUUAUGAGAGGGGUGUGUGUAGCUAAGCUCUUGCUUCUCAAGGAAGUUUUCUCAAAGAAGCUUCUCAAGGAAGUUUUCUUAAGAAAGCUUCUCAAGGAAGCUACCUAGUCUAUAAAUAGAAGUAUGUGUAACACUUGUUGUAACUUUGAUGAAUGAGAGUCUUGUGAGACACAACUCAAAGUUCAACUUCUCUCCCUUUUUUUUCCUUCAAUUUCGUGCUCCCCCCUCUCUCUUUCUCUCCCUCUUUCUUUUCCUCCAUUGAAGCACCCUCUCUAAGCUUCUUAUCCAAGGCUCAUCUUGGUGGUGAAGCUCCUUCUUCCAUGGCUUAUUCCUUAGUGGAUGGCGCCUCCUCUCACCUCUUCUCCUUUGUCUUCCGCUGCAUCUCCAUGAUGGAAAAUCACCAUUAAAGGACCUCAUUGAAGCUCAAAGAUCCAGCCUCCAUAGAAGCUCCACAAGCAAGCUUCCAUCAAAAGGUAAAAGAAACUAUGGUUGAAACUAGUCAAAAUAAACACUAAAAGAGGUGUGAAAGAUAAGGUAAAAACUAAUUGGUAAAAGGAAAGCUAUCUAGGCGGUUUGACAAUGGAAGGUAAAGGAAAUUUAAAGCAAGCUAGACGGUUUCCUAUGUGAAGGCUUGGAUGACCCUUUGGAGGUCCCAACUAGCUCUUCACUUAGUCUACAUAGUUUACACUAAGCUAUUACACAAAAAUAGAGGUUUGGGCGAUCUCUUAGAGACUCCCAAUACACCCCUGAGGAAUGUCCAAAUACAAGGAAUUGCAAAAGAAAAAAUAAUUCAGCACUCAAUUGUUCUAUUACAACAAAUUUAACAAAGCAAUCAAGGUCUUCAAAUUGGUCUUCAAUGCUUGUUUGUUUUCUCAAGUGUUUCACUGAAAAUUUGGUGAGGCUUUGGUUGCUUCAAAUCCAAUGGUGCUCCUAAGAUGGUUAACCUCAAAGACUAAAAAAUAUUCCUUCAAGCACCGCACAAUUUCCUCUUCCAAGUUGUAGGCAACACUUAAACACAAAAAAAAAAAAGACAAGCAAGAAACCAAAAGAUGAAACGAAAGCUAAACUAAAAGGAAAUUUAAUGUGACAUUAAUUCAAUGAGAUUCAAGAAAAAAAAAAUAAAGUAAUAGGAAAGCACCACAAGCCAAGGUGGAACACAAAGGAAGUCCUAGAAUGACACUAUAUUAGAUUGAAAAAUUAAAAACAAGACUCAAAGAAAAAUUCUAGUUAUGUCAAUUUAGCAACACAUCUAAAACAUGAACAACUCCAAGGAGUCAAAUAGGCUUGUAAUACAACUCAAAAUAAUGAACUAUGGAAAUACAAGAACAAGUGUAGAUCUAAGAUUUAAUCGGUUUUUUUUUAAAUCUAUUCCAAAUAGAACCAAACCACAAGACAAUGGAGGGGAUACAUGGAGAAUAAGAUGAAGAACAAGGAAUUGAAGUGAAUUGACCAAACAAAAAGAUAGAGGAAGCAAAAGAACAUCACCUAGAUGAAGAUGCUCUUGAUACCACAUGAUGUAGCUCCAUGUGGAGCUUGUAGGCCUUGGAUCUGCUUCAUCAAUGGAGUCCUUUGCUUCUUGAAGAUCAAUGACAGUGGAAUAGAGAAGGAAGAAAUAUGAUUUUCCACUUCAAGGAGAAGAUGAGUCAAGAACAAGCUCACCACCAUAGGAAGUUAUGGAUAAGAGCUUGAAGGUAGGAGAAGAUGAGUGGAGGGAGAAUGAGAGAAGGAACACAAAAUUUUAUCCUCAAAUGAGGUCUGAACUUUGAAGUGUAAUUCUCAAAUGAUCAAAGUUGAAAAAAAUUCACAUACAAGACCUCUAUUUAUAGCCUAAGUGUCACACAAAAAUUUGAGGGAAAUUUGAAUUCUAUUCAAAUUUCACUUGAAUUGGAAUUUGAAUUUGUGGAGCCAAAUUUGGAGCCAAAAUUUCAAUAAUUAUGAUUAGUUAAUUUUAGCUAUGGUUCAGUCCACUAAUCCAAGAUCAAGUCCAAGAUUCUCCACUAAGUGUGCUUAGGUGUCACGAGUCAUGUAAAGCAUAAAGGACAUGCACAAAGUGUGACUAUAUGAUGUGACAAUGGGGUGUAGCAAGCAAAUGCUCUCCUCCCCCUUAGGAUGGUCCAAAACUUAAUUGGAUUGGGUUUCUCCAAUUCAAUUAAAUUUCUCUCCAACACACACACACACACAUCAAAUAGUGCACUUAAUUCAUAUGAAAUUACAAAACUACCCCUAAUACAAAAACUAGUCUAGGUGCCCAAAAAUACAAGGGUUGAAAAAUCCUACAUUACUAGGGUACCCUCCCUAUACUAUGGAGUCCUAAAUACAAGGCCAAAAAUAAUGAAAUCCUAAUCUAAUAUGUACAAAGAUAAGUGGGCUCAUACUUAGCCCAUGGGCCCAAAAAUCUAUCCUAUGGCUCAUGAGAACCCUAGGGUCUUCUCCUACAUCUCUGGCCCAAUCUUCUUGGAGUCUCCUAGCCAUGGCGUUGGUGGGUCCCCUCCUUGGGAGGAUUGCAUCAAGAUUUUUGCAUCUAUCCAUUCUAUAUGCUUAUUCUCGUUAGCCAUCAUAGACAACCUCCCACACUAAGUUGAGAGCCCACCCAAAACCCCCAACUUACGUGCCUACUCAAAACAACAAUAUCUAAACUUGGAUUCCUUGAGGUUUAAGAUUUGAUACCUUUGUAUCCACCUUCUCAAUCAUGGUCAAUCUCAAAUAUCCAAGUUUCACCAUCAACAACAACUCAUCCUAUAUACACUAAAAAUUCACUAAACCUCUUGGGAAGUAGUUCUCAACAUUCUGACAUGCCAUUUAGAGUUAAAACAUAUGAGUGGUACUCAGGAAGAUACCCCACUAGACAAGAACCCCCGGGUCAUUUUAGUAAGGCGGAGUUCUGAAUGGAACUUACCCUCCCAAGUAUACUAUUUUCCAAUAACAACAAAAUCUUCCCGAUGGAUAUAGUUAACUCCUUUUCACACAUAUGGAUGGUUCUCAAAACAAGAUCAUCAUCCACAACAAUCAUACAUCAUCUUUCAUUAUCACUAGAUUUACCUCAUCAAAAUAUUCAUAUCAUUAUCAAGAAAUCAACUAACCCAACUCAAUAGAUUCAUCAAUUAUCAUAAUUAUCUAAUCAUCAAUAUAAUAUUCUCAACAUGACCAAUUAACAAUAAUAAAAUCAUAGACCAAACUAGACACAGUAAAUAUGUAUCACUUUACCAUUAUAACAACUGUAUACUUCACGUUUAUGGUUAUUAAAGAAUUUCAUAAGUUUUGGGUUACUAUCUUCUUCAUUUUCUGUUCUACACCUAUGACCUUCAUUGCUUAUAAAUAUGAUAAAUAAUGAUAUACUAGCUCAAUUAAGUUGAUUCAUGUCUCAUUAGAUAUCUAAGAAGAUUAUUUCCAACUUUUAUGUUUACCCAAUUUACAUGAAACUUUUACUUAUAAUCGACAAUGUGACUUGUCCACUAAUUUAAUCAGUUCUAGAGUUAUACUUAACAAUUUUAAGUGAAAUGAAAGUCAUUAGUUAGCUAACAUUUAGGGCUACAACUUUAAUGAAGAUACUUUUCCAAAAUCAGACUUUAUAACCAACUUUUUACCAUUGUAAUCUAUUACAACUCAUUGUAAUUGAUUAUAAUAGAGCUCUGGUAAACAAAAUAGUCCAUAAACUCUAACUAAUCAAUUACAAACCUAUGUAAUCGAUUACAAUCAGCCUAGAAUCCAGAAUCAACCUCUGGAGCUCAUUUUAAUCAAUUACUACAUGAUAUAAUCAGUUACAAUGGUUUAAAACUGCAAAAAGUUAUGAUUUUUAAGCCAUAACAUAAUUUUUCAUCAAAACAAAAUCAUUCCUUUCCAUCCAAAAUAUUUAACAAGGUGUGUUUAUGAGGUUGGUUUAGAUUAUGCAGGAAUUUUGGGAAGUUUUACAACUCUUCCUUCUCUUUGCACCCUACAACUCACUAAACUCACCCACCCCAUUCCCAUCACUCAAUGUCACUCACCUAGGCCCAAAUCCUCUAAGCACCAACUAAUCAAAGAUGGAACAUCGUUUAAGCAUAAACAUAAAUAUAUAUAGACACCACAAACCAUCACCUUAUAAUUAAUUAAUUAUAGACACUUAAAUUAAAUUUAAUUAUUAUUGCAAUCCAAUUAAAACAAUUAAUCAAACAUUAUAAAAAUUGCAAUGCUACAUGAUUCCUAUAAUAUACUUGUGAACAAUAAAGUACACCUUGGUCCAGAGUAAAGUUAUUCAUUUGUUAAACCAAAAUAAGGUAAUAAUACCUCUGUGAGGUCUUGGGCCUUGUGCUAGGAAAUUUAACCCAUUCUAGACUGUUAUAAAUACAACUAAUGUCAUUGCAUGAGGUAAUCAUUUAUCAUAUGUUGUCACUUUAGUAAAAUUGUUACUAACUUGAGCAAUGAGGUACAUUUGCAAGUACUCACAUGUUCAUGACAUCUCAGUUGUGUUAGAGUAUAAUACUAUCACAAGAAAGGUUAGGAAGACUCUCUAUAAUACUCCUCUACUUCCUUUUGUACACUUCGGAUUUUGGACAACAAGGAAUGCACACUGGUUAGAGAAAUUGUAGAAUUCAAUCAUCGAAUUCAACCAUCCUACCUCAGUCACAACAUGACAACAACAUCAUUAUUUCACACAAUGGGUUACAUAGAUUGCCCAUGAAUGAUGGCCUUUUAGAGUUACUGCUUGCUACCACCAUUUCACACGUCUAGCAAUUAUCUUUGAUACCAAUUUUGUGUAACCAAGGGGGAUUGACACCAAGAAAAUUUUCAACAAUGGACCACGAGCACAUAAGUGAAGUUGACACAACCUUUUAAUCGAGAACCUCCAAAUGAAUAAAAUAUAAAUGAUAAAAUAGAAAAUUUAAAAUAUAAAUGUAAUAUUAAUGAAAUAUUAAUAUUCCAUUAAGACUAUUUUUUUCUAUUUCAAAUAUUAGAAAUUCUAUUAUUAUUAUUAUCAUGUUAUAAGUUAUAAUUGUUAUAAUUAUUUAUAACAAAAAUUCUUUAAAUAUAUAAAUUUUAUUAAGACAUUUGAUUUAUAAGUUUCUUCACUUAUAUGUUGUUCAACUUGUUGAUUCCUAUUUAAUAUAAGACUUUACCUUCACACACUUAUGGUGAUGGAAGUUAUUCUAACUCUAUAUAACUCAGCUUCAAUUUAUGUGUCUAGCUAGCAUCUAUUAUUGAAUAAUGGAGCAAGUAGCAACUUUACAUAAAGGUUAUCAUACCUGUUGGAAGUCGAUGUUCACUCUCAAAUGAUUUGUCUCGAUUAGCCAAAAUCAUGCAGUAGGAAAGGAACUACCUAUGUCAUGGGUCAAAUAUUAUUAGACAAGGGCCUAGAUAGUCAUGUUUAAUAUAAUAGGGAAAUGAAUUGUUUUAAUGUGAGGGAAAUAGUGGGGUCAAUGAGAUUCUGACAUGUAACAUUGAUGAACACUGACAGAGUUAUCUUUCUUAUCUUGUAUUGCGUUUGAGUACAUUAUACUCAAUUUUCAAUAAAUUUCUUCAAAUCGCUUUAUAAUCAUUAUGCUACCUUUACACGCAUUACUGCGUAUACAGUCAAAAUGAUAUGAAUGUUCGGCUAGCCACGUUGUUUUUGAACCUUCCUAAGUUCGACAUGGUUUUCUUCUAUAGAACUUCUAUAUAGUAUACAAAAUAUGUUAGGAAUUUUGGGUCAUUCAUAUAUAUAUAUAUAUAUCACAUAAUUGAAUGAGUUAGGGCCAUUAUUUUAUUAGCCAACAUAUUAAAGUGGUCUAAUCAAUAUAAAAUUAUGGCUAAGGGCAUAUAUGUCAUGAAAGACUAAUUGUGUAGAUACCAUUAGUGAUAUUAUAAUUUGAUGAGGGACCAAAUUAUAAUCAUCAAAUUUGGGGUAAUGGAUGACAAUUACCAAUAUAAGAGGUUAUGGGCCCCAUUUGUAGAGAGAAGUGACGAAACCUACAUUUUUGCUUUCUUUUUUCUCUUUAUCCCCAUCAGAAGAGAAAAUUUAGAGAAGAAAAUAAAGCUCUCUACAUUUUUAAGAUCAUAAAAUAAAUCUUGAUCCUCAUCAACCAUUCAUCACUUCAUUAUGGCUAAUCCAGAUACGCUUCCGCAUUUAGUUUUUAUCAUGAUUUUGAGUAUGAGAACACAAUAGGGUUUUAUUCAUCUUUAUGCAGUCAUUUCUCUCUACAUAGAUAGAAAGCAUGUGGUUAGGAUUCAUGAUUGUCUGUUAGAUUCAAAUUAGGUUGAUUGAUUGAAUCCCUACAAUUGGUAUCAGAGCCACCCAUACUUGAUUCAUGUAUGAUUUUGGAAAUUUUAUUUAUUCAGGCUACUGACAUAUUCUAAAUUUUAAAUGAAUUUAGAUAUUUUACAUAUUUUUGCUUGAUCUUACCAACAAUAUGUAAAUGCACCGCUCAUUUAAAGGUUACAGUGCAUCAUUUAUAUAUAUACAUAUAACUUUGUGCUCGUUCUUACUUUUAGAGGCCGUUACAGUAAAUUAAAAUAACAAUCAUGGGCUUCUAAAAUUUAAAAUAAAUAAAUAAAGUUAAAAUAAUUUACUCUAGAAAUGUUUUAAUUUUGGAUUUGGUGCAUCAAUGUUCAAAAUUUAGUUAUGGUAUAUCAUUUUAAUUGUUUAGCAUUUAAAUGAGCUAAUUGAAUCAAUAUAUCACCAAAGUGAUCUCUCUUGUGUAGAUAGUUCAUGAGAAAUGUUAACGUGUGUAAUUAUUUAUAUAAAUGGUGAUUGGCCCAAAGGAAAGUUACUAUUUAACUAAUUUAAAUACACACUUGUGAUGUUAAACAUAUUAUAAUUAUGAGGUUUUGCAUGUGAAUGAUAAGUCACAUCAAAAGAUGGGUUUGUUAUUUUAUAUGCUUUUAUUAUCAAUGUUUGAACAUUACAACAAGGAUAUCACUAGCAAUUAAUACCAUUGUCCAAAGACUUGAUAUUAAUGGUGUACUAGAUACCUUGGGAUGGGAUAUACCAUUAUUUAAAUGCAUUGAUGACUGUUAUGUGAGCUUAUUGUAUUAUUUGUUUUGAUCUUUUCAAUUGUUGCUUCUAUAUUUGCUAAUUUGAAUUCGAUUCCGGUUCUUAAUGGUACAAAUUUUAAGGACUAGAAAGAGAACAUGAAAAUUGUACUUGGCUGCAUGGAUCUAGACCUUUCAUUAAGGAUUGAGAAACCCCAUUCUCCUACGGAUUCUAGUACCUCUGCACAGAGGAAACUUCAUGAGAAGUGGGAUCACUCAAAUCGCAUGAGUCUUAUGAUCAUUAAGUGCGGCAUUUCUAAGGUCUUUUAGGGCACUAUUUUAGAUGAUAUAACUAGUGCCAAAAAAUUCCUUGUUGAAAUUGAAAAUUGUUUUGCAAAAAGCAAUGAGGCGGAAAUUAAACAAGUACUCUUCUUCAGAACUUAAUUUCCAUGAAGUAUCAAGGCAAAUGAAAUGUCAGGGAAUACCUUAUGGGAAUGUCAAAUAUUGCUUCAAAAUUAAGGACACUAAAGCUUGAGCUUUUAGAAGACUUGCUUCUUCAUUUAGUGCUAAUUUCUCUACCUUCACAAUUUAGUCAGUUUAAGAUCUCUUAUAGCUGUCAGAAGGUCUCUUAAUGAGCUCAUUUCAUACUGUGUGCAAGAAGAGGAAAGACUGAAGCAAGAAAGGACUAAAAGUGCUCAUGUUGUAAGUACUUCUAAAGACAAGGGCCAAAGAAAAAGGACUGAGGAGCCCAAGAAUGAAACUACCAAGGGUCCAACACAAAAGAAACAAAAUCAAGGUGACAACUGUUUCUUUUGUAGUAAGCCUAGACAUGUAAAGAAGAAAUGUACCAAAUAUCAUUCUUGGUGUGCAAAGAAGGAUAUGUUUCUUACUUUGGUCUAUUUUGAGGUCAAUUUAGCUUCAAUACCUAGAAACACUUGGUGGUUAGAUUCUGGUGCCACUACUAACAUCAAUGUUUCGAUGAAGGGUUGCCUAAGCUACUGGAAGCCAAUUGAUUCUGAAAGAUAGAUAUAUGUUGGAAAUGGUAAAUCGAUAGAGGUGGAAGCUAUAAGGCACUUUAUUAUUAUUAUGUACUGGUUUUUAUUUGGAUUUGAAAGACACUUUUGUUGUACCGUUAUUUAGAUGAAAUUUGGUUUCAGUUUCUUAUUUGGACAAAUUAGGUUAUUUGUGUUCAUCUGGAAACAAAGUGUUUAGGUUGUAUUUUAAUUCAAAUAUUGUUGGAGCUGGUUCACUCUUGGCUUAUGAUAAUCUAUAUUUACUUGAUAUUGUAGCUUCCUAUGGUGAAUCCUUUAAUGUGGAAUUGCGUGAUACAAAGCGUAGAAUUGAUAAUACAAGAGCAUUAUAGCAUAAGCGCUUAGGUCACAUUUCUAAGAAUAGAAUUGAACGACUUCUGUCAAACAUAAUCUUGGAUUCCAUUGAUUUCACAAGCUUUGAUGUUUGUGUUGAAUGCAUUAAAGUUAAAUAGACCAAAAGCAAGAAAUUAGGUGCAUAUAGAGAUACAAACGCCUUGGAAUUGAUGCAUACAGACAUUUGUGGGCCAUUUCAUACACCUUUAUGGAAUGGUCAACAAUAUUUUAUAUCAUUCAUAAACGAUUACUCCAGAUAUGCAUACAUGUUUCUUAUACAUGAAAAGUCACAAUCUCUGGAUGUGUUCAAAACAUUUAAUGUUGAAGUUGAAAAUCAUCUCAACAAAAGAAUUAAGAGUGUUAGAUCUGACUGUGGUGGUGAAUACUAUGGUAGAUAUGACGGUUCAGGUGAACAACAUUCGGGGCCUUUUGCUAGGCACCUAGAGGAAUGUGGAAUCAUUCCAUAGUACACCAUUCCAGGGUCACCUAGCGUGAAUGAUGUGGCUAAAAGAUGAAAUAGAACUCUUAAGGAUAUGGUAAGAAGUAUAAUUUGUCAUUCUAACUUACCAGAGUCACUCUGGGGAGAGACACUAAAGAUUGUAGCUUACAUUCUAAAUAGAGUGUCAACCAAGGCAGCUACUAAAACACCUUGUCAGCUUUGGGUUGGGUGAAAGCCUAGUCUGAAACAUUUUCAUGUAUGGGGAUGUCUAGCCGAGGCAAGACCUUAUAAGCCAAAUGAAAGGAAAUUGGACUCCCGAACAGUAAGCAACUACUUUAUUGGCUAUUCUAAAAGAUCCAGGGGCUAUAAAUUUUAUGAUACCAAAUUAAAGAUAAUUUGUUAUCGUUCAUGAAGAACAAACUCAAGAUCCUCAAGAACCUAUGCUUCAUGAGCUAGUACCUUUGCAGGGAUCUACAUGAGAAAGGAGAAGUGCCAUUCUAGAUGAUUAUGCGGUAUUUCUCCAGGAACAUGAGGAAAAUAAUGGAAUGAUGGAAGAUGGCCCAGUCAAUUUCCAUCAAGCCAUGCAAGAUUCCAACUCAUAAAAGUGGAUUGAAUGAAUGAGGAGAAUAAGUCGAUGCAAGACUACAAGGUUUGGGAACUUGUCCCAUUACCAGAAGGUGUGAAACCCAUUGGUUGCAAAUGGAUGUUUAAGAUCAAACAGGAUUCCAAAGGUAAUGUGGAGAGGUAUAAGGCUCGUCUUGUGGUGAAGGGCUAUACUCAAAAGGAAGGGAUUGACUUUAAAGAGACUUUCUCUCCAGUUUCAUCGAAAAAAAAUUUUAGGACAAUCAUGGAUCUUGUUGCACAUUAUGAUUUGGAGUUUCAUCAAAUGGAUGUUAAGAUGACAUUUCUCAGUGGCAACAUUGAUGAGACAAUUUAUAUGGGGCAACCAGAAAACUUUGUGUCAGGAGACCCAAAGAAUAUGGUUUGCAAACUGACAAAAUCCAUUUAUGAGCUAAAACAUGCAUCUGGUCAAUGGUACCACAAAUUUCAUCAAGUAAUUCUCUCAUUUGGUUUCGAGAUGAAUCUUGUUGAUGAUUGUGUGUAUCACAAAUUCAGUGGGAGCAAGUAUAUUUUCUUGGUCUUAUAUGUUGAUGACAUACUGCUUGCCACUAAUGAUAUAUGCAUGUUGCACAAAACCAAGACAUUUAUAUAAAAAAACUUUGAAAUGAAAGAUCUUGGUGACGCCUGCUUUGUAUUAGGAAUUUAGAUACAUCGAGAUCGAUCUCGGGGUAUUCUAGGAUUAUCACAAAUAAGCUAUAUCGAAAAGGUACUUAAAAGGUUUAGCAUGCUGGAAUGUAAAUUCGGGGAUACUCCAGUUGCUAAGGGAGACAAGUUUAGUCUCAAACAGUGCACAAAAGAAAAAUUGGAAAUUCAGGAAAUGCAAAAGAUUCCCUAUGCAUCAGUUGUAGGGAGUUUGAUGUAUGCCCAAGUAUGUACGUGUCCGGAUAUAACAUACAUAGUUGGGGUAUUAGGCAGAUAUUUAAGCAAUCCAGGAAUAGAUCAUUGGAAAGCAGCCAAAAGAGUUAUGAGGUAUUUGAAGAGAACAAAGUAUUAUAUGCUCACAUACAAGAGGUCAGAUCAGUUGAAGAUCACUAGGUAUUCUGACUUGGAUUUUACAGGAUGCCUAGAUAGUUUGAGAUCCACUUUGGGUUACUUUUUCAUGUUAGUCGAUGGUGCGGUUUCUUGGCGUAGUGCCAAGCAAACCCUUAGUACUUCAUCCACUAUGGUGGCAGAAUUUGUGGCAUGCUAUGAGGCAUCAAAUCAUGGAAUAUGGUUGAGAAAUUUUGUCACAAGGCUGCAAAUUGUGGAAGGAAUUGAAAGACCACUUAAGUUAUAUUAUGACAACAAAUAAGUUGUAUUGUAUUCUAACAAUAAUAGGAGCUCAACCAAGUCGAAACAUAUUGACAUCAAGUUCCUAGUUGUUAAGGAAAGGGUAUAGAGUGAACAAAUUUCCAUAGAACACUUAGGGACAAACUUCAUGAUAGCAGAUCCUCUUACUAAGGGACUUCCACCCAAGGUCUUUCAUGAGCAUGUUGAUCACAUAGGUGUUUUACAGUUCGAGGAAUCUUUGGUUUAGUGGGAGUUAGUCACUUUUAUGUUAUAUGUUAGAUUUUAUGUAUGCAUACAUUAACUUUUGGAUAUAUUUGGUUAUAUAUAUGUUUUAUUAUUCAGUUAUUACACUUUGUACAUUAAGGUUAUUAAAUGAUCUCAUUAAGGCAAAGUAGGACCAGUUGAAAAUAGAUGUGUACAGGUCACCUUCACGUAAUUUUCAUGCUACACAUUUCAUGAUGAGUCUAUGUCAUUUGAUUCUGUCAGCAUUAGUGAUCAUUGAUGAAUUUAGUUGUGAUUGAUACAAUGAAAACUACUUUGGUUCUAUGUGCGGAUAUAAUAAAUGUACAAGAUUUUUGAAAUAUGCUCAAGGCAUGUAAUGACAAAUUUUAAGCUCUUAAAGUCUAACACAUUCAUAAGGAUUCUAAGGAUACACGCACACACACACACACACACACCCAUUAAAGUGGUCUAAUCAAUAUAAAAUUAUAGCUAAAGACAUAUGUGUCAUGAAAGACUAAUUGUGUAGAUACCAUUAGUGAUAUUAUAAUUUGAUGAGGGGUCAAUCUUGAUCCUCAUCAACCAUUCAUCACUCCAUUAUGGCUAAUCUAGGUACGCUUCCGCAUUUAAUUUUCAUCAUGAUUUUGAGUAUGGAAACAUAAUGGGAUUUUAUUAAUCUUUAUGCAGUAAUUUCUCUCUACAUGGAUAAAAAACAUGUGGUUAGGAUUGAUGAUUGUCUGUUAAAAUCAAAUUAAGUUGAUUGAUUGAAUCCCUACAAAAUAAUCUUGCACGAAAAUAUGACGUGCCUCCUUUAAAGAAUAACACAAAAGAUGAUGAUACUUGGACAACUCAUUGUAUUGAACACUUGACGCAUGAUUUCGAAUCUCACUGCUGAAGAUCUUGUUAACGAAUAAUAUAUAAGUAUAUCUAUAAAUGUUUAUUGAGUCUUGAGGUAUGUCGUAAUUGUAAUGAGUCUUUGAGAUUCAACUUACCUAAAUUUAUUCUACAAAAAAUAAAAUAAAAACAGUACAUUACCUUUCAUUUUAUUUACCUUUCUUCAUAUUUAAUGGUAUCACCUAUAAUAUGCAUACUUUUCAAUCUUUUUUAUUUUGUCUCUCUUUAAGUGUUACCUAGCAUUUUGGGUGUUCAUCAAUAUUGUCUCCACGCAUAUUCUUACGUUGUGUUUGAUGGAAACAAGUUACUAAAUAAUAACUAAUGAGAUACAUUCAUAUCUUUCGUAGUAUCAACUUGUGUCAUCCAGCAUUCCUCUUCUCCAAAUCACCCAAAAAGAAAAGCAACAACUAAUUUGGAAGGCUCAUUCAAUGGAGACUAGAGUCUAGAGCAUCCAUUAUCACAGCAACAAUGACGGUGUUAAACUAUAUUGACCUCUUUAAACGUACGUUCAAGAUGCAACCACCCAGAUAAUAAUCCCUAAACCAAAAACUAUUAUAAAUAAAGGGAAUAUGGAACAAGAGUAUCUCAAGCCUGCAGAUAUUUCCCUUUUGAGCUUUGAUUAGUGUGGCCUAGUUGUUGUUUUCUCAUGAAAAAGGCUUCCGCUAUGCAUUGCGCACUUUUGCGCUUCUGGGUUCCCUUGUUGCUGCUUGCCAGCUUCAGUUUUGCUCCUUCUGUUUUGGCCAAAGCUGAAAUUUCAGGUUUGUGCAUGGCUCAUGCUAUACUGACACACAUUUUUUUUUGUUAGGCUUUUAUUUUAGAAAAUAUGCAGUAUGUUUCUUUGUGUCUAUUCUUAUUAAGUUUUAUUCAUUUUAAUAAUUACGUUUAAAAGAAAAAGUAGAAUUUGUAAUUAUAUGGACUAAUUUCAAAUUUCAAAAGGUGACGUACGAAGAUUGGAUCCAUACUUGACAUGCAUAUAAUUAGGGCAUUCCUCGUGGCAUGUGAGAUGAAAAACUAUUCAUGAACUGUAUGUACGUCGGUAUAGCCUAUGUUUUAAUGAAAAUAAAAUGGUACUUUUAGUUGUUCUCUUACUGAUAUUAUUGUAUUCCGAAUUCAAUUCAAUUAUUUAUCUUGGCAUACAGUAUAUGCGUGAAAUUCAAUUAUUACAUUUCAUAUAGGGACUAGUAAGGACCACAUGAUUUUAGACUGUACAACAAUUUGAACCACUAAGAUGACGGUUGGAGUAAUAUGCACGAAGUUAGAGAUUUUUAUUUUUUGAAAAGGUGAGUUAAGGAAUGACAAAAUGAUAGGACAUUUCAACAAUGUUAACAUUUCCUAUCCCAAUCAUAACAAGCACACCUAAAAUUUAUAUUAAUUAAUAUCCACAAAAGAAGAAAAAACAUGAAAGCAUGAGGGACAACAACCAAAACCCAUACCAAAAAAAAUACAUCAAGUAAACAUAUAGUAAGGGUCCGUUGCAAGUUACAGAUUUAAACUUGUGCAACUGUUGUAAAAAAAAUAAAAUACUACACAAUAAUUUUCCAACUAGCUAGUUAAGGUCCUUUGCAAGUAGCAUAAUUAUAUGGUCUAACUAUGAUUGGCAAUGCAUUUUUCAUUUUAGUUUUGCAUAUAUAUAUAUAUAUAUAUAUAUAUAAAUAAAAAUUCAAUUAUUUGCAAUGCAUUGACAAAAUAUUUCAAAUUUUAUAUUUAUUACAAAUAUAUUAUUGUGUUUAACUUAUAUACUUUUUGCUUUUCUUUGUAGGGAAUGAAGUGAACACACAUGGGAAGGUUGUAAGUGAAGAGUUAACCAAAUCCAGUCUAAAAGAACAAAAUGAAGAGGAAAAAUUCAAAGGAUUCUUUCCAAAACCAAUUCCAAUUAUUAAACCUAUUUCAAAGCCCAUUCCCAUUAUUAAACCUAUUCCAAAGUCAAUUCCUAUUGUUAAACCUAUUCCUAUUCCAGUUUAUAAGCCUAUAUCAAAACCAAUUCCCAUCGUUAAGCCUAUUCCGAAGCCAUUUCUGAUUGUUAAACCAAUUCCUAAUGACGAAGAAAAAUUCAAAGGUGUUUUUCCAAAACCUAUUCCCAUAGUUAAGCCAAUUCCAAAGCCAAUUCCCAUUGUUAAGCCUAUCCCUAUUCCAAUAUAUAAGCCUAUACCAAAAUCAGUUCCCAUUGUGAAACCAAUUCCUAUUAUUAAACCAAUACUAAAGCCAAAUCCCAUUGUUAAGCCAAUUCCAAAGCUGAUUCCCAUUGUUAAGCCUAUACCAAACCCAUUAAGAGUGAAAAAGUCUAUCCCUGCUUUUGGGUCAGAGGAAUUUUUAAAACCAAAACCUUUCUUUGAAAAGCCUAUUCCUAAACUACCACUUGAUCCUAAAUUCAAGAAACCUCUUCUACCACCAUUGCCAAUUCACAAGCCAAUUCCAACCCCAUAAAAUGAUAACACUCUACGCCAUAAAGCUAUAAGGAUAUUCCUUCCGUUUCUAAUGCCUUUAUAUAUAUAAAUGCACCGCAUUAAUUUCAACCUGAAUCAUGAUUUCGAUAAUCCUUUCGUACCCCUCUUGUGUACUGGAUUGGAAUAUAUAUGUACUUGAUGUUUUCUAUGUAAUGAAGGUCUCAAUAUUAUUAUUUGUAAGAUUAAUUAUAUUAUUAAGAAAUGGUUCGCUUUUUUUGUUUUGUUUAAGUAAAAUGUUUAGUUAUCACUCCAAGAAAUUUCACUAUUAUCGAUAGGAAAAAUCCGCCGGUAUAUAUCACAAAUUUUUUGUCGGUAAUGAAAUUUUAACGACAAAAUACCGACGAACAAAAUCCCAUCAACAAUAACCUUAUAGGAAGCUUUUACUGACAGAUUUUAAUGACAAACUUUUUACCCACGGACUUUACUAACAGAUGUAUAUGUGGGAAAACAUCGACAUAUUUUUUCGUGGGAAAUUAUGACAGAUUUUCGUGGGAAAUUAUUGAUGGCUUUUUCUGUUAAAAAUUACCGACAAUUUUUUUUUGGGAAGUUACUGAUGGAUUUUGCCAUGAAAAGCUAUCAAGGGAGAUUUUUAAGUAAAAAAUUGCUGAUGAAUUUGUCCAUCUAUAACAUAUUUUUUAAUUAAUUAUAUUUUUUGUUUUCAAAUAUAUAUUUAAAUUUUUAUUUUAUAAUUUUAAAAAUAAACUAAAAAAUGAAAAUAAAAUAUAAAUAAAUUAAAUACGUUGAGUUCAACCAAAUCUUGUUCAUUUAUGAUUUUUGCAAUUCAUUGACAAAAUAAGAACAUAUAAAAUUCCUUUGCUUAUGAACAUGGGUAAGUAUUCUAAUAAUAAGCACAAAAUACAAAUUUUGUAAUCCCAGGAGCAAGACUUGUUUUAACUAUCCAAGAAAGCAAGAAUUAAUUAGAUGGAAGACUGCCAUGAUUGAGUUCCACUGGGUGCUGAUGCUAAUAAACUUUUGUAACUUUUUCUACAUAUUUUAUCUAGUUACUCAUAGAUUAUAUUAUAUUACCCACGGAAUAAUCUCUAGGUAAAUUACCUUUGAAAUUAUUCCCCCAGAAAGGUACCAAAUUUUUUGAUUGAUUUUUCGACAGAAUGCUUGUCGAUAAUACUCUUUUGAUGUUACCUAUGACCUUUCAUUUUUACUGGUGGAUUUAUCCAUCAAUAAUGCAAAAUUACUAACGUAUCUUAAUCCAUGGGCAAAUAAAUAGACACAUUCUUUUAGUAGUAUUUCCAUUUUACAUUUUUAAUUAGAAGAUGAUAUUUAAUUGUGUUUAUGUGUAAAGACAUAAAGACCAUUAAAUCAUAUAUCUAUUUUUAUACAAAGGGUAAAUCUUAUCUAUUAAUUCCUAACAUUAAUAGUUAAUAUCAAACUUCCUCCGUUCCAAAUUAAAUGUCGCAUUUUAAAAAAUAAAUUAUGCUAAAAUAAAUGUUAUGUUAACUUUUUAAUAUAAUAUUAUUUUUUUAUUUUUUAUUAAUACAUAUAUCUAAUAAAUGUCAUUUUAGUUUUUUUAAUGUAAUAUAAAUACUGAGAUAAAUUUUCUAAAAUUACAAUUCUCUUUCAUAUAUUUAUUAACUUUUCUUAGUAUGUUAAAAAUAACUUAGGAUGAAAUUUAUUUUAGAACCGACAAAUAAACCACUAAAUUAGGUCCUAUAUGGCUUGGGUGCUUGCAAGUUUUUUUGUUUUUAAACUUUUGAAAAAAGCCUAUAAUGGGAUAAUAUUAAUUGAAAUAAUUUUUAAAUGAAUUUGAAACUAUUUUAAUAUUUAUGCACUGUUACAAUGCCCUAGGCAUUUUGUUAAAAUCUCUGAUGUUAGACUUCAGCAAGUCAUAUGCUAUAUGGCUCUUCACCGUAUUCAUAUAUAUAACGAUUUUGAUUUUACUUAAAAAAAAACACUUUUGGAUCCCUUAUUGGUAAAUACUUACAAAUACAACACAAGCUUCAAUAUGUUCUAGAUUCGUUAAACCUAAAAAACUUUUUACUUUUUUAUCUCUCAAAUUUAAAUAUUUUUUAAGUACUUCAAUAAUUCUGAAAAAUUAUUUUUUAAUCUCUGUAUAAAAAUAAAGAAAUAUCCUUGUGACCCCAAAAUUAAUAGAAGUUUUUUUAUGUUAAGGGAAUAGAAAAAUAUUUUUCGAAAUUGUGAAACUAAAAAAUUAAAUUUAAAUUUGAAGAACCAAAUUGGUUAUAUAUAUAUAUAUAUAUAUAUAUAUAUAUAUAUAUAUAUAUAUUUUGAUGGUUGGCAUAAGGGGUACCAACAACCCAUAUACAAAAAUAUAAUUGUUAAAUACCAAAAUGCUUCCCAUUGGUUAUUAGUUCCUAUUUAGAACACCGAGUUCUCAUUAGGACUAGGUGAUCAACGUAAGUUUAUGCUUUUGAUUACAUGUAGGUCUACCUUUUGAGCUUGUUGCUUCUUGUGUGGGUGCUUUCGAACUGUGAAGACAUCUGUGUCCCAUUCUCCGUUUACUCUUUGCAUCUUUUGGUGCUUCUUCAUGUCAUCUGUAGUUUUUUUUUUAUCGCACUACCCCUUUUGAACAAUCCUUCUGGUCAUGUUUCUGAUAAUACAUAGUUUUUUUAUCUCGUUGCAUCCUGGAAAAUAUGAUUUGUCUUUCAUGCUUUUCAUGUUUCUGAUUAGCUAUAUCCUUGUCCUGCUUCGAUGGGGUAGAUCCUGCAUCUGGAAGGGUAACAUACUUCAAACUAAUGCUUCACGUUUUUCUUCAUACUUCUUAAUCAAGUCAUGUCUAAUAAUCACAUACUCAAGGCAAACCAUCAAUAGCUGAAGUCUAGACAACUUAGAAUCUGCUUUUUAAUAGUUUCUUGAUUAAAACUAUAAUUUUAGGAGGAGUUCUUCUUCAACAGUUAGAACUUGAGGUGUCACACCUCAUUAGUCAACUUCAAAUCAAUUUCUAAACUUAGAGCUUUGGUAGAAGUAGUUAAGUCCUGUUGUACUUUUCUAUUUCUAGGUUGAAGAUUGGUGUUCUCCACAGUAAGAAUGAUCACCUUCUUCUUGGCAUCCUCUAAAUCAUUGGUGAUCUUAAACCUUGGCCACUAAAGCUCGACGUUUUUCCUUGUCACUUGCAACAAAAGAAAGAAUUAUGUUGUGUACUUUUGUUACAUGGAUUGGGUUCCAGGCUAUACUUGAGACCUAAUUUAUAACUGGUCACCUGACUCAAAAUUAUUUCUUCUCGACUCAUAUGUAAGCAAAAAAAGUUAUUUUUAUCUUAGACUUAAAUAUAAGUAAAUUUAAUUAAUCUCACUCCUAUUUAAUGAUAUUAUUUUUAACACUCUUCAAUUAAUUACAACUCAAUUUUUAAAGUUUCUAUUUUACUCACGAUAUUAAGUUCUAGUGAAAAACAUUUUAAAAAUAAUCUUAUUUUUUUAUUUGAGAUAAAUAAAAUUAAAUAAUUUAAAUUAACUUUCUUAAUUAAUGUGAAAGUAGUUAAUUUUGCUUAUAAAGAGAGCAUUAGACUAGCCUAAUGGGCCAAGUGUUGGUUGAGGACAGCUCCUCUACCAAGAGUAUCAUUCCUUUACCUUUAAUACACUUGUAAACAGAAAAGUACACCUUGACCAGAGCAAAGUUACUACAUCAAUACAGGAUAAUAUUACCUUGGAAGACCUUGAGCUUCGUGAGGAAAAUGACCCAUAUCUCAAACUCUAAAUACAACCAACAACGAUGUAUUUAAAAUAAAAAAUGAUUUAUGUAUUAUUACUUUAUUAUAUAUCACGGCUCUAGUAAACUUGCUAUUGACUUAAAGUGUUAAAAGUACCUUUUGGAGGUAUUUACCUCCUACUUGUGGCAUCUCAGCCGCAUUAGAGUGUAGUACCAUUGUUCCUACACUUCAGAUCUUUGUCAACAAGGAACCUGUUGGUUAGAGCAAUUACAGAAUUUGGUCAAACUCAAUUAUCCUAUCUCAUGCACCAUAACAACAACAAUAAACAAUAACAAAAUCUUUAUUCUACUAGACGAGAUCAUCAGUUACAUAGAGUGCACACCGAGCUUAUGAAUGUAAGGCAAAAUAUUAAUUAAGGUUCUGUAUAUGACUCAGCUUCAAUUUAUAUAUGUGUCUAUUUAGCAUCUAUUAUUGAAUAAUGGCGCAAGUAGCAACUUUAUUAUAAAAGGUCAUAGUAGUAUCUGCUGGAGGUUGUUGUUCACUGUCAAAUGACUUAUCUCAAUUCAGGACCGGCUUAAGAUUUAAGCAGCCCAAGGAAGGACUUUAAGCCCCAAAAAAAAGUCCUAAAUUUUUUUUAAUACUAAUAUAUCUAAAAAAAUUAUUGUAAAAUUAUAUUUAAAAAUGAAUUUUAAUAAAAAAAAUUUAAUACUAAUAUACCUCAAAAUAUAAAUUUAUUUUAGGUCUCUCAAGUUCUUGAACCACCCUAUCUCAAUUAGCGAAAAUCAUGCGACAGGAACCUACCUAUGAUGCCUCAAAUAUAAGACAAGGACCUAGUUAGUCAUGUUAACUAUAAUAGGGGAAGGAAUUGUUUUAUUCCGAUGGUGGGGUCAAUAUAUGAGAUUCUUAUAUAUAAAAUGCUGAUGAACAGAGUUAUCUUUCUUAUCUUGUAUUACUCAAUUUUCAAUAAAUUCCUUUUGUUUAUUAAAAAAACAAUUUAACUGUUAUUUUAUAAAUUAUAAUGUUAACUGAUCAACUUUCUUUGCCUCAUUGUGUUUGAAACUUCCUAAGUUCGAACAGUAUUCUCUAAACACCCAAAAUUAAGGAAAAGAAACACCUUAUUACUUGGGAGGUUCAUUUAUUGGACAGAGCAUCCCAUGCAUUAUCAUAGCAACAACAACGGUGUUUAACGCUAUUAACCUCCCUAAACAUAUGACCACGUUCCAACAACUCACAUAAUAAUCCCUAAACCAAAUCUAAAAUUUCGGAGUAUAUUAAAAAAAAGUAAUGGCCAAUAGUACACUUAAUUUACUGUUAGUCCCAAGCUAAGUAUUAUAAAUAAUGGGAGUAUGCAUGAGACGUUAACUCAAGCCUUGAGAUAUUUCCCUUUUGAGGUUUGAUUAGUGUGGCCUAGUUAAUUUGUUUUCUCGAUGAGAAUGAGAAAGCAAUCCACUAUGCAAUGCGCACUUUUUCGCUUCUGGGUUCCCUUGUUACUACUUGCCAGCUUCAGUUAUGCUCCUUCUGUUUUGGCCACAACUGAAAUUUCAGGUUUGUAGCUCGUCUAAUACUGACAUACAAAUAAUUUUGUUAGGCUUUUAAAUAUGAUGUUUUCAAUCCUCAACAAAAAAAAUUAUUCAUUUUAAUAAUUACAAUAUUACAAUUAAAAAACAAUAUAGUUUUUGUAAGAUGUUAAAAGUAUAAUAUAUAAUCUUUAUAACUUAAAAUUGAUUAAUUUUGAAUAUGGGUUAAUUUCAAAAUCAGAGAUAAGAACAUAUAUAUAUAUAUAUAUUAUCUUGUUAUCUAAUAUAUAUAAAAGGCUUAAAUAUAAUUUUGAUUCCCCUAUUCUGUUCACUAUGUAAUCUUAGUCUUUUCAUUUUAAAAUAGAGAUAUUUGAUCUUUUUUGUUAAAAUUUUUUAUAAUUUUAGUCCUUAUAUUUCAAAAAAAAAAAUAUUUGGUCCUUCUAUUUUAGAAAUUUCACAAAUAUGAUGUAUUUUUUCUAUUAAAAAUUUGACAAUUUUGGCAAAAUUUUUAAUUUGAUCUACAUUUUAUUUCUUUAUUUCUUAUAUUAUAAUUAAUUAAAUCAUUUUUAUGAUACGUUAAAUGAAUAUGUUAGGUCUAUGACUCAACUGGAUCAAAAUGAAAGAAAUAAAGCAUAGACAAAAUUAAAAAUUUGACUAAAAUUGAAAAUUUUGAAAAAAUAGGAAGAUCAAAUAUUUUUAUUUUGAAAUAGGAAACUAAAAUCAUAAUUUUUUUUAUAAAAAAAUAGGGACCAAAUAUUGUGAAUUAAGCUAAAUAGAAAGAUCAAAAUUUCCUAUUAAAACAAUCAAAUAACUUAGUAGCUCUUUCAAAUGAAAUAAUUCAAAAGAGAUAUGGAGAUCCGGUCCCUUCAUGAUGUUAAUUUCUUCAACUAGUUAUGGCCAUGUUCUUAACUAGCUUAAAAUAUGUGUGAUUUGCUUGUUAAAACAAUCAAAUAAACUUAGUAGCUCUUUCAAAAAUAUUAUUUGUGUUUAAUUAUAUUUUUGAAUUUCUUAUGUAGGGAAUCAAGUGAACAUGGAUGGGAAGGUUGUAAAUGAAGAGUUAGGAAAACCUAAUCUAAAAGGACAAGAUGAAGAAGAAAAAUUCAAAGGACUUUUUCCAAAACCAAUUCCAAUUGUUAAACCUUUUCCAAAGCUCAUUCCUAUAAUUAAACCUAUUCCAAAGCCAAUUCCGGUUGUUAAACCAAUUCCUAUUCCACUUUAUAAGCCUUUUCCAAAAUCAAUUCCUAUUGUUAAGCCUAUUCCAAAGCCAAUCCCAAAUGGUAAGCCAAUUCCAACUGAAGAAGCAAAAUUCAAAGGUUUUUUUCCAAAACCUAUUCCCAUAGUUAAGCCAAUUCCAGUUGCCAAGCCAAUUCCUAUUGUUAAGCCUUUUCCAAAGCUCAUUCCUAUAAUUAAACCUAUUCCAAAGCCAAUUCCGAUUGUUAAACCAAUUCCUAUUCCAGUUUAUAAGCCUAUUCCAAAAUCAAUUCCUAUUGUUAAGCCUAUUCCAAAUGGUAAGCCAAUUCCAACUGAAGAAGCAAAAUUCAAAGGGUUUUUUCUAAAACCUAUUCCCAUAGUUAAGCCAAUUCCAGUUGCCAAGUCAAUUCCUAUUGUUAAGCCUAUCCCUAUCACAGUAUAUAAGCCUAUUACAAAAUCAUUUCCCACUGUUAAGCCUAUACCAAAGCCAAUUCCCAUUUUAAAGCCAAUUCCAAAGCCAAUUUCCAUUGUUAAGCCUAUAUCAAAACCAUUUAUAGUGCAAAAACCCAUCCCUGCUGUUGAGCCAGAGAAAUUUUUAAAACCAAAGCCUUUCUUCAAAAAGCCUCUUCCAAAAUUUCCUCUUAAUCCCAAAUUUAAGAAACCACUUCUACCACCAUUUCCAAUUCACAAGGCAAUUCCAACUCCAUAAAAUGAUAACACUCUAGGUCUACAAGCAAUAAAGUCAUUCCUUCCAUUUCUAAUACCUUAUUAUAUGUAGUUUUCCCACACCUCAACCUCAAUCAUGAUUUAGAUAAUAAUCCUUCUGUACCCCUCUUGUGUACUGGAUUGGAAUAUAUGUAGUUAAUGUGUUCUCCUUAAUGAAGAUUUCAAUAUUAGUUUUUAUAAGAUUGAUUAUAUUAUAAGUAUUUACAUUUUUCUUUUUUAGUAGAUAAUAUUUAAUUGUGUUUGUGUGUAGAGAGAGAGAUAUCAUUAAAUCAUAUAGCUAUUCUUCUAUAAGAGGUGAAUCUUAACUAUUAAAUCCUUAUAUGUUUAGUGAAACAAUAUUGUAAUGAAAUAUCAAUGUUGGAAUUUUGAUAAGAGUACCCAAUCAAUUAAGUAACACAAUAAUAUGCAAAAUAUCAUUUUCACAUGGAACUUAUGUGGGUAUUAAUAGUAAAAUUAUAGACUACCAGAAUUAAGAAAUAAAGUAACCAAAAUGAAACACAAUUGCAUAAAAAUAAAAGAAAAAGGUAAGAGAAAAUUGAUUGAGAAAUUUUAUUGAAAACUUGUGCGUAGAAAAAUUGGAGUAAUAUCAAUGAGCGAAAUUGUCACUAUUUUUAUUAGACUUUCUAAUAUGUAAUCACUACAUAAUCCUAUUCAAUUAAGUUUAUGUUAUUAUCAACCCACAAUUUUAUCCUAACCUUAAUUCCUUAAGCGAGAGGACCUAAAUUAUCCCUUGAAUUAGUAUAACCAAAUGAUUUUCCUUAAGAAAAAAAGGAUUUAUUGAUGACUAAUCCUCUUUACACUAUCCCUAGGCAUAAUGAAAAUUAUUCAAUUUGCAAUUCAAAAGAAUUUUCCAAUUACAAUUGGAAUCAUAAAAUCAUGUACAUAGGUUGAUUAGGCCAAAAAUAAGCAUUAAGAAUGGAAGAAAAAUAAUAAUAAUGUUUUAUUAAAUAGAAACAAUGUAGGAAUUACAUGAAAGUAGGACCAAUUACAUUAAACCUCAAUGAGAGAGAAGAAUUAACUACUAACCAUGGAAGAAUAAGCAUUUGAUGGAGAAACCAAGCCAUCGUAUCCCUGCGUCUCCACUCUCUUUUGUCUCUCCUCCUAUAUAUCUUGUACGCUCAAUCUUUUCUUUUAAAACAAGAUAAGUACUACCCUGAUUAAAGCUAUUUGCUAGAUAAAUGUUUUCAAAUAAAACAGAAUAAAAAUAAAAUAAAAGGAAAUCUCACAGGAUCAAAUGCCCGGGGUGCCUAUUUUGUACAGGAUAUGUGGUACUUGCAUUUCAUGUUUCAGUCCAUUCAAACAUGUAUAGGGUGUGAAUUUUGCACAGGGUGCGCAAUUCCUCAAGGCUUCCAACAAGUUUCUUUUGCCUUCACUAGAACUAUAAAAGCUAUAAACUUCAAUAAAGUUCCUACAAUCCCAAGAAAAGAAUCAAAGCUCAAGGGUAGAAAUAAUUUUUUAAUAAAUUUCAAAACCUUUAUAACUCGUUUUUAAAUUAUUUUUUUUUUAUAGUUCUACUUCUAAGUUUUCAAAAGUUGUGUCACCCGCUUUUCAUAUAUUUUUCCAUCCAUUUUUACCUCCUUUUCGAUCUUCUUUUCUUGUUGUCGAGUUCGCCAAAAAAAAUACCUUAGAUAACAUUUAUUUUAGUCUUCUUUUGUUUUUUUACCUGAACGGGGCCUAAGGCCCGGAAAAAGAACUACAAGGAAACUAGUCUAGGAGUUCAAACUGAAGCAUCAGGUAGGAGCAUAUUGCUCACAACAGCUAGACAAUGCUCAAAAAUCACUAUGUCCUCACUCAAAUUACAAGCUAAGUCCGUUAAAGCAUCUGGACAUGAGUUUGCCCCUCUAUAAACAUGCACAUAAUGGAUCUUCCUACCACUUUGAACUAAAUUUCUGAUCUCAGAAAUCAAACUAUAACCCGAAGCACACCCUGUUGAGAUCCAGAUAGACUCCAACAACUGCCUGAUAGUCUAUUUGCGCCUCCAGUGUGUGACUUAAAUAACUAUUUUAACAAUUAUCUAUGCUCCCAUUAUCUAACAAAUUAUUGUUCAAAUUGUUAGGGAAUGAGAUUUGCAGAACGUGUGUAUAGAAUAGAGAAUGAUGAUGAACUGAAUCUUUCUAGAAAAAAAAUGAAUGUACAUCAACUCAAUGAUCUUACUAUUUAUAACAAAGGACUCAAUUAACUUGAUCCCAAAUAGUAAGCUAACAAACUAACUAACUUCUAACUGACUUUUGAAUUACUAUUAACAUCCCCUCUUAAUUCAAAAGUUCAACAACAUCCUACUAAACAUGAAAUUAUAGAACACAACUACAAAUACAAAAUUUUCAGAACAGCAUUUACCACAUCUCUACAUUCAUCUUAUCUCUUAAUGACUUGAACCUUUCAAUCUUCAAAGGUUUAGUCAAUAUAUCAGCAACUUGCAAAUCAGUACCACAAUGUUGCAACUUUAUCUUCUCUUUACUGACUUGAUCUCUUAAGAAAUGAUACUUAGUUUCUAUAUGCUUCGAUCUACCAUGAGAAACUGGAUUUUUAGCAAGAUUAAUAGCAGACUUGUUGUCCACCAUUAUCUUAAUAGCACCUUCAGUCUUCAACUCCAAGUCCUAAAUCAAAGUCUAAAUCCACAAGCCUUGACAAGCAGCACUGCAGGCUGCUAUAUACUCAGCCUCGCAUGGUUGAUAAAGCCACAACAUCUUGCUUCUUGGAAGACCAUGAGAAUGGUGCUUCACCAAGGAAGAACACAUAACCCAUUGUACUGCGCCUAUCCACUUGAUCUCCACACCAAUCAGAGUCAGAGUAUGCUACUAGAUGUAGAAUACCAUCCUUUUUUUGAUUUGGCAAGUGAGUUGGAAAUAAAACUCCAUGAUUAAGUGUUCCCUUCAGGUAUCUGAGAAUUCUCUUGGCUGCAACUAAAUGAGAUUGCCUAGGAGACUUCAUAUACCUGCUAACAAGUCCUACACCAAAGGAUAUUUCAGGCCUGCUAUGGCAUAAGAACCUCAAACAUCCAACCAGCUGCCUAAACAUAGUGCUGUCAACCUUUGUCUCCUGCUCACAACUUCCAAGCUUCAAAUUUGCUUCCAUUGGUGUAUCAACAGGAUUACACUAAAGCAUAUUAAACCUUUCUAGAAUUUCCAGAAUAUACUUUCUCUGAUGCAUCAGAAUUCCCUUGUUGUUUUGCUCAAACUCGAUACCUAGGAAGUAUGACAACUUGCCUAGAUCAGUCAUUUCAAACUCACUGCUCAAACAUCUUUUAAUUUCUGCUAUUUCAGUGCUACUACUUCCAGUGAUGAGUAAAUCAUCCACAUAUAAGCAUAUAAGCAAUAUUCCACUAGAAUCACUUUUCUUCACAUACAAGCCAUGCUCAACAGAACAUUUUCUGAAACCGGUUUUGCUUAAGAAUGCAUCAAUUCAUUUGUUCCAAGCUCUAGGAGCCUGCUUCAAACCAUAAAGUGCUUUCUUGAGCUUAAGAACCUUGUCCUCACUCCCUUUAAGCUCAAACCCAGGAGGUUGUGUAAUGUAAACCUCUUCUUCCAAAGGCCCAUUCAAAAAUGCAGACUUAACAUCAAGUUGUCAAAGUUUCCAUCCUCUCCAACUAGCCAAAGCCACCAAUAGCCUUAUUGUCUCCAUUCUUGCUACAGGAGCAAACAUUUCUGAGUAAUCCAGACCCUCUUUCUGCAUGAAGCCUCUAACAAACAAGUCUGGCCUUGUGUCUUGAGAUAGAACCAUUUGGAUUCAGUUUCACUUUGAAUACCAACUUCACUGAAAUAGGUCUUUUAUUUGCUGGAAGCUCUACCAAUUCCCAAGUUUCAUUUUUCUCAAUGGAAACCAGCUCCUCUUUCAUAGCUUUCCUCCAAGUUUUAUUAACUAUAGCUUCAUCAAAACUAACUGGACUAACAUCAGCAAGUAAUGCCAUGUGGAUUAGCUCACCAUCAUUCCCAAUUUCAGAAUCCUGGAACAAUUCAUAGUCAUGUAAUCUUACAGGCACUUCAGCAUGUCUUUUUGGCCUUUCAUUCUGAGGUGCAUUUGAUUCCACAGGUGGUGCAAGUGGUAAAUUGAGUUCCUCUCCAAGUUCUUCUCCAUUAUCUAAAUCAGGUGCAGUCUGAUCUAGAUCUAAAUCUAUCUCAGCCACUGUUUGAUCUUAACCUGAACAACAAUUAUCGGAUUUCCAAGCACUAUAUUCUUCAAACAAUACAUCUCUGCUGAAUUCUACUUUCUUGGUUGUAGGAUUAUACAGCUUGUAUGCACCACUAGAGCUAUAUCCUAUGAAAACCAUUGACUCACUCUUAUCAUCCAGCUUCUUUCUUUUCUGAUCAGGAAUGUGUUUAUGGCAUAAACAGCCAAAAACUUUAAAAUGCUUAACAGAAGGCUUCUUUCCAGUCCAUAUUUCUUCUGGUACUUUGGAUCCAAGCUUCUUUGUAAGACACAAAUUUAGUACAUAAGCUGCUGUCAUAACAGCUUCUCCCCAAAAUGUAUGAGACAUGUUCUUGCCUUUCAACAUGCUUCUCACCAUAUUGAGUAUAGUCUUAUUCCUCCUUUCAGUUAUCCCAUUGUGUUGUGGUGUAUAUGGAGCUACAAUUUCAUGCAAUAUUCCAUUUUCUGUGCAAAAAUUUUCCAUUUCAUGUGAACAGAACUCACCACCUCCAUCAGUUCUCAACACCUUGAUGUAUUUUCCAGAUUGUUUUUCAGCCAUUGAUUUAAACACUUUGAACACAGAGAAAACUUCACUCUUGGCCUUAAGCAAAUACACCCAUAAUUUUCUACUAAAUUCAUCAAUGAAGGAUACAAAGUAUUUGUUUCCACCCAAUGAGACAGUAUCAAUUGGACCACACACAUCUGAGUAUAUAACAUCUAACACAGCAGUAGAUCUUUCAAGAGUAUAAGAGCCAAAAGAGUUUCUGGAUUGCUUGCUUACCAAACAACUUUCACAUACCUUUGAGGGAAGCUUUAUUGGAGUCAUUCCUGGCACCAUUCCUUUUGAAUUCAGAAGACUCAAACUCUUGAAGUUUAGGUGACCAAAUCUGAGAUGCCAUAACCAAGAGCCAUCCUUGUCCACUUCAGCUGAUAAGCAAUGUGAUUCUAAAGCAUUCACCUUGAUUUGAAAGGUUCUGUUUCUAGUGAGGGUAACCUUCAAAAUCCUUCUUUGAUGAGUAUCAUAUACUCCAAGAUGACCACUUAUCAUGUACAGUGAAAACCCUUUUUCAAGCAGCUGACCCAUGCUGAUAAGAUUGCUCUUUAACCCAGGAACAUAGAGCACCUCUGUAAUCACAGCAUCCUUCCCAUCUUCCUUUUUGACAUAGACAUCACCAAUUCCUUCUGCUCUAAUGUGUCUAUCAUCAGCAAAUCGAACUCUGCUCUUUUUGCUAAGAUCAAGAUUGACAAGCCAUUCUUUGUGACCAGUCAUGUGAUUGGUACAUCCUGAAUCAAUGUACCAAAUUCCUGAAUUGCUACUCCUUUCUUUUGUCAUCAUCAUAAGAGUGGCUGGUUCUUCGUCUUGAUCAAGCUUUUCACUCACAAGAUUGGCUUCAUUACUGAAUUUUCCUCUUGAAUCAGCAGGUGCCUUGCACUCACUUGAGAAGUGCCCCAACUUGUUACAAUUAAAGCACCUAAGAAAUCUUGGAUCAACUUUCUUCUUACCUCCUUGCCAAUUUUGUGAUCCUCCUCUUCUUGAAGAAGAUUCAGAUUGAUCAUUUUCCUCAUUGUUCUGAGAUUGUUUUCCAGAACUUCCAUGAUUACUUCUAUACUCUCUGGAUCUUCCUCUGCCUCGAUUGCCUUUUUUUCCAGAAAGACCACCUCUCUUCCAAGUUUGAGCUUGAAGAGCCUGGUCCUGAGAUCUGUCACUUUGCCUUUCCAGCAUACGCUGUUUAUAUGCUUCUAAUGAACCCUGCAAUUCUUCUACUUUUAGAGUUGCAAGAUUCUUUGAUUCCUCUAUCGCCACAACAACAUGAUCAAACUUAGGAAUCAGAGUGCGAAGAAUCUUUUCAACAAUCAUUUGAUCUGUAACCGUUUCACCAGCAACUUUCAUUGAAUUUGUCAAGGCGAUUACACGAUUAAAAAACUCUGCUACCUUUUCAGUCACGUUCAUCUGCAUCAGCUCAUAUUGGCGUCUCAGAGUUUGUAAUCGCACUUUCUUCAACUGAUCGGCACCCUCAUUACACUUCUCAAGAAUCUUCCAGGCUUCAUGUGAGGUCUUUGCUAAAGCAAUUUUCUCAAAGUGUGCAUUAUCUAUGCAUUGAUGAAUGAAAAACAAAGCCUUAUUAUCUUUCUUCUUGUUUUCCCGAUGCACAGCCCUUUGUGCUUCUGUUGCACCUUCUACAAGUGCAGGAUAGCCUUCAUCAACCACUUCUUGGACUUCUUGAUAUGCGAAUAUCACCUUCAUUUGGACACUCCACUUGUUCUAGUUUUUGCCGUCAAGAAUGGGAAGGUUUGCAGGGAAGUUAACAUUGGUUGAUCCCAUCGUUCUUCAACAAUGCUUUUUAAGAAGAUAACCAAAGCUCUUGAUACCAAUUUGUUAGGGAAUGAGAUUUGCAGAACGUGUGUAUAGAAUAGAGAAUGAUUAUGAACUAAAUCUUUCUAGAAAAAAAAUGAAUGUACAUCAACUCAAUGAUCUUACUAUUUAUAACAAAGGACUCAAUUAACUUGAUCCCAAAUAGUAAGCUAACAAACUAACUAACUUCUAACUGACUUUUGAAUUACUAUUAACACAAAUAACGCUUUAUGAAGUUAGUGUACAAUGUUUUACAAGAUUUCUCUCUAAGUAAUUCAUUAUUUUUUCUCAAACAUGUUACAUAACCAAGCCACAAAACAAAACACGUCUAAACAUAGUUAAUUUAAGGCAUAUAGAUUAUAUUUGUGCAUUAAGAAUACACACGAACUUAAUACAUAUAGAAACAAGCCACAAUAAGUAAUAUAUAUUCCCUCUAGACUUAAAUAUAAGAAAAUUUAACUAACUUGUUCAAGACUCUGUAUGUUAGUUUGGAGAGCAUUUUUAAAUAGGUUUUCCAUACCAAUGUCGAUAGUGAGGAUCAUAGAAAGUGGAACUUUUCCACAUCAGGUUUUAUCCAAUGUGUAGAAAAUCAUUCUCUACAUCCAUUAAUGAGAUGAAUGAUGUAGAAAAUAGUCUUUACUACAUCAAUUAUUUCCUGAACGGAAGUAGAUUACAUUACAAUGUUUUUUUUUUUUAAAUAACCUAUCUAUUUUGGGAGCAUCCCAAACCUAUACUUAAUACAAUUCAAAAUAGACCCAGGAAGUUUCUCAUAUCUAUUUAUAUGGAUCAAUUAACAUAAUUAAAUCAUAGAGUCCCUAGUGUACAAUAAUAAAACAACUUCAAACAAUUUAAACUCCCUAAUUUUAAUAUAAACAAACACACAUACGCAUACUCGCACACAAACAAAAAAUGUAAUCUAAAAUUAUUUCUAGCUUGUAUUAAUCAUGACAAAAGUCAAACAUAACACAACACAACAUAAUGUAAGAUGAUGGAGACAUAAGUCGCAAGUAAAUAGGAUAAACGUAAUACAAUCAUCCAAAAAGCAAAUAGUUAGUGCGCACUACAUAUGAAGUCCCAAAAGACAAAAACUACAUUUCAAAAAACUGUUGGUUUGGAGAGUCCUAUUUGAAGGUUCUUUUCCCAUGUCUUUUGUAUUUGACGGUUGACCAGGAGGACAAUGUAGGGGAGAUGUCAACAGAGGUCAACGAUCAUGGGGUGGUGUAGAGUUAGAGAUGACAGAGAGCUCUAUUUGAGCGGGAGAAAGUGGUGGUGUAGCAAAUGGAGGAUUUACUUUCUCCAGUAAGAUUGAAUUUGAUGACGGAGGACAUAUGGUUAUGGAUUGGGGGUGAGUUCUCCUUUUCAGUGGCCUUGGCCUAUCGUGUUAUUUUGAGGUUUCUGAUAGCUUAAUGUUGGUGAAUUUUUGCUUCCAAUCAUUUUUUAAAUAACCUAUCUAUUUUGGGAGCAUCCCAAACCUAUAGCUAAUACAAUUCAAAAAACCCAGGAAGUUUCUCGUAUGCAUAUAUAUGAAUCAAUUAACAUAAUUAAAUCAUAAAGUCCCUACUGUAUAAUAAUAAAACAACUUCAAAUAAUUUAAACUUCCUAAUUUUAAUAUAAACAAACACACAUACACACAUUCACACAUAAACAAAAAAUGUAAUCUAAAAUUAUUUCUAGCUUGUAUUAAUCAUGACAAAAGUCAAACAUAACACAACACAACAUAAUGCAAGACGAUGGAGAUAUAAGUCACAAGUACAUAGGACAAACGUAAUACAAUCAUCUAAAAAGGAAAUAGUCAAUGCACACUACAUAUGAAGUCCCAAAAGACAAAAACUACAUUUCAAGAAACUAAAUCGAGGUUUUUACAUAGGUGAACCUGAUAUCAUUAUAUAAUACAAACAAAAUGGGGAGGCAGAUGCAAGAACUCACACCCUAAGAAUUGGUCACCUCCUUGUCAUCAUAAAAUCCUUGCUUGUGUGCAUAAGUCAUAACACAGAGCAUCCUACAAUAAGUCCUUGCAUUCCCCUCAAAAUGAGUAGGCAGAGGGUGAAUGCUCCAAGAGGGACAAUGUAACACUCUAGUUGAAUUACACUAGAAUGAGAGAGAUCCAAAGACUGUAUAGGUAUGAGACUAUAUAAUUGAGAAUGACUUAAAUGAUAUAAUUGAUACUGCUUAUACCAACAAGAUGCAUCUACUUUUUGAUAGUCUAUCACUUAAGUACUCCAUAAGGGGUGAAUUGAUUGAUUUUAGAUAGUGGUAAAAGAAACUUGCUAAAUUCAGACAAAUAUAUUUUCAUAUAUUCUUGAAGGAACGUCUUGUGUAACACCAUUUCUUAUGAGUAGAAUUUUUACUAUCAUUGUCGGGAAUAUUUUAUAGGUAUUUCAAUCACAGUAGUAAUAAUCUAAUGGCUACAAAAGUAGUACACACAAGAAAUCAUGUAAGACAAGAUUCUCUAAAAAGGCACUUGUCAUUGAAAUAACUUCUCACUAAUGUCAACUUGGAGCAUACUUUUAGACCACAAACAAUAACCAUUAUAUGCAAAAUAGGCUUCAUAAUUAGGAUAUAAGUAGCAAUUGUUUUAGAGGGGGUUAAAACCUUACGUAUACAACAAAAGUAAAGUUUUUUUUUUUUAAAAAAAAAAAGAAAAAGAGCAAAGAAAAAAUGUUUGUUUCAUACAUAGACUUUCAGUAUCCUCAAGAAAUAAGAGACUUUCAAAUAUUAGUUAUCUAAUUAUAUCAAUUUCCCCUAGAAUUAAUAACAAAUCACAAAAUGAGUUAUUCCAAGUUCAUAACUGGAAGUACAAGCAUAUUGUCGAAACAAUAAUUACACUCCAACUCAUCCUGAAUUGCAUACCCUCCAAAAAAGUCCUCCAUUUUAUUUUCCCUAAAACUAGUACACACAUGAAAAACAACACUAUUUUUAAUAAGAACCCCUUUUAUUUUGAGAAUCAAUAGAUAUAAACAAAUGAAGGUCAUACAAAAUGCAAAAAACUACAAUCCUAACUACCACAGGAGGUGGCUUGGGAGUUGAAAAGAACAAUAUCUUUCUUUGGGAGGGAAGAUCACCUUGAUAAACUUUGUGUUAUCGAGUUUGCCUCUUUCUAUUUUCUCUUUUUACAGGGAUUCCAAGCGUGUUAUAGCCAUGUUGGUGAGUAUUCAAAGGAGGUUUAUGUGGUUUGGUGUGUUAGACUCAAAGGUGGAUUGGAAUUUAGUGUGCAGGGCAAGGCAGAUGGGGGGGGGGAGGGGUUAAGGGUGUAGAACUUAGCAGCUUCCAGUGUUAGUUUGUUGGCUAAGUGGUGGUGGAGGUUUCUAGCAAGAAGGGUACUCUAUGGCAUGGUUUGCUUGCUCGCAGGCAUGGGCACUUGGACUGGCUUAGGGAGUGCCAAACCCAAUUUGGAGGGGACGACUGAUUUUCUAGUAUGGUGGUCCAUCGAAUUGGUGAUGGAUAGAACAUCUCCUUCUAGAAGGACUAUUAGUUUGGAGAGUCCUAUCUGAAGGCUCUCUUCCCAUGUCAUUUUUAUUUGGUGGUUGAUCAGGAGGACAAUGUAGGCGAGAUGCCAAUGGAGGUCAGCGAUCAUGGGGAGGUGUGGAGUUAGAGAUGGCAUAGAGCUCUAUUUGAGCGGGAGAAAGUGGUGGUGCAGCAAAUGGAGGACUUACUUUCUCCAAUAAGAUUGAAUUUGAUGUCGGAGAACAAAUGGUUAUGGAUUGAGGGCGAGUUCUCCUUUUUGGUGGCCUUGGCCUACCGAGAAUUCACAUUUGAGGUUUCUGAUAGCUUAACGUUGGUGAAUUUUUGCUUUCGAUCAUUUUGGAAGUGUGAUGUCCCAUCCAAUGCUUUUGGCUUUUUCUUGGAGGAUAAUCUUUGACAAACAACCUACUUGUGUGGCUCUAGUGAAGAAGGGAGUUAUGCUUAAGGAUGAUGGGUGUGUUUUUUGUGAAGCUGACAGGGAAGAUUUGCAACACUUUUUUCUUGGGGUGCACCUUCUUGUUUAAGAUUUGGUGUGAUGACUACUGUUGGUAGGGUAUUUCUUAAGUGCAACAUUCUAGGGUUUCGUUUCAUUUCAUGCAACAUGGCCUUUUCUGGAGAGGCACGAGGAUGCAUAGAGUUCGUUAUUUCAUCUAGCAUGCGAUUUGGUGGAGUCUUUGGUUUCACAAGAACUGUAUUAUUUUCCAUGAAGAGGUAGCAAAUGCACAAGUGGUUUUGUGGCAUAUUCAGAUCUUGUCCUAGUUGUCGCUUCAAUAUAUGUGUCAUUGGACAUUGGCUUGUUCCUUUGCCGAUUGGUGUUUGCAACCAUUUUUUGUUUUAGGUUGAUUGGGUUUUUGUUUUCUUUUCAUAAUGUUCUUAAUAUUUCCUUGUUGAUUUAUUCUUUUUGGGAGUCACACUUCGUAGUAGAUGCACGGGUGGUUUUGUGGCAGAUUCAAAUCUUGUCCUGGUUGUUGUUUAUAUAUAUGUGUCAUGGGACAUUGGCUUGUUCCUUUGCCAAUUGGUGUUUGCAACCAUUUGUUCUUUAAGGUUGAUUGUAUUUUUGUUUUCUUUUCAUAUUGUUUUUAAUGUUUCCAUGUUGAUAUAUUCUUUUUGGGAGUCACACUUCGUAGCAUCUUAUAUUAAUAUACCAAUCUCAAUUUGUCUUCCAAAAAAAAAAAUUCACUACAAACAAAAACAUUAAUUAGAAAGUGCAUUGUAUUCUAGUGAAGAAGGGGGUUAUGCUUAAGGAUGAUGGGUGUGUUUUUUGUGAAGCUGACAGGGAGGAUUUGCAACACUUUUUCUUGGGGUGCACCUUCUUGUUUCAAAUUUGGUGUGAUGACUAUUGUUGGUAGGGUAUUUCUUAAGUGCAACAUUCUGGGGUUCCAUUUCAUUUCAUGCAACAUGGCCUUUUCUGGAGGGGCACGAGGAUGCAUAGAGUUCGUUAUUUCAUCUAGCAUGUGAUUUGGUGGAGUCUUUGGUUUCACAAGAACUGUAUUAUUUUCCAUGAAGAGGUAACAGAUGCACAAGAGGUUUUGUGGCUGAUUCAGAUCUUGUCCUGGUUGUCGAUUCUAUAUAUGUGUCAUUGGACAUUAGCUUGUUCCUUUGCCAAUUGGUGUUUGCAACCAUUUGUUGUUUUAGGUUUAUUGGGUUUUUUAUUUUCUUUUCAUCAUGUUUUUAAUAUUUCCAUGAUGAUUUAUUCUUUUUGGGAGUCACACUUCGUAGUAGAUGCAUGGGUGGUUCUAUGGAAGAUUCAAAUUUGGUCCUGGUUGUUGUUUAUAUAUAUGUGUCAUGGGACAUUGGCUUGUUCCUUUGCCAAUUGGUGUUUGCAACCAUUUGUUCUUUAAGGUUGAUUGUAUUUUUGUUUUCUUUUCAUAUUGUUUUUAAUGUUUCCAUGUUGAUAUAUUCUUUUUGGGAGUCACACUUCGUAGCAUCUUAUAUUAAUAUACCAAUCUCAAUUUGUCUUCCAAAAAAAAAAAUUCACUACAAACAAAAACAUUAAUUAGAAAGUGCAUUGUAUUCUAGUGAAGAAGGGGGUUAUGCUUAAGGAUGAUGGGUGUGUUUUUUGUGAAGCUGACAGGGAGGAUUUGCAACACUUUUUCUUGGGGUGCACCUUCUUGUUUCAAAUUUGGUGUGAUGACUAUUGUUGGUAGGGUAUUUCUUAAGUGCAACAUUCUGGGGUUCCAUUUCAUUUCAUGCAACAUGGCCUUUUCUGGAGGGGCACGAGGAUGCAUAGAGUUCGUUAUUUCAUCUAGCAUGUGAUUUGGUGGAGUCUUUGGUUUCACAAGAACUGUAUUAUUUUCCAUGAAGAGGUAACAGAUGCACAAGAGGUUUUGUGGCUGAUUCAGAUCUUGUCCUGGUUGUCGAUUCUAUAUGUGUCAUUGGACAUUAGCUUGUUCCUUUGCCAAUUGGUGUUUGCAACCAUUUGUUGUUUUAGGUUUAUUGGGUUUUUUAUUUUCUUUUCAUCAUGUUUUUAAUAUUUCCAUGAUGAUUUAUUCUUUUUGGGAGUCACACUUCGUAGUAGAUGCAUGGGUGGUUCUAUGGAAGAUUCAAAUUUGGUCCUGGUUGUUGUUUAUAUAUAUGUGUCAUGGGACAUUGGCUUGUUCCUUUGCCAAUUGGUGUUUGCAACCAUUUGUUCUUUAAGGUUGAUUGUAUUUUUGUUUUCUUUUCAUAUUGUUUUUAAUGUUUCCAUGUUGAUAUAUUCUUUUUGGGAGUCACACUUCGUAGCAUCUUAUAUUAAUAUACCAAUCUCAAUUUGCGUUUCAAAAAAAAAUUCACUACAAACAAAAACAUUAAUUAGAAAGUGCAUUGUAUUCUAGUGAAGAAGGGGGUAAUGCUUAAGGAUGAUGGGUGUGUUUUUUGUGAAGCUGACAGGGAGGAUUUGCAUCACUUUUUCUCGGGGUGCACCUUCUUGUUUCAGAUUUGGUGUGAUGACUACUAUUGGUAAGGUAUUUCUUAAGUGCAACAUUUUGGGGUUCCGUUUCAUUUCAUGCAACAUGGCCUUUUCUGGAGGGGCACGAGGAUGCAUAGAGUUCGUUAUUUCAUCUAGCAUGCGAUUUGGUGGAGUCUUUGGUUUCACAAGAACUGUAUUAUUUUCCCUAAAGAGGUAGCAGAUGCACAAGUGGUUUUGUGGCAGAUUCAGAUAUUGUCCUGGUUGUGGCUUUUAUAUAUGUGUCAUUGGACAUUGGCUUGUUCCUUUGCCAAUUGGUGUUUGCAACCAUUUGUUGUUUUAGGUAGUUUGGGUUUUUGUUUUCUUUUCUUCAUGUUUUUAAUAUUUCCAUGUUAAUUUAUUCUUUUUGGGAGUCACACUUCGUAGUAGAUGCACGGGAUCUUGUCCUGGUUGUGGUUUAUAUAUAUGUGUCAUGGGACAUUGGCUUGUUGCUUUGCCAAUUGGUGUUUGCAACCAUUUGUUGUUUUAGGUUGAUUGUAUUUUUGUUUUCUUUUCAUCCUAUUUUUAAUGUUUCCAUGUUGAUCUAUUCUUUUUGGGAGUCAGACUUCGUAGCAUCUUUUAUUAAUAUACCAAUCUCAAUUUGUCUUUCAAAAAAAAAAAAUUCACUACAAACAAAAACAUUAAUUAGAAAGUGCAUUGUAUUCUAGUGAAGAAGUGGGUUAUGCUUAAGGAUGAUGGGUAUGUUUUUUGGGAAGCUGACACGGAGGAUUUGCAACACUUUUUCUUGGGGUGCACCUUCUUGUUUCAGAUUUGGUGUGAUGACUACUUUUGGUAGGGUAUUUCUUAAGUGCAACAUUCUGGGGUUCCGUUUCAUUUCAUGCAACAUGCCCUUUUCUGGAGGGGCACGAAGAUGCAUAGAGUUUGUUAUUUCAUCUAGCAUGCGAUUUGGUGUAGUCUUUGGUUUCACAAGAACUGUAUUAUUUUCCAUGAAGAGGUAGCAGAUGCACAAGUGGUUUUGUGACAGAUUCAGAUCUUGUCCUGGUUGUGGCUUCUAUAUAUGUGUCAUUGGACAUUGGCUUGUUCCUUUGCCAAUUAGUGUUUGCAACCAUUUGUUGUUUUAGGUUGAUUGGGUUUUUGUUUUCUUUUCUUCAUGUUUUUAAUAUUUCCAUGCUGAUUUAUUCUUUUUGGGAGUCACACUUCGUAGUAGAUGCAUGGGUGGUUCUGUGGCAGAUUCAAAUCUUGUCCUGGUUGUGGUUUAUAUAUAUGUGUCAUGGGACAUUGGCUUGUUCCUUUGCCAAUUGGUGUUUGCAACCAUUUGUUGUUUUAGGUUGAUUGUAUUUUUGUUUUCUUUUCAUCUUGUUUUUAAUGUUUCCAUGUUGAUCUAUUCUUUUUGGGAGUCACACUUCGUAGCACUUUUAUUAAUAUACCAAUCUCAAUUUUCCUUUAAAAAAAAUUCACUACAAACAAAAACAUUAAUUAGAAAGUGCAUUGUAUUCUUUGUGGAACAAAUCAACAAAAUACUCAUUUAUGGGGUGAAGCCCAAGUAUUGCAAUAUCUCACAAUCCUUUUUAUGAGAAAAAAAAAACAAUUUCUUUUAGCUUAGGAAAACACAAUGUGCUAUUUUUUGUGUUAAUUGCGAUAGCUAGCUCUCUUGUAGACUUUGGAGUAUGGAAGAGGUAGGUAGCAGAUAGACAAAUUUUAAAAUUUAAAGGUAUUCACUCACAAAACCCACCCACAUAUCUCCCUUCUUUUUCAUAUGUCCUCCUUCUACCUAAAACGCUCUCAAAGAUGAAUUUUUCUGGUCACUAGCUCAUGUGUCGUUUCCUGCCUCCUCAGGUAGCGGUUUGGAAAAAUAAACCAUUGGAUAUGCUUCUUAGCAUAUCCUUUUCAUAUCCCCUAAAAAAAUUUCCAAAAACUCCCAACAUCAUCUCUUCUACCUUAAUUUUUUUUUCUCAUUUUCCCUAGCACUCUCAAUGGAGCUAGACCCUUCCAGUCACCGACUCAAAUCCUUCCCAAAAACUAAUUUACAAAGAACUAGUGAACAACAUCGAAAAGCUAUAUAUGGACACAUGGCAAAAGCUUCAUUUUUUUUUCAUUUUUCCUUUGAAACCGUAAAGUCUGUUUCAAAAUGAGUUUUUGCUUUCAUUUGCUUUUUUCCUUUCUAAGAUGCAUUUUUAUUUUGUGAAAUUAAUGUUAGUGUUUGGCUUUAUUUUAUUUUUGCAAGAUUCAUUUUCUAUUACAAUGUUGUGGUAUUUUAUUGUCUUCCUCUCUUUGAUUCUUCUAUGUUGAAGUUCAUUUAUUUAAAAUUAAAAAAAUUAUUUAUUUGCUGAUUCUUUGACAUAUGAUUUUUUUUUCAUGAAAUUUAGUCUUGCAUGGAAGGAAUCAUAGAUUUAAGAAUUUCAUUGAGCCUACAUGGAAAUGAAGGUAAGGAUUUUUUAUAUAUGGUGCACUUUUUUUUUAUUUUGUGUUAGUUUUGUAAGCUACUUUUUUAUGUGUUGCAACAAGGAAAAAUAAUUUCAAAUAAUAAUGGAUGAGACAAUUACAACGGUUUUUAAGGUUUAUUCCACUAAGAUUCUUAUAGAAUCUCAUGAAAUGUGCAGGUGAUACAAGGAGGAUGAUGUGCACAAAAGCAUUGAAACAAGAAGUUGGAGAACUUAACACAUUUUUAGCAUCCAAGGUAUACUUUUUAAGGAUCUCAUUGAAAGUUUUUUCAAGCAUGGCAUGGAAACCUGAAAUUAAUGUUGUUGUUAGCAUUUGUUUUCAAUUUGUUUUUCAUUUCCUCUAUUGUUGUUUUGUUCUAUCAUAGUUCCUAUAUAUUGCCACUUAUUUUGUGGACAAAAUAUUUUUUUUUUUUUGCAGUUUUUAUAUUAAUUUAUGCUUUUCUCUUAUGUGUAGGUGAUUUUGGAGGCUACCCAAGAAGAAAGUGAGGUCAAGGGCUUUAUGAAUAUGAUUCAUAGACAAAAGGUAAUUUUUCUUUUGACACAAUUUUUAGGCUGAAGUUAUAGGUGUUGUAUUUUUUUUAAUAUGGUUUGCAGAAUUUGAAGUACAAAUUAGAAAUGGGAGUUUUGCUUGCACAGGCUGGUGUCCCAAUGGUAACUCAUGCAUGUUAAGAGAUUCAAAUUAAUCCCAGUGUAUAUACUCAUUAAUUUAUAUUAUGGAACAAUAUAGUAAUCAUUGUUUUUUAUACAAAAACUAUAAUUGUAAGAAUAAGGUGGGCACCAAAGGUGAAUUUCUUUCUCUUCUACAUAUGAUGUGUGUCAUGAUUUGUGAUAUAUGUUUCUGUACAGUAUUUUGAUCUUUAAGUGUCCUCUCUAAUUUUUGAAAGUUAUUAUCUCUCUCAAAGAAUACAUUAGCUCAAGCUUUACCUAUGAAUAACUAAUUAGUAUUUGCAAAAAGGUAAGUGUAUGAGAGGAAUUUUAAUGGAUUGAAAUUUGAAAUGACUAAAAUAUGUUUUUAUUCUCCUAAAUAUCGAAAUAUUAAAAAUUCAUCUCUGUAAAUUUUUUUAUCUAUUUUUCGUCCUUACAAAACUUAAAUAUAUCAAAUUUUAGCUCAAGGUUAAGUUUGGAUAACCAAACCUACAUGUGUGUUGAUGUAAAAAGGAUAAGAGUUUUCAACUUUUUUACAUCGGUUAAAAGUAUAACUGAUGUAAAAAUUCCUCUUAAAACCUAUAGAUUAUGAAUAUCGAACUGAAAUACCCACCUCCACCGGCAUGACAACACUAACAAUUGAGCUUGUCAAUCACAUAGGAACAUCAACCAAACCACACAGCAAAACUUUUAUAGAAACAAAAUCAUUUAAUUGAACUAUAUUUUAUAUAAUUAACCUUCUUCUCAAAGUGUGUUUUUAUUUCUCUAAUUGAGUUUCUUUUUACACCUCAAUCAAAAUUCUGGAAAGUUUCUUUUUUUUUUCUAUCCUCAAUCAGAGUUUCUUUUUAUCUUCUCAAAAGUUAUGAAGAUGAAUCCCCAUUGACUGUGCUGACUGGAUGACAAAGCAUGGAGCUUCUUCUUUUGCUCCCAUAAAAGUUGAGCACACAUAGGAUGGAAGUUGAAAAGUUGAGCACCAUAUAAGUAAGGAGAAGACCCAUAAACUUGAGCCUUAAGGUUUUGGGUUAAAGUGUGGUGUUAAAUUCCCUUAUGUGGUUGCUCAUGGCUCAUUGGUGUAAAUUUGUCUGGUGUUUACUCCCCUCGAAUUCCCCGACAAAUGCCUUGGGCAUUUUGUAUCUUAGAACUUAGCUUUCUAUUUUCUCCCUUUCCUUUGUUUCUUUAGUUUCGUUUCAGAACAAAAAUGCAUGCAUCAAGGUUGGUUUCUUUGAUUUGUUACAUGAUCAUAAUCAUAUAAAGCUUCAAAACUCAUGAAUGGGUUUAAUCAGCGGAAAGUUGGUAAAUAAAUUAUGGAUUAGUUGGUAUAAAGUAGCACAUAACUUUGUAUUAUUUUUCAGAUUUUUAUUCCUUGAGGAUUCAUCUUGAAAUUAUGUUACACCGUGUUGAAGAGAUUAGAGAAUCCAAAGGUGAAUUCCCUGAGGAUACUAUUCACAGGAACCAAAAUUCACCUCACUCUAUGUGUUUGAUCUAAAAAAAGGAAAUGCUACUUGAAUAAUUAGAGAAAGGUAAAAAAUAUUCUCCUUUAUUGUUAUUAGUAACAUUUUUGGAAGUUGCAGAAAGAAAACAAGUUGAAAAAAUUCUUCUCCUUUAUUAGAAGUUCUUCCACGUUGAGAUUUUCUUUGUUAUGAUAAAUUUAUUUUUCUCCUACUUACUGUCUUCCAAAUUAAAUGUUUUCUUUUAUCUAAUCAUACAAGAAAAGUACUUACUAGAACUUAUUUCAACUUCAAAGUGGUCAUUAAAAGACUGUUUGUGUCUGAUCCCAAAUUCUAAUACCCUUAUUUUUGUCAUAUGAUGUAAUGGAAGAAGGGGGCUCAAGAGAAAGAAUAAUUAUAUAUCAAAGAGUUAUGUGGCUAUCAAUUUUAAAUGUCUACUCUAAAUAGCACUUUCAAAAACAAAGAGAAAGAAGUUAAAUAUGAGAACAUGAUAUGACUAGAAGAAAAACUAUACAUAACAAAUUACUACCCGAUUUUAUCAAUACCAUUUAGAUAAUAUUUUCCUUAUUUUCUUUUACUUCCAUCACACGAUAUACUUGCCAAUAAAUAAUGUUGAAUAAAAAAAAUAGUUAUAAACGCUCCCCAAAUCAAAUGGGUCUCGAUCAUUUUUUGUCGUGGUUAGUGGCAACAGUAUUGAAACAAAGAAAUAAAACCACUAAAUACUAAUUUGUAAACAGAGUCUCAUCCUUAAUUUUUUUUUAUGUACUAACCAACACAAAAUAAAAAUUCAAAUAUGACACAUAACAUCAGUCGGUUGUCAUGUGUUUACCAAAGAUGUUACAUAGGCAUUAACCCUAAUGUUAACCGGAUUGGACUAAUGGCGAAAUAAAUAUGUUGCACUUUUUAGAUGUUGAUUAAAUUUAAAUUUUUUAUCUUUUAAGAAUUAGUCUUACAAAAAUAAACUAAUAACAGAAUUAAUAUGGUGUACUUUUGACACAUUGAUUAAAUUUAAAUUUUUUUAUAUUUUAUAAACCAAUUUGUUAGACCAAAUUGGAUAUAUAAAUUGGAUAUAUAUUCUAAAAAGUAUGAAGAAUUUAUUUUGACUUAACUUGUAACAUCCCAUUUUUCGUAAGCCAAUUUAAAAAGAAUUUUUAUUUUUAAAUAAAUAGAGUUUUAGAAAAAUGAUCAGAUUUUUAUAAAUAAAUAAAUAAUGAGAAAUAAUAAUUUGAAGGAAAAAAAAAGAGAAUAUUUGAUUUAUUCAUUUGAUAGGAAAUAAAAUAGAGUUCUUUUUUUAUAAAAUAUUAAAAACAAAUAAAUAGAGUAAUAAUAAGUUGUAUGUACCCUAGGUAUAAAUAACUAUGUUAGGUCAGUUAGAAUGAUGAUACCUCUUCUUUCCCUCAUUUUCGUUUUUUCCCAUUUUCCUCUCAAAAUUCUUUCGUCUCCCCGCAGUCCACCAAACCUGUCUCAGAAAAAUGAUGAUCUCGGACUCAUUUAGCGUUAGAUCGUUGUUAAAUUUGAGCACCAUGUUCGCAACCCAUUUCCGAGCAUUCUCACUGUUGGGAAUUUUGAUAUCAUGUUUGAGCUGAGACAAAUACCUUUCGCAUCGUAGCCUUUUCCUUUCCCGCAGAAACCCAAAAUGGCCUCAGUAAAACUACGAUCCCGGUUUCAUUAACCGUUAGAUUUUCAUGAAAUUUUGAUAUCAGGUUCACGAUUCAGUUCCGCACACCUUCACCGUUGGGAUUUGCGAGAUAAUAUUCACGGAGAGAGAAAAAGGAAUCGCACCAAGAUAGUACAAGUGGAGGCUUCAAUCCCUUCUCUGUCUCUCUGAUGUUUGAGAACUCUAUCGGAGUAGUUAGAGGAAAAAACUAGAGGAAUCUCAGGGAACCGCUAGAGGCUGAAGACACGUGAGCCCACUUAGAGGUAAGGGAUGAGUUAUUCACAAUUGGAGAUUAGUGAAAACAUGUGUAUGGAUCCUUAGAGAUAUCAAUUGGAAUGAGUUUUGAGGUGUUUUUGUAAUUUUUAUUUUAUCCUUAUAAUUAUUACAGUGAAUUAUAUAUGUUUGAUGAAUCAGUUGAUGUUCAAUUGAGAAAUUGUUGUGAAAUUGAUGUGUUUUUGUUGAGCGUGAAUCCCUUAGAAAAAGUAAACUAUUUUUAUUAACGUAAAUUAUAUUUUAAAUAAUAUUAUUCAAUGACUUAUUUUAUACAAAUUAUUAUCUUGUUUUAAUUUUUCUACAACGAUGAUCAACAUGUUAUGUGUAUAUAAUUAUUGUAAUACUAGAAUAAUAAAUUAAAGAAAAUUGUUCUAAUUUUGAUGUAAUAUUAAAUUUAUUGUUAUAGAAAUCCUUUGAUUAAAAACAAUGUAGUUUAAAUUACUAUAUACAUAUACAUAUAUAUGCUUUGUAUCAUGCAAAUAUUAUUAUUGUGUGAUGUAUAUAUGAGUUAUAAGGUGUAAUAAGUUAUUAUAAUGGUGUUAUAAUAUUAUAGUGAAGAUUGAGUAAUACAAAGUUGAAUGUGUCAAUUUGCGAGAUACAUGUAAAAAUGAGAUGGUCGAUGUGAUAUUAUGAGAUGUUAAAUUGUGAGCAUGAUAUUUGAUUGUGAAUAAGUGUGUGUGUUUGACACUUGAUGUGACAAUAAUUAUAUUGUGAGCUAUGAAUUAUACAAUAAUCCGAUCAGUGUUAUCUUGAGAAAAGCGUUAAUGCGCAGUGUUUAAGAGAAAGUGUAGGUUUUCUAUUCAGGAACCAGUGUUAAAUUAUAACGCAAUGUGCUAAACGUGUUUGAAACAUGAGUGUGAGAUCGUGUGUAUUGUAUAAUUCAUGAGCAGUGCUUAUAAAUGAAAUAUGUGAUGAAUUGUGGAAUAAUAUGUUGCCUUGAGAUUAUAAUAUUGUUAUUGAGAUUGAGUAAAAGUGCAAAGUAAAAUAGGUGUUGAAUUGUGAGAUACGUGAAAAUAUGCGAUGGUGGAUUGUGACAUUAUGAGAUGUGAAAUUGUGAAUGAGUUUUGGUUGUGAAUAAGUGUGUGAUUAACUCUUGAUGUGACAUUAUUUGUGUUGUAAGCUGUGAAUUGUACAAUAACCCAACCAGUGUUAUCUUGAGAAAAGCGUAAAUUGUGACACCCUCUACCCCACACAUAUAUGUACUAAUAAUAAAAGAAAUAAUUGAAAAAAAUUAAACUUAAUUCAAGUUUUUAAAACAUAUUUAAAUACAAGUCUUUCAAGAGGGUAGCAGACUCACAUUCACCUUUCUAACAUCAUCAUAAAACUUUUCUAAAUAAAUAAUGAAUUCACUUCGGCUCAAACAAGGUCGUCUAUAAAACCCUAUACCCCAAUGCCACAUCCUAUCAGAGCGUUGUGUCCCGACGUCCUUUAGCACAUGGUUCCUUAAAGCAAUUCACCUAGUCAUCUGCUCUUCCGAAUACAAAGUUCAAGAUCAUCACAGGAUCCAAACACAAACAACACACGGGGAGUGAGUUAUCACAUUCCUAACUAAUAGAGAAACAAGACAACUAGAUAUACAUAUCAUAUAAACCAAAUAAAACUUAGUUGCACGUAAUUCACGUAAUUUUAUCACUUUGUCAUUAAAAGGUCACUUUUCAAUCAUCAAUCACAUUACACAAGAAUCACACGCUCUGAUCAAGACAUGAUAACACAUCAAUUACAAAAUAAACAAUUAGCAAGCGCAUGAGACAGUUAUGCUAAGACUCAAGCCUAUAUGCAAUGUGGUACCAUGUCAGUGAAAAACCACCCUGAGGCGCUAAGGAGUACAUAACAAGACACACCAAACAAUGAGUUUGUCAGGUCACUCUCACUAAGUAAGAUCAUAGGAGACCAGUCAGCAACACCAUGUUUUGCGAGAAUGCUCCAACCAUAUGGGAUCAACAUAGGCUUAAAGAAGCACUCAAACCCGGUGACCCCCAAGGCCUACACUCCGAAGAGUCCGUCAGGGCCUCUCCCUCCUGAUUCAGGUCCAACCCCUAAAAUCAUUUUAGCACACAGACACUGCUUGUGAAUUAUACAAUACCCAUGACCUCACACUCGUGUGUUAAACACGUACAACAUAUUGCGCUACAAUUUAACAUUGAUUCCUAAAUAGGAAACCUACACUUUCUCUUUAACACUGCGCAUUUACACUUUUCUCAAGAUAACACUGGUCCGGUUAUUGUACAAUUCACAGCUUACAACACAAAUAAUGUCACAUCAAGAGUUAAUCACACACUUAUUCACAAUCAAAACUCAUUCACAAUUUCACAUCUCAUAAUGUCACAAUCCACCAUCACAUGUUUUCACGUAUCUCACAAUUCAACACAUGUUCUACUUUAGACUUUUACUCAAUCUCAAUAACAAUAUUAUAAUCUCAAGGCAACAUAUUAUUCCAUAAUUCAACACAUAUUUUAUUUAUGAACAUUGCUCAUGAAUUAUACAAUACCACGACCUCACACUCAUGUUUCAAACAUGUUUAACACAAUUGCGGUACAAUUUAACACUGGUUCCUAACUAGGAACCUACACUUUUUCUUUAACACUACGCAUAAAUAAUUUUCUCAAUAUCAACACUAGUUGGGUUAUUGUAUAAUUCACAGCUCAUAACUCAAUACACACAUCUCAAUACACAUGUAUCUCAAAUCUAAACAUAGUAUUCUCAAACUCCAACACUUGAAUAAUUUUUGGAAUCACACAAUAACAACACUACAACAUUAUUUACAUAAAAUAUUAAUAUAAAUAAAUAUAUAACUAAAUCUAUAUAUAUAAAUCCAGCAACGUAUAUCAUAUUUGAUCAUGAAUUUUAAGAAAGUUUUCAAUGUAACAAUUCUAAAUAAUUAUAUAAACAAUUUCUCAUAUAUAUAAGUAUACAUGAAUUCAAAUAUAUAUUAUCUAAGAAUACAACACAUAGUCUAUUAGAAUUCUUUUCUCAAUUUCAAAAUAUAAUAUCAAUUUUAAACUAUAAAAAAAACUAAAAAGCAUGAAAAGGGGAAAAAUACAAACUCAAUAUCUCCUUACUUAAUUUCAUCAACUACGGUUCACACUCAACACAAGAGCACAUUAAUUUCACAAAAAAUUCUCAUUGGGACAUCAAAUGAUUCAUCAAACAUAUAUAAUUUAUAUAUAACAAAUAGUUAUAAUUAUAAGGAUAAAGUAAAAAUUAUAAAAACACCCAAAACUCAUUCCAAUUGAUACUCUAAGGAUCCCUACACAUGUUCUCAUUAAUCCCCAAUCGUGAAUAACUCAUCCCUUACCUCUGAGCGGACUCACGUGUCGUCCGCCAGCAAUAGCAGCAUUUCUAGUGGUUCCCUGAGAUUCCUUCAGUUAUUCUUCCGACUGCACCGAUAGAAUUCUCAAACGUUAGAGAGACGGAAAAGAGAUUGAAACCUCCACUUGUACUGUCUUCAUGCGAUUCCUCUUUCUCCCUCCACGAAUAUUAUGUCGCAAAUCCCAACGGUGUAAGUGUGCGCAAUUGAAUUUCGAACAACAUAUUCAAAUUUCAUGAAAAUCCAACGGUUAACGAAACCGGGAUCAUAAUUUUACCGAGAAAAUUUUGGGUUUCUGCGGGAAAUUAAAAGGCUACAAUACGAAGGUUUUUCCUAUAAGCUCAGCCAUGAUUUUGAAAUUCCCAACGGUGAGAAUGCUGGGAAUUGGGUUGUGAACCUGGUGUUUAAAUUUCACGACGAUCCAUCAGUGAAUGAGUCUGAGAUCGUCAUUUUUCUGAGACAGGUUUAGUGAGCUACGGGAAAAAGAAAGGGUUUUGCGAGGAGAAGGGGAAAAACGGAAAUGAGAGGCAUAGGAGGCUGAGGAGUCAGUCUGAAAAACCUAGCAUGUUGCUAUUUAUAACUAGGGGCAUUUAUGACCUAUUAUUUACUCUAUUUAUUUAUUUUUAUUAUUUUUACUAAAAAAACUUUUUAAAUUUAUUUAUGAAAAAAAAAUGGGAUGUUACAUAAAUGCGCGAUGUAAAAGAGAAAAUUGUAAGUUUCCUAUUUAGGAACCAGUGUUAAAGAGAAAGUGUAGGUUUCCUAUUUAGGAACCAAUGUCAAGUUGUAGCGCAAUAUGUUCUACGUGUUUAAAACACGAGUGUGAGGUUGUGGAUAUUGUAUAAUUCACGAGCAGUGUCUGUGUGCUAAAAUGAUUUUAGGGGUUGGACUUGAAUCAGGAGGGAGAGGCCCUGAUGGACUCUUCGGAGUGUAAGCCUUGGGGGUCACCGUGUUUGAGUGCUCCUUUAAGCCUAUGCUGAUCCCAUAUGAUUGGAGCAUUCUCGCAAAACAUCGUGAUCCUGACUGGUCUCCCUAUGAUCUUACUUAGUGAGAGUGACCUGACAAACCCAUUGUGUGGUGUGUCUUGUUAUGUACUCCUAAGCGCCUCAGGGCGGUUUUUCACUGACAUGGUACCACAUUACAUAUAGGCUUGAGUCUUAGCAUAACUGUCUCAUGCGUUUGCUAAUUGUUUAUUAUGGAAUUGAUGUGUUAUUGUGUCUUGAUCAGAGCGUGUGAUUCUUGUGUAAUGUGAUUGAUGAUUGAAAAGUGUGAUUGAUGGAUGAAAAGUGAACUUUGAAUGACAAAGUGAUGUAAUUACGUGAAUUACGUGUAAGUAAGUUUUAUUUGGUUUAUAUGAUAUGUAUAUCUAGUUGUCUUGUUUCUCUAUUAGUUAGGAAUGUGAUAACUCACUCCCCGUGUGUUAUUUGUGUUUGGAUCCUGUGAUGAUCUUGAUCUUUGUGUUUGGGAGAGCAGAUGACUAGGUGAAUUGUUUUAAGGAACCUUGUGCUGAAGGAUGUCGAGACACAACGCUCUGAUAGGAUGUGACAUUGGGGUAUAGGGUUUUAUAUUAAUUGUAUGAAGUCGUAGACGAUCUUGUUUGAACAAGGAUGACUUUAUUAUAUGAUGUAGAAGAAAUUAAAUGUGAGCCUUUUAUAUCCCUUUGAAUGGCUUGUAUUUAAAAAUGUAAAAAAAAUACUUUUAAUUAAUAUUUGAAUUUUUUAUUCCUUGUUAAUAUAUAUGUGAGGGGCAGAUGGGGUCACAUAACUCAAAUAAAAAAAUUACCUUAAUUAUUGGCUUAAAGUUUGAAUUACUUGGAAGAAAUUACAUUCUAUUACUAUAAUAAUUUUAAUAUAAUAACUUUUCAGAUGAUAUUUAAUGCCAAUCGUGUUAAUAUAUGAUAUCAAAUUGCCUUUAACAAUAAUUUUAAUUUUAUUCUUAUUAAUAUUUAACACAAAAUUAUAUUAUGAACACUUUACUUAUAUAUGUCAUAUCAAUAAUUGGUUUCUUACAAUAUUAGUACAAAUUAUUACUAAUUAGUAAGUAAUAUUAGUUAAUAAAAAGUCCCUGCGUUGCACAGGUAAGAGUUGAAGUUUGGAAAUGGGUCUGGCUAAAAGUAAUGAUUUUUUUCUUCACAGGGACGUUUUAGAUGGUUUUGAAAGAAAGAAAUGCAUUUGAAGCUGCGAGUAGAAGAGAAUUUGUGGAAUAUUAGCAAGCAACACUAAUGAAAGGACAAAAACACAUCACUCACGAGACGUGACAUCAAAGGUGGUUCGUCAUCCGACUAAAUGAAAAAAAUGGUGACAACCCUAUCCCAACACAAAGGUAAUGAAACGAAGGCAAGGAGAAUGCUGAUUGACAUUGGCUCGCCAGCAAAAGGGGCCAAGUUGUUCACCUUUGAAUAACCCUUGCCGCUACCACAAUUAAGUAAGUUACCACAUAUUUUUAAAACCGCCACUAGCUCUACUUGAACCACCGCAAUCAGUGAGCCACUUGCGGCGGUUUUACUAAGCAGCGAUGGUUUGAAUAGAACCACUGUAAACUUGUAAACUUAGUGUCAAGAUUUGACAAUUUUCUUGUAAUGGGUGAAGCUAGCUGUGAGAGAAUAUAUAUUAGGUAGAUGUUGUUAACGAAAUAGGGGAUGAGUAGCACAUAAUUUUGACAAUAACAAGGUUGCUUGAAGGCCAAAAUGUUAUUUGACUACCUUUGGUCGUCUUCUACUUCCUAAAAUAAAAGGUAUUUCUUAGUGGAGUCUGUACUAAAGACAAAAUACUUAAGACAGGGAUCUCAUUUCAAAAUUCACAUUUCUCUUAUCCCUUCUAUGAUGUCGAUGCUGAAUCAAUAAACCAUCUAUGUUUACAUGCCUUUUCCAUAUCAUUCGGGGAAAUUGUUUUGCUUUAUUUGUUGGGAAGUGGUAUUAUGACUCUAUAUGGGGCCAUGGAGAGUCUCACUUCUUAUCACAUUUUGGUCUUAUAAAUGAUAAGAAUUACAAAUAUGAUAUUCCAAAACUAUGGAUUACUUGAAAAUGUUAAAAAAGAAGAGGCGUUUGUAUGUAAUUUUACAAAACAUCAAGAGUGGUUAGUGUAAUUUACUCUAAUAUCUUUCAUUGUAUAUCAUAUAAUUAGGCUGGAAUGUUCUCUCUCUUUGAGAUUCAUGUCCUUGUUUCAAAUUGGAACUUACAGAUGUAACUGGUAAGGUAAAAGGAUCUGUAUAUAUCUAAGCUUCAGUUUUGGUAUCCUCUAUCUAGCAUUUCUUAUUGAAUGUUGCAAGUAGCAACUUAUUAUAAUAAAAAGGCCAUUCUCUUGGUCUCCUACAGAUCAAAAUGGAAUUAUUUUAAUGUGAUGGGGAUCAAUGAGAUUCCUGAUGUGUAAAAAGCUGAUGAACAAAGUAAUUAUCUCACCAUGUAUAUUGGGUUUUGCCGGGUAUGCUACACUCAAAAUUCAAUAAAUUUCUUUUACUUCUUAAUUAAGUUUUCACUUUAGGUAAUUUACAAUCUUUAAUAGCUACCAGCAUACAAGUCAAAAUGAUAUGAAUUUUGGUGCAGUGUUCUCUAAACACCCAAAGAGAAACACCUAACUUGGGACGCUCAUAAUUUAAUAUUUGAGACAUCAUGUCGGACCAUGCAUUAUCACUGCAACAAUAACGGUUUUAAACGCUGUUGACCUAUCUAAACACAAGUCUAAGUUCCAACCACCUAAAUUAUAAUAAUCCCUAAACCAAAUCUAAAAUCUCGGAGUAUAUUCAAAAGAAAUAAUGGUCAAUAGUACACUGAAUGUACUGUUAAUCCCAUGCUAGGUAUUAUAAAUAACGGGAAUAUGGAAUGAGAGUAACUCAAGCCACGAGACAUUUCCCUUACCAUAGUGUGGCCUACUUGUUGUUUUCUUAAUGAGAAUGAGAAAGAAUUCCACUGUGCAUUGUGCACUUUGGCGCUUCUGUGUUCCAUUGUUGCUGCUUGCCAGCUUCAGUUAUGCUCCUUCUGUUUUGGCGACAGCUGAAAUUUCAGGUUUGUUGUUAAUGCUAAUUAUAACAAUACCUACAUUUCGUUAGGCUUUUAGUUUAGGAAAUAGGAUGUUUCGUCGUUUUAGUCCUUAAUAAAAAUAUAUUCAUUUUAAUAUGUACAUUAAAAAAGUGUAUAAUUUUUCCAGGAGGCAAAAAAGUUUGAAAUUUGGAGUGACUAGCAUGCUUAUUUUCUUUACGGAGAGAGAGAGAGAACGAGUAUUUUUUUUUUUCAAAUUGAGAGACUAAAAAAGAAAAUUAAAAUUUGAGGGACUAGAAAGAAAAGAGACUAAAAGUUGAACAACUAAAAACAUACUUAAAUAUGGAUAUGGAUUUAUCAUUUUAUUUUUGUAUUUAAAUAUGUCUUCUCUAUUAAUCUAUGCAAAAAAAAAAUUAAAAUUUAUAAAAUAAUAAAAGUGUGUUGAUACACGUUCGCCCUAAAAUGGGGUGGAUAAUUGAGUUGGAAAGAUUAGAUUGAGUGGAACAAUGAAAGAGAGAUUGGAAGGAAAAGAAAGAUAGACGUGAUAAAAAAAAUAGUAAGAAAUAGGAAGUAAAUAUAGAAUAUGGAAACGAAAUAGAAGAGACAGUUGAUAGAUGAUUCUAAUUUUUCAUUACAAAACAUUGUGUUUAAAUUAUGUUAUUUUGUAUUUAUUAUGUACGGAAGGAGAUGAACAUUGACGGGAAGUUUUUAGAGGAAGAAUUAUCAGAAUCAAGUCUAAAAGGAUAAGAUGAAGAAGCCAAAUUUAAAGGAUUUUUUCCAAAGCUAAUUCCAAUUGUUAAGCCUAUUACAAAGUCAAUUCCCAUAGUUAAAGCCUAUUCCUAUUCCAGUUUAUAAGUCUAUCCCGAAACCACUUCCCAUUGCUAAGACUAUUCCAAAACUAAUUCCUAUUGUUAAGCCAAUUUCAAAUGAAGAAGAAAAAUUCAAAAGUCUUUUUCCAAAAUCUAUUCCAAUAGUUAAACCUAUUCCAAAGCUAAUUCUUAUAUUGUUAAGCCAAUACCAAAGCCAAUUCCUAUUGUUAAACCUAUUUAUAUUCCAGUAUACAAGUGGCUACUAAAGCCAAUUCCUAUUAUUAAGCCUCUACCAAGCCAAUUCCAGUUGUUAAGUCAAUUCCUAUUCUUAAAGCUAUACUAAAUUCAAUUUUCAUUGUUAAAUCUCUAUCGAAACCAUUUAUAGUAAAGAAAUCCAACUCUCCUAUUUGAGCCUGAGGAAUUUUUAAAGCCAAAGCCUCUCUUUAAAAAGCAUAUUCCCAAAUUCCGAAAACCAUUUCUACCACCAUUGCCAAUUAACAAACUAAUUACAACUCCAUAAAAUGAUAACUUUCUACCUCCUGAAACUAUAAAGUUAUCCCUUCAAUUUUUAAUGCUUUUAUUUACACAUCUCAUUCUAAAUCCUUUAGUACCCUUCUUGUGUACUGAAUUGGAAUAUCUGUAGUUAAUCUUUUCUCCUCAAUAAACUUUUCAUCAAUAUUAUCGUUUGUAGGACUCGUUAUAUUGAAGUAAGACAUGGUAAGUACAAUUUUUCCAUUUUGGUUUAGUAAUAUUUCAAUAUUUUUAUAUUGUGAUUAUAUUUAAUUGUGUGUGAGAGAUCAGAAAAAAUAAUUAAUGUAGCUAUUUUUAUAUCACUGAGGUAAAUUUUAACUAUAAUUAAGUUUUAAUAUGAAUUCUAAAUAUUAUGAUAAGUAAACGUUGAAUUUGUCACCAACUAAAAGAUUGUCCAAGUGAAACUAAGUUUGAUCCUGUAAAGUAAGAUUUUGGAUUCAAGUUUUGUGGAUAAAAAAAACUAAUUAAAAGGAGAAUUUUUAUCAAAGGUGAUUACAUUUUCUGGUAGAAAUUACUUAUCCACAAAGUUGGAGAAUAAUUUGCACCAAUAAGAUAGUUAACAAAAAAAAUUAAAUUUGUUAGAAUUUAAUUUCUAAGAUAUUAAAAAUCCUCCCUUUUCUCUUCAAUUUUUUUUAAAAUAAAACAGUAAUUUUUAUACUUUAUUUUUAUUAUCAUUUUGUACUGGAAAGGACCAAAGUGAAUAGUACUUUGUAAAGUUACACAUUAUGAAAAGAGUUUUAAAAUCUCAAGAAAUAAAACCUUCAAUAUAUCCAAUCAAUCUUGAGGACUAAUUUAUGGAUUUACUCAUGUUAUAACACAAAGAGUUAUUUAACUGUUUUUAACACAUAAGAAACUAAUUAUUAAUUACUAUUAAAGAAAAUAUAUAUUAAAAAUGUUUAAUAGCAUUAUACAUUCAAAAUUAUAUAACUUUUUCAUGUCAUAAAUUAAAAUGUACUGUCAUUUUUUUAGCAAAAUAAAAUGAACUAUCAUAACAACAUAUAAUAAAUUUAAAUGUUAUUUAAUUCUUGUUCAUUUACGUAAAUUUAUUAACUUAAUUUAUUACAUGUAACAUUUAAAAUCAACCUAAACUUAUUACACUAAUAUCUAUAUUAGUAAUAAAAAGAACUACCCACCUUUAGUGUACACAAUUUUACCGAGAAUUACUUCUUAAGAAUUCAUUAUUCUUUCUAAACUACAAUAUCGAUCUCUACCCUUAUACUGUUAGUUUCUUUGUGUUUUAUUAUUCCUGUUAUUUUUAAUUUAACUUUAUUUAACCUCCAAAAACAUUUUUCUCUUCUCUUUAAUUUACUUUGAUUUGAAAAUUUUAACGAGACUCAGAGUGCCUUUCUUCCUCGAGUAAGCAUCAGAAACAAAAUAACAUAAUUCAUAUAUAUAUAUAUAUAUAUAUAUAUAUAUAUAUAUAUAUAUAUAUAUAUAUAUAUAUAUAUAUAUAUAUAUAUAUAUAUAUAUAACGCCUAUUUGUUUUGUAUUUAAAACUUUUGUUUUAGUAAUGUUUUCACUAUAAUUUCUUAUUUAGGUUAACAUUAUUUAUCAAAUUGAAGUUUUUUAUUUUUAUUUAAAAGAACAUGGAAGCACGUAAAUGAGAUGAAAUAACUCUAAUGUUGAUAUACAUAAUAAGUCACUACUAAAAAAUAGAUUUUUAAUAUCGGUUAUUAAAGAUUUUUAACAUUGGUUAUAAAUUGAUGUUGAAACUACUAAUAUUAAAAGUAUCAACGAUAACAUUGAUUAUAAUAUCCGAUGUUAAAAUAAAUUACACAACAUCAUUUUCCAAAGAAUUUAUGUUGUAUCAUUAGAAAUAAAUAAAAAAAUAUAAAAUAUGUAAAUAUCCACAUUGAUUUUAAGAAAAAACCAAUGUUGUGUUUCACUGACAACAUCAUUUUUUCAUAAAAUCGAUGUUGUGAAUGCACGACAACAUCGAUUUUACUAAAAAACCAAUGGCCUAUCAUUAUAAAUAAACAAAAAAAAUGAAAAAUAUGUAAAAGCCAACAUCAAUUUUAUGAAGAAUUGAUGUUGUGUUUCACUGACAACAUCGAUUUUUUUUUUAAAACGAUGUUAUGAAUGCACACCAACAUCAGUUUUCCCAGAAAAUCGAUGUUGUUUUAUACUCAACAACAUCGAUUUUCUUAAAAACCGAUCUUGUGAACACACACCAACAUCUUUUUUUUUGGAAAACCAAUGUUUUUUGGCAAUUUUUUUAAUAUCUUGUUUGUUUUUUUAAUUACCCCAAACCUGCAAAUUAAAAAACAAAACUAGUCCAGUCUAGAUAGUUUUCAGGCAGUUCAAGUUUUGUCCAUAAUAAUUGAAUAAUUAUUAUCAAUUAAAAGAAAUAUUUAAUGUAAUCAAAACAAUAGUGUCAAUACAUAAAAUCAUUUGUAACCUAAUCUAAAUUAACAUAACUCUACAAUUGUAACACCUAGUGUUUCAUUUUUAACUCUUAGGUAAUAAUUUGUCCAUUGAAUGUGAAUUGCCUUCAUUGUCUCUAGUUCCAAUGGUCUUGGAUCAGGAAAAUACCAUAUGAUAUAAUAAAACAUAAGUUAAUAAGUAUAAAUAAUAACAAUUAUAACAAAUUGAAUUAGUUUUGAAGUAAAUAAUUAUCGUUUCUCAAUUAUCCUUGAAAUCUCCUAGGGCUAUUGUUGACAUCUAAUGCAUUACAUAGUACCCACACUUAGUGUUUCCUUUUUUUUCCUUAUUACACUAAAUUGGAUAGAAUAUUUAGAUAUUCAAAGUUAAUUGAAAAUUAGUGUACAAAGUAAUAAAAUUUAAUUUUUAAGGCAUCAACACUAUUAGAAAAUAUGCUUUCUACAUCGGUUAUUUAUGACUUUCAACAUCGGUUUUUGAACCGAUGUUGAAAGUACCGACGUUGAUAAUAUUAUCGUUAACAUCGGUUUUUGAAAAACCGAUGUUAACGUAAAAUUACCAACAUCGGUUAUAUAAAUAACUGAUGUUGUUAAUAUGAAUUACACCCAGAAAAUGUAUAUUAAUGUUGAAAGUUAACAUCGGUUUUUACAAAAAAACCGAUGUUAACGAAUGUGUUACUAUUGACAGUUAACAUCGGUUUUUUCAAAAAACCGAUGUUAACGAAUGUGUUAUUAUUGACAGUUAACAUCGGUUUUUAUAAAAAAUUGAUGUUAAUGAAUGUGUUACUAUUGACAGUUAACAUCGGUUUUUAUAAAAAAACCGAUGUUAACACACGUUAACAUCGGUUUUUUUUACAGAAAACCGAUGUUAACGAAUGUGUUGCUAUUGACAGUUAACAUCGGUUGUUUUUAUAAAAAAAACCGAUGUUGUUUUCAGGAAUUUUUUUUAAAUAAUGUCUCUGUUUUUACAAAAAAAAACCAAAAUUUAACCUAUAAAUUUAAAAUCAGACCACACAGCACACAACAUAUAUCAUUUGCAUUCAGUUUUCAAAUAGAUUUUAGCAAAAAACUAGCUAUCAACAAAGGUUGUUCAAUGUUAAGAUGAAACUACAAUUGUAAAAAAUGUAAUGUAAAGUACGUAAACUAAUUAAUUAAGCUAAAGUUACAUAGUUGCCUAACAUCCUAUGUUUGAUUUCUAACUUUUAGAUAAUACUGUGUCCACUGUAUGCGAAGUGCCUUGAAUCUCUCUGCUUCCAAUGGUCUAAUUUCAUUAAAAUACUGCAUGAUCAAAUAAAAAAAUAAAUUAAUGAUGUAAUAACAAUUAUAAAAAAACCAAAUUUGUUUGUAAUAAACAAUUACCGUCUCCCAAUUAUUACUGAAAGAUCCUAAGAUUAUCAUGGACAUCCAGUGCAUCACGUAGUAGCCACAUUCAGUGAUUACUUUUUGUCUAUUACACUAAAUACAUAAUGAAAUUUGGAUAUUAAUUAAACGUUAAUUACAAUUAGUGUACACACACAUAAAAUAUAUAUAAGUAGAACUUUUAUUUAAAUCACGUACCUUAACAACAAUCCACUUAGCAGCAGCCUUGGAUUUCGGUUGUGGAGUAUCAUCAAGUCCUUUCAAAGCACUAGUGUUGAAUAUGAGGAACAUUAAAAUAUUGAUGUUGUUGAGUUAUGCCAAUGAAAAUGUAUUGAAAACAAUACUGACCUGUUAAUUAUUCCCUUAAGGUAGUUGUCUAGCCUGUUAUGUAAAGAACAAAACCAGACAACUAGGUUUUCCUUAGACAGAAUGACGACCAUUUGCCAGUGUCCGCUGCAGUAGAGACGAAUAUGGGUUAUUGUAGUAGUAUAGAUUAUUUAAAUUCAAUUAUUGUGUUUGACUUACCCAUUCAGAUAGGCUCCAAGGUAAACAUCUCGUUUUGAACUCUGUAUCCAACUCUUGAUGUAACUUUCAGAUUCAAAUUGUGAUUGCCCAGAUCUCUGAAUGGACUGUGGCUCGAGGAAUCCAUACACAUCAGAAUUCCCCGCUCGCACACUUGUCUCGGUCAGAUGGCUGUGUUGUUAAGUCAAAGUUAAUUAUGUAUGAAUUUAAAACAAUUACUUUGGUAAUUAAUAGUAAUCUAAAAUGACUUACAGAAUCCACAACUGUAUAACAGAUAUGCUGAGACAUUGACCACCGUGUGCAAUUUCAGAGAGAUCUUCGUGCUUUAUAUACAACGGGAAGUUUUGAUUAAACACCCCGAAUAUGGUAGCAUCCCACAUAACCUGGAGCGGCUUCAAAAACAGUUGUGGGAUGGUCAAUGUCAUCAGGUACAGGGGAUCGUCGACCUCUUCAUCCGGGCUUUCUAGAGAUUUUGCUGGAGACACAGCUGCCUGUUGAUAAAACAUAGUUAAUUAGCAAGUUUUGAUUACAGUGAACAAAAUAAUUGAAAAAAAUAAACAUAUAAUCAGAGUAAAAUACCUGUUCUGAUAAACACUUCACAAGAUGUGUUGGCCAAGCAAGGAAGGUAUUAAGUGCCUGCCCCACUAAGGUAACCUCGUCAGUGGGUACAGGAACGAGAGCCUUUGCAUCUUUAACCUUCUUAACACCAACCUUGACUUGACCAUGCAACAAAGGGAUGUUGUGAACUGUUGUGAAUCCCUCAUAAAGUCUUCCUAGGGCAACCAGGCAGGAAGGAUUUUCUUCAAUAUAUAGCCCGCAUUUUUUUAAAUCACCCGUCCCUGGAUUGUUCCCUAAGGGAGCAACACAACUCUCCUUUGUGCUGACACGAGGACCUGAGGGACCAACCUCUGGCUCUGGAGGUAGUGCAAGUCCCUGUGAUUGCAUCUGAGACUAAAACUUGGACUGCAUCUAGCUGAAGGAUUCCAUCAUCUUUCGAGUCACUUUUUCUGUAAUUGACGGGUAUUUAGACGUAUGCCCAUGUCAGCUAGAUCUUGACCAUCUUUCGAGUCACUUUUUCUGUAACUGCGAUCGUAUGCCCAUGUCAGCUAGAUCUUGACGGGUAUUUAGACCAUCUUUCGUCUUGCCCUGAAUGUUAAGGAGUGUCCCAAUGACACUAUCACAUACAUUUUUCUCUACAUGCAUAACAUCAAUACAAUGUCUAACAUCUAGAUCAGACCAGUACGGAAGAUCAAAGAAAAUGGACCUCUUCUUCCAUAUGCAACUCUUACUUUUAUCCUUCUUUUGGGUCUUUCCAAAUACAGUAUUAAGGUGUUCAACCCGCUGGAAGACCUGCUCACCAGUUAACGGUGUCCGCGCAAUUUCGUGCUCUUGACUUCCAUUAAAAGCUUUUUUCAAUCUUCUGUAAGGGUGAUCAGCUUUUAGAAAACGGCGAUGUCUAGUGUACACUGUUUUUCUACCAUGUUUCAGUUGUAUGUAGCUUGUGUCUUCUUCACAGAUGGGGCAUGCAUGAUGACCCUUAACACUAUAACCGCUGAGAUUCCCGUAUGCUGGAAAGUCAUUAAUGGUACAAAAAAGCAUUGCACGCAUUUGAAAAGUCUCCUUGUGAAACCCAUCAAACACUAAAACUCCUUCAUCCCACAACUUUCUCAGGUCUUCAAUCAACGGACUUAGAUAAACAUCAAUGUCAUUUCCUGGUUGUCUUGGGCCUGAUAUCAUCAUAGACAACAUCAUGUAUUUUCGCUUCAUGCACAACCAAGGCGGAAAAUUGUAAAUUACUAGUAGAACUGGCCAUGAACUGUGUUGAGUGCUUAAAUUGCCAUAUGGAUUCAUUCCAUCACUGGCUAGUCCAAGUCUAAGAUUUCUUGAUUCUUUGCCGAAAUCUGGAUACAAACUAUCAAUCUUCUUCCACUGGGAGCAAUCAGCUGGAUGACGGACCAUUCCAUCAGAUUUUCUCCCAUUAGCAUGCCAGGUAAGAUCUUUUGCGUCGUCUUCAUUAGCAAAUAAACGCUUAAACCUUGGAAUGAUGGGAAGAUACCACAACACUUUCGCUAGAGGGCCCUUCUUUGAGUUUUCAUCAGAACUGCAGUCCUCAUCAUCCUUCACCUUGUACCGUGACGCCCCACACCUAGGGCAUUUCGACAUUUCUUCAAAUUCAUGUCUGUACAGUAUGCAAUCAUUAGGGCAAGCAUGAAUCUUCUGAUACUCCAUACCCAUCGGACACAAUAUCUUCUUUGCCUGAUAGUAGCUUUUAGGCAAUGUGUUAUCCUGUGGAAGCAGAUCGUGCACUAUUUGAAGCAAUGAAGUAAAGCUUUUGUCACUCCAUCCAUAUCUGGCCUUGACAUUAACUAGACUUAACACCGCCGACAAUAGCAUCAAGGAAUUGUUACACCCCGGAUACAAAGGCUUCUUUGAGUCACCCUGCAAUCUUUCAUACACAGGGGCAUGUGCUUGCUGGAAAGACUCUUGUCCAAGGUCACGAAUCAUAUCCUCCAAGUGAUCUCCCAUUUCUACAUCAAACGGUUCUGAUUGUUGCCCACUCUGCAUGUCUGUCAUUUCACCAUGCCAUAUCCACGUCGUAUAAUUUCUCUUAAUUCCAUCACACAACAGAUGCUCUCGUAUGUCAUCCAAUAUUUGUCGUCUUCCGUUCAAACAAUUGAUGCAAGGACAAUAAUAUUUUCCAUCUUCAUCCGGUUGACCUCUUUGUGAAGCAAAUUGUAAGAAUUGCUCGACGCCUUCCUCAUAUUCUAGGCUGAUGCGACUUUGAUUCAUCCAACUUCGAUCCAUCUAAGUAAUAACUCGGUCAUACUCUCAAAGUAAUUCGAUGCAUGACAGCUCUGCCAUCUUAAUUGUAAUGCUGACGUGCCGUCUUGGGCAAGACCGUCUUUUAUGGUNNNNNNNNNNNNNNNNNNNNNNNNNNNNNNNNNNNNNNNNNNNNNNNNNNNNNNNNNNNNNNNNNNNNNNNNNNNNNNNNNNNNNNNNNNNNNNNNNNNNNNNNNNNNNNNNNNNNNNNNNNNNNNNNNNNNNNNNNNNNNNNNNNNNNNNNNNNAAUUUCAUCAAAUUAAACAAAAUAAUUUUACCUACACAUGAAUCUUCCAUAAAAUAUUAGUCUCCCCCAACUGUCCAAACGGACAAUUCAAGAUGAAUACAAUGAUUAAUGCAAACUGUUCGCAAGAAUCAUUGCAUCCAAUCUCAAACGGGAAUCUAAGGUUCACUCAUCAUGAACACAAUUUGUAUAGCAUAUAUCAAUUGUCAUUAAUGGCAGUGAACACGUAAUAAAAAUAUUCAUUGGUAACAAACAUUUGUACCUGUGAUGAUGAGCAGCACGGUCCAAAAUGAAAGCAAGAAUCAAAGAAAUAACUGAAUGAACACCUACAUAAGACAAUCUUGUGUAUGAUAAAAAAAAAAGAGUAAGAUUAAGUAUAACAAGCGCUCAGAAGAUACGAGAACAAUUUAUUCUAAAUUAUAUCAAAAAAAUGUCUUACUUCUUUCUCUUUUCGGAUAUAUAUAUAUAUAUAUAUAUAUAUAUAUAUAUAUAUAUAUAUACACACACACACACACAACUUCUAUUACCUCUCACAAGAUCACACGAGAGAUGUGGGAGGUGGGGAUUCAAACACGACUGCGCUGAGUUUUGUGUGUGUUCUCUAAUUGGACAAAUCAAAUCUCGUUACUCUCUGCUUAUUUAUUAGAAAGAAAAGAGAAGGCAUAUAUCUGUGGAAAAUUUUUACUCCUCCCAUGCCUUUGUUUGUUUGUCUUAAUUUAUAUAUGGUUAUUUUCAAAUAAAAAAAUCUUUAAAAUUAAUUAGCCUGCUUCUGGACGUUAUUAGCCCAAAAUUAUUAGAUAAAUUUAUUUCAACACGAGUUUGAGUCCAAUAUGUUUAUUGGAUGAAUUAAAUAAGCAGAGGUCAACUAAUCCUAAACUUAAAUACUGCUGCACUAAUCCAAUAAACUAAUUAAUUGUUUCCAAUUAGCUCUAGAAAAGUGAUUACAAUUAGAUAUAUACCUGGUAGUACGUUUCGAUAAUUUUCAGUGGCCCUUCAGCUGAAUGAGGGAGUACGUGCCCUCAAGUUGAAUGUUAGAGAGUUGUUGAUGUCUCUUAAGCAAUCUUCAAGUUGAAAGUGAAGCAAGAGCGACUGUCUACUAAGCAAAUUAAUUAUUAAUCAUCAAUGAUAUGGAUAAACAAAUUAAAAAUAAGACAAAUGUUAAUCACUAACAUUUUUUAUUAAGAAAUUAAAUGGAAUUUUUUUAAAAUAUAUAAAAUUAUAUUAUUCAUGAUUUUUUUUUACAUUCUCAUAUAAUUUUUACAAUAAAUAUUUUCUUCUCAUUAAUUAAUGAUGUAAAAAUAGUUGUUAGCAUAGAACAAGAAAUAAUUACUUAUUUUGAACUGUAACGCAGCAGAAUCGUUUUGUGAGUUUCACAUUUGGAAAGGAUAACACACAACAUGGUUGGUUCAGUUAACGCUUUAUGUUAAUUAGUUCGAUUUUCAUGGUUUAGUAAUUUACUUUUUUUUAAGCAAUUCAUGAGCAAACCAAAAUAGAAUAAUUACUCGUCAAUACUUAAUUAUUCCUUAAAAUAGAAUAAUUUCCUCCUCAUUCUUCUAAACUUCAAUCUAUGAAACUAAUAAAAAAAAACUUCAAUCAAAAAAAGAAAAUAAGUUUGUGUCUUCCAGUUAGACCAUUUAGCCCGUUUGACAAAAAAUUGUAAUAUAAAUUUUUAAUUAAAAAUGUAUUUAAAAUUAUAAUAAUUGUAUAACUUUUAAAAGCAAAAAAAAAAAAAAAUCUCAUAAGUUUAAAAGGGUAACUUCAAUACAACGUUCUAAAAAUGAAAUACAAAGAGAAAGAAAUUCACUUGUCAAGAAUAAGUGUUGGUAAACGUACUUCAUCCAAUAACUUAUCUAUAAAUAUUAAAUUUCAUCUAUCUAAUUUUCAAUUAGUAGUAAUUAAGUAUAUCACAUUUUCAUAUAAUUUAAAAACAUGCCUAUAUACUUUAUCAAUCAACUUCAUUUUGACGAAUGAUAUGCCUUUUAAAAAAUAUUUAAAUGUUAGUUAUGAUAUGAAGUAUCUAUGAAUGAUUAAUUAAUUAAUUAAAAUUUUGGUAUAUUCAUGUUUGAAUUGAUUCGAGAUCUUCUAGUAUUUCAUAAUUCAUUGAUAAUUAUAAGAAUACUAUUUUUAUUAUUUUAAAAAUUUGUGUAUGAAAUAAUGUAAAUAAUUAUAUUACUUUUCUUAUUUUUAUAUCAAAAUUUGAAAUAUAUAUAUAUAUAUAUAUAUAUAUAUAUAUAUAUAUAUAUAUAAGUAAGAUAACAUAUUUAUAGUUGUUGAUACAUAAAAUUUAUUUUUAAUAAAUUAAUAUUUAAUUUUUUGAAAUGGUCAAUUAAAGUAAUAAAUUAAAUAUUAAAUAGAAAAAAAGAUUUUCUUUCUAACCAAUUAAUAUUUAUUUUUUCACAAAGGUCAAUUAAUAUUUAAUUAAUUCGACAUUAACUUUUAGAAGGCGUUAGUAUAAAAAAAAGCUUUUAAGAAACCAAAAUUAAAUGUGAAUACAUAUGGAGAAACCGAAAAGAUUUUCUCUCAAUCUUUCUCUAAUUUCCACCUACAACCCAACAUACGGUAUAUGUUCAUACUUUUCCUUUGCUAAAUGAAUAAAGUUAGUAUUAAGGAAUUAAAACAACAAUGGCUUCAUACCACAUUCAUCAGAAAUGAGCAUAUAAAUUCAACAAUGUUUAUUCGUCUUUGAAAUCGUGAAUAGAAGUCUCAUUUUUCUAAUUCCUCUUCUAGAACCAUCUUUAAAAUUUUGAGUAUAUUUUUUUUUACUAAUCUCUUUUUAAAUUAAUCCUUGAAAAUCUGAACAUACUUCUCAUUCUAAUAGCUAUAUCCCGAACACUCGCGUAAACUCCAACAACAACAUCUUAACACUCACAUUCCAUGGAAGAGAAUCAAAGUUUACAAGAAAACUAAAACAUCCAAAAAAAGCCCUUUUACAGUUUCGGAUAAUGUAUGACUGAUUUUGAAGUUGCUAAACUAAAUCCUCACAAGUAGCUAGUGUGUUCAACAAUUGAAUAAGAGCAAAACAAGAAAAACAAAAACAAAGCCAUUGCAAUGCUUACCCGGUUGAAGACCAUGAAACCAAGGUCAAUAUCAACCCCCUCGUCACUUUCUCCUUCUUAUACAUUUUAUCAUUCAUAAACAGAAGAAUAAUAAUACAUAGUUUAAUAGCAGCAUAAAAACUGCCCAAAAAAACGGCAUAAAAACUUUACGCAAAAAAUAAAAUCAAAUGUAAUCACAUGAGAUUACCUGGUUUGUGCUGAACGUGCAAGUGAAGGGUAACAAAGGAAGGUGAGUGAGUGAGUGAGAGUGGGGAAGGAAACAAAACAAAAGAGUGAGAGUCUUUGUCACUUCACGGAACUCAACUCCAGAGAAGAAAAUCGGUUUCAACUAUCACUUUGCGUCCGUAUUAUACCUCCACUUUUUUUUAAAAGAAAAGAAAACAAUCUUAUACCUCUCUUUAUAAAGCGUUGCUUCCUUUCAUUCUUUAAGCUGGGUUUGUUUUUAAGAAGAAAAAAAAUAAUACUGCAGAGAAAUUUUAUAUUUUUUAUACUCUAUUUGAAUUUUAAAAAAUUAUUAUAUUUUUUAUAUUUCAGUAAAUAUAAAAAACUGGUAAAACAGUGAUUAGUAAUUUCCUACUAGUAUCAUUCUUUAAGCUGGGUUUGUUUUUAAGAAGAAAAAAAAUAAUAUUGCAGAGAAAUUUUAUAUUUUUUAUACUUUAUUUGAAUUUUAAAAAAUUAUUAUAUUUUUUAUAUUUCAGUAAAUAUAAAAAACUGGUAAAACAGUGAUUAAAAAAUCGGUUUCAGAAUUUCCUAUUAGUAGUUGGUUAAAUUCUUAUAAAGUCAUUAGUAAUUUUUUUAUCUGAAAAAAUUACUUUAUUCCAAGAGUCUAUCUUUAUUUAUUUUUUAAUGAUAAAUUAAAAAUUCUAAGGGGAAGGAAUGAUAUUUCUGUUUCCAAAUUCUUUAAUGAGCAAUCACGUCAUUCUGCUGUCUAGACCAAAUUCUUUAAUGAGCAAUCACUUUAUCCUUUUAAAUUUUAUAGUUUUUAAUUUUUUAUUACCAUUUUUAGAAAAACUUAUAUAAUUUUUUAUUUGAUAUCAGUUUUGUAAAAAAAGUCACAUACCUUAACUAAAAGAUCCCACAAAUCACUAUUUUCUUUAAAGUAGAAAAUCCUUUCUCAAUUUACGUUUUAAGCUUCAUUUUAUGUUAGGCUGACAUUGAAUUGGUGCUCAUAGAAUAUUAAUUAAAAAAUUUUAAAAAAAAUUAUUAUAUAAAUCACAAGAGAUUAUAAAUACUUAUCAGUAUAAUUUUUAUUUAAUUUUAUUGAAUACUACUACCAGUAUAAUUUUUAUUUAAUUUUAUUAUAAAUACUUAUCAAUCAGUUGUUUUUAAGUGUAUUUUCGGUUUAGCAUCUCCUAAUGUAAAAUCCACGAUUGCAGUGAAACUGUUAAUUGAUUUUAUUUUUUUUUAAUUUUUAACCAAUUGACGUGGUAUUUUAUGUUCUUUAACGUUUUUUUUCUAAAAUAUGUAUCUUUUUAACGGCAUGUAUUUAAUAUUAUGCAAGAAUCAUAUCUUAAAUUAAUUUUUAGAAUUUUUUUAUAAAUAACAAUGAUUUUAUAUUUAUUCUGAAAUAUGUCCAUUGAAAUAAAUUAUUUUAUCGGUCAAAGAGAUCUGACUAAACAAUUAUUUUUUUUGUCUUUUCUUGGUUGAAUAGUUAUUAUAUAUUUUUAUGUUUAAUUUUUACGAAUAAAAAAAAUUAAUCAAUCCGACCCUACACUUACUUGGAUAGUAGUCACACACUACAUUUGGACAUUUGCAGUAGAUCGAUCUUUGACAAAAAAAAGUUACGCAAGAUUUUAAUUUCUAUAAAGAAACCAUAUAAUUUUUUUAUAUCAUUCAUUAGUUAAAAUUUAUUAUUACUACAAUUUUUAGGAUAACUAACAUGAAAAAAAAUGUACAUAAUAAUUUAUUAUUAAAUAUUAGUGUAAAAAAUUAAAUUAUUAACAUAUACUAUUUACUCUUUUUUUUAGUUGCAUCCACUAUUUACUCUUAACACAAUGCAUUUGGUAAUAACCUAUGAUAUUAGAUUUUACCUCGAUUAGUAAUUUGGGCUCGGUAGCCCUGACGGUGCUUUGAAGAGAAUUAACUAUAGUCGUGGAAGUAAAUCCAAGACCGCUGCUAGAUGGAUUGUAGUUGAAGUUAGUCAUUUAAACAAUGUUUGCACUAUUACAAAAAGUAGUUUUAACAUCGGCUUAUUAACAUCGGUUUAGUACAAAACCGAUGUUAAGUUAAACGCGGUGGCAUAUUUGUAAAUAAAGUAUCAUUCUUAACAUCGGUUUUCCAAAAAACCGAUGUUAACAUCAUUAGUUAACAUCGAUUUUUUGGAAAACCGAUGUUAAGAAUGAUACUUUAUUUACAAAUAUGCCACCGCGUUUAACUUAACAUCGGUUUUGUACAAAACCGAUGUUAAUAAGCCGAUGUUAAAACUACUUUUUGUAAUAGUGCAAACAUUGUUUAAAUGACUAACUUCAACUACAAUCCAUCUAGCAGCGGUCUUGGAUUUACUUCCACGACUAUAGUUGAAUCUCUUCAAAGCACCGAUAAGAGAAACAUGCAUUUGUACUGUUCAAUUAAAAUAUUAAUGUCAAAUACUAAUGAUAAAGUAAAUUUAUUACAAAAAUACAACUGACCUAUUAAUAAUUCCUUUUAAGUAGUUGUCGGGCCUAUUGUGCAAGGAACAAAAUUAGAUGACAACAUUGUCCUUAGGACACAUAACGACCAUUUGCCAAUGUUCACUGGUAGUUGUUAGGCCUAUUAUGCAAGGAACAAAACUAGAUGACAACAUUGCCCUUAGGACAUAUAACGGCCAUUUGUCAAUGUGCACAGUAUUGGAGAAUAUUAAGUUAUUAUAGUGCAUACAUGAUUUAAAUUGAUUUGUUCAAUUUUACUUACCCAUUCAAAUAGGCUCCGAGGUUGACAUCUAUGUGAAUUUUGCAUCCAUUUCUUAAUAUAAUAUUUUGAUUCAAAUUGUGAUUGCCUAGAUCUCUGUAUGGACUAUGGCUCGAGGAAUCCAUACAUAGAGGCAUUCCUUGCUUGCAUACUUGUCUCAAUCAUGUGCCUAUUGUUGUUAAAAUAAAGUAAAUUAUACAUGAAUUUAAAAUACUUAGUUAGCUAAUAUACAAUAAUGUAAAGUAACUUACAAAAUCCAUAUUUGUAUAACAGAGAUGUUGAGACAUUGACCACCAUGUGCUAUUUCAGAAAGAUCUUUAUACUUUAUGUACAAGGGGAAGUUAUCAUUAUACACCCCAAAUACAGUAGCAUCCCACGACACAUGCAAAAGGUUGAUGAAAAUUUGUGGGAUGACCAAUGUCACAAGUAUAAGGGAUUGACAUCAGGAUCCGAAAUAUCUAUAGGUUUCAACAGUCCUUGUUUAUCUUACACAGUUAAUAAACAUAAGUGAAUGACUGUUAACACUUUAUUUGUUACAAAUCCUUUUGUAAUAGUAACAAAUACAACAAAAUGAAAUAGUUAUUCUGAAAAAGGUUGUACAAGAUGUGUCAUUCAUGCAAGGAAGAUGUUAAGUGCCUACCCCACUAACUGAACCUUUUGAAUGGGUACAGGAACACAAGCAUCAACAUCUUAAACUUCCUUAAUACCAACCUUCACUUGAUCAUUGCCCAAAGGGACUUUGAGGAUGAUUAUUGACCCUUCAUAAACACUUCCUAGGGCAACCAAGCGGGGAGGAUUCUCAUCGACACACAACCCACAUUUCUUUGAGUCACCCGUGUUUGGACCCUAUCCCGAGGAUUGAUACAACUUCCCUUUGUCCUGACAUGAGUAGCAGAAGAACCAACCUCAGGCUCAAGAGGUAGUGCGAGUCCCUGGGAUUGCAUCUAUGAUUGCAUUUGGGACUACAUCUGGGAUUGCAUCUGGCUGAAAGACAACAUUAGCUGGCGAGUCACUUUUUUAUUGAUAAAAUCUUCCAACUGGUCCUUGAUUUUUUGUGUCAACUGCUCCUAGGCUUCAGGAGUCAUGGACGUAGACAUGCGGGAGCUUCUUGAAGUAGGUUCAAAGUAUUGCUUGAUCAUGACACGACCAAGGUGCUCUGGUCACCCAAUGGCAGUAGUCAGUAAAUCUUGACGUCCAUGGGCGACAAAGCUUAGCUGUGAGGCUUGCUCUUCCAGGGAAUUCUACAGUCAAUAUAGAUGAAACAAAUUUUUUUACGACCUAUUAUUAUUGCAAAAAAUUAACACUCACAUAAAAAAGUCACUUACAAUCCUAUUUGUAGUUUCAUUUGCUGCCUUAGACAUCAUUUGACCAGAUUUUUUCAUGCGAGCCAUCUUCCACUUCAUGUGUCAUCUAAUGGGAGAUGAAGCAUCAACAAAUGUGUUAAUGCACCCGGAUUGGGAUGCUUCCUCCAAUCAUUUCUUGUUCUUGUUCUCCAUGAACUUUUCUUCUAGAAAAUCAUAACCCCCGACGAGACAACAUGUGAGGGGCAAUGUUUUGUUUCUUUAGGGCUUGUGCCUUUUUUUGAACAUCCUGAAACAAUUACACAUUAGGAUAAGUUGAUACGCUUGACAAUAAUGCAUAAAAAUGAUGUUAAAAAAAUAAAAAUCAGCUAACCUCCCAUGAAGGGUCUCUAUGGCUUUAACAAAACCGGCUCCACACUUCUCUUUUCUUAUUCCAUACUUUUCUCAUAUUUUAUCAUCCUUGCCGUUCUUGCCUUGUUCCAAAGCUCAUUUGGUGGUCAAAUUUGACUUAAACUACUUUCAUCCCUUUCUUACUGUCUUAAGGAUAUUCUUCUUUGUCCUUUUGUCAUACCCUUCUAGAAUAUCAAAUUCAGCCUAUAAUUUAAUAGUUAGUCAAUAACAUUAAACAUUAUAAGAUUUUUAGAACAACCAAUUACAAUAACAUUCAACAUUUAAUUCAAAUACCUGAAUGUUCUCCCAAAUCAAAUCCUUCUGAGUGGCAAGAACUUCUUUCCAAUUAACAAAUGUAAUGUCCACCUUGUCUCGAGCGACGAUCCCCAUAUACAUCCUUAAUUUCUUUCCGUGGGGACUGUUGGCUUUCCUAGUGGAAGGAUCCACAUGACCCACUAGGGUUUCCGCCUUAACAGGUCUGGUUGUGACACCCUCUACCCCUCACAUAUAUAUUAAUAAAGGAAUAAAAAUUCAAAUAUUAAUUAAAAGUAUUUUUAAAACAUUUUUAAAUACCAGCCUUUCAAAUGGGUAAAAGACUUACAUUCACUUUCUUCUACAUCAUAUUCAAACUUGUCCAAAUAAAUAAUAAAGUCAUAUCGGCUCAAAGAAGGUCAUCUAAGUUUCAUACAAUUAAUAUAGAACAUAUAUCCUAAUGUCACAUCCUAUUAGAGCAUGGUGUUCCUGUGUCCUCUAGCAUGAGGUUCUUCAUAGUCAUCCACCUAUUCAUCUGCUCCCCCGAACACAAAGUUCAAGAUCAUCACAGGAUCCAAACACAAACAGCAAACCGGGAGUGAGUUAUCACAUUUCUAACUACUAGAGAGAAACAACACAACAUAUAGUAGCCAAAUACAAUUUACUUAGCAUAUCUCACACUAUUUCAUCACUUUGUCAUUCAUCAAUCACACUUUUCAAUCAUCAAUCAUAAUACACAAGAAUCACACACUCUGAUCAAGACAUAAUAACACAUCAAUUUCAUAAUAAAAAAUUAGCAAGCGUAUGCAACAAUUAUGCUAAGACUCAAGCCUAUAUGCAAUGUGGUACCAUGUCAGUGAAAAACCUCGUCGGGCGCCUAGGAGUACAUGACAAGACAAACCACACAAUAGUAAGUCAAGUCACUCUCACUAAGUAAUAUCAUAGGGAAACCAGUCAGGGUCACAGUGUUUUGCGAGAAUGCUCCAACCAUAUGGGAUCAACAUAGGCUUAAAGGAGCACUCAAACCGUGUGACCUCUAAGGCCUUCACUCCGAAGAGUCUGUCAGGGCCUCUCCCUCCUGAUUCAGGUCCAACCCAGAAAACAUUUUAGCACACAGACUCUAUCUAUGAACUGUACAAAACACACGACUCCUCAAUUGUUCUCAAAAUAAUUUUAACUCGUCGCCUUUUAAGGGUCUUAUCAUUAACUCGUCGCCCUUAAAGGGACUUAACAUUAACUCGUCGCCCAAAAAGGGACUUAGCAUCAACUCAUCGCCCUAAAAGGAACUUAGCAUCAACUCGUCGCCCUAAAAGGGACUUAGCAUUAACUCGUCGCCCUUGAAGGGACUUAUGAUCGUGUGAUUGCAUAAUUCAUAGUUCACAACUCAAUGCACAUAUAUAUCUCAAUCAUAUACAUACUCAAUUUAUCACAUACACUUAAUCCCAAUCACAAUGGUAUAAUCUCAAUUUAACAUGUUAUCACACCUCAUGAAUCAUAUACACUUUACCUAUGAACUAUGCAAUACAUGCAUCUACUCAAUUGUUUUCAAAAUCAUUGUAACUCGUCGGGUUCCCACAGUGGAUCCCAUCACAAUACUCGUCGCCCUUAAAGGGUCUUACAAUUGUGUGAUUGCACAGUUCAUAGUUCACAACUCAAUACACACAUCUCAUCUCAAUACACAUGUAUUUCAUCAUCCGUCACAUGUUCAAUUUAUCACAUACUCAUUGUUUGAAUCAUCAUUUCAUAACCUCAACAUAACAAUUUAUACAAAAUAUUUUAUCACAACAUGGAAUGUAAAACCUCUGAAAUAGUUCCUCACAAUUGUAUCAAAAUCAAUUAAUCAAAAUCAUGGGUUAAUACAAAGACAUCAAGAGCACUCAAGUUUAUCCAUCAAUUCUCAUCAGGACAUCAAUUGGUACAUAGAACACAAUAAUAUUGUAUUCAUAAUCAUAAAUAAAAAUUAUAAUUCAAUAAACAUCCCAAAAUAAACCCAAAUUUAGUUCUCUAAGGAUCCCUACACAUGUUCAUUCUAACUCCUAAUUGCGAUAAACUCAUUCCUUACCUCUGAGCGGACUCACGUGUCUUCAGCUAGCGAUAGUAACAUCUCUAGCGGUUCCCUGAGAUUCCUUCAGUUAUUCCUCCGACUGCUCCGAUAGAAUUCCCAAACAUCAGAGAGACGGAGAAGAGAUUGAAACCUCCACUUGUACUGUCUUCAUGCGAUUCCUUUUUCUCCAUCCACGAAUAUUAUCUCAAACAUCCCAAUGGUAGAAGUGUGAGCAAUUUAAUUUCGAACAACAUAUCCAAAUUUCAUGAAAAUCCAAGGGUUAACGAAACCGGGAUCAUAGUUUUACCGAGACAGUUUUGGGUUUUUGCGGGAAAAUAAAAGGCUACAAUGCGAAGGGGUUUCCUCUAAGCUCAGACAUAAUAUCGAAAUUCCCAAUGGUGAGAAUGCUCAAAAUUGGGUUGCGAAUAUGGUGUUCUAAUUUCACGACGAUCCAACGAUGAAUGAGCUCGAGAUCGUCAUUUUUCUAAGAUAGGUUUUGUGGGCUGCGGGAAAAAGAAAGGGUUUUGAGAGGAGAAAGGGAAAAACGAAAAUGAGGCCAAAAAAGAGGCACCUGAUUUAACAUAACUAUUUAUACCUAGGGUACUCAGCCUAUUAUUUGCUCUAUAUUUAUUUAUUUAUUUUAUAAAAACAAACUCUAUUUUAUUUUCUAUCAAACAAAUAAAUGAAAUACCCUUUUUAUUUUCUCUCAAAUCAUUAUUUUAAUUAAUAAUUAUAUCUCCUUAUUUAUUUAUAUAUAAAAUCUCAUCAUUUUUCUAAAACUUUAUUUAUUUAUAAAUAACAAUCCUUUUUAAUCUAGAUUAUAAAAAUUGGGAUGUUACACUGGUAGCCAACGAUCUAAGUCAUGCUGCUUUUCUUGUCUUCUUCGACAUAGAUGAUGAAGGUGUUGAUGGUUCAGGAGGUGGAGGAGGGGAACUGGGUGAUGUAUCCAUGUGCUUGUUAAAAAACAAAAUUAGUUAAAAUUAACUCAAAACUAUAUUACGUCAUGUAAUUGAAAUUAUGAAAGCUAGUAAAUAUAAAACAAAUUACAAUAUGCAACGAUAAUUAAUUAUCCAUUAUGAUGAUCAUUAUGAUUUGCAUGAAUGUUGUCAACUUCUUCUUCUUUGUUGACGUUAGGUGGCAUUUAUGUGGGGAAGGGACUAACACAAGUAUCUACAGUUGAAUCAUCAUCUUAAACAUUAAUGCCAAUGGUUUUUUCAUGUAGAACCAUUGGCCACCUUUCAUCACAAGGAUCUUGAACAUAAAACACCUAUUUAGCUUGUUCUGCCAUGAUGAAAGACUCAUUCUGCUAAGCGAACUUCUUCAGAUCUACCAAAGUAAAUCUAAAAUCAUCAAUUCAAACACCGAUAUUACCAUCAACCCACUUACACUUGAAAAUACAUAUACUGAAUUUGACAUAAUUAAGCCCACAAAUUUCUUUAAUGACUCCAAAGUAAGGCAUGGACGCUAGAUGGGGAUUGUCAUCAUGUACAAUAGCAAAGUAUUGAAAUUCAGCCCUUAGACUAACCCUACUAUUUUGCAUUGUACUCUUGUCAUCUUGUGAUUUCAUGUAGAAUGAAUAUGUGUUGAUAUCGUAUCUUUGCCAAGUUAUAGAAAUUCUUUUAGGUCCAUUUGCUAACUUUCUUAACGGCUCUAAAGCAUUAUCAUAACCAAAGAUUGUAUCUAUAAACCAAUUUAGGAAUGUCUUGCUAUGCUUUUUCAACACCCUAUUCAUGGUCAUUUUUGGGUUACUUUCCUUGACUAAUGCUUUGUGACGAACUAUGUAUGACAAAACUUCAUUACCGUUAUUCAGUAGAUACAAAUGAGUUUGUUGUAAUUCUUCUAGACUUGGAGUGAUAACAUGUAGUCCUCUUGAACCCUUACUCCAACUCUUUCGUCAUGCCAAGACUCGGGAAGCCCAACAGGUUUUGCCUUUUCAAUGUACUUUGAACAAAACUCAAUAGCUUCUUCUACAAUGUACCUUUCAACAAUAGAUGCUUUAAGACGGUGUAGAUUCUUUGAAUACCCUAUUAAGAUCUUCAUGUAUCGCUCAACCGCAUACCUUCACUGCAAAUAAACAGGAUCACAAAAUUUAACUUCCCUCACCAGAUGAAUAAUUAAGUGAACCAUGAUGUCAAAAAAUAAAGAAGGAAAAUACAUCUUCAACUGACACAAGAUAAUAUCAGUCUCAUUUUCCAACUUAUCUAACUUGAAAGGAUAUAUGACUUUGCUACAUAUGGCAUUGGAGAAAAAGCACAGUCGAGUUAUGGCAUGCCUCACUUUGUUAGGAAAAAUAUCUUGUAUCGCCACGACUAACAAUUGUUGCACCAAGAUGUGACAAUCAUGAGACUUUAAGCCAACUAACUUUAGAUCUUUGAACUACAUAAGACUCUUAAUAUUUGAAGAGUAUCCCUAUGACACUUUGAUAUUGCGCAGACAGUGACAAAAACUUAUCUUUUCCUUUCUUUGUAUGACAUACUGGAGGCAAGUAUAUUUUCUUACCAUUAGACCUUUGAUGUAACUGGUCUCGUAUACACAUCUCAACUAGAUCUUGACGAGUACUUAAAUCAUCUUUUGUCUUGCCUUGAAUAUUAAGAAGUAUGUUGAUGAUACUUUCACACUCAUUUUCUCCAUAUGCAUAACAUCAAUACAAUGUCUGACAUCUAGAUCGGACUAGUAUGGAAGAUCGAACAAUAUCCACCUCUUAUUCCAUAUGCAAGUUUUAAUUUUUUCUUUCUUUUGGGUUUUGUCGAAUAUAGUAUUGAUGUCCUCAGCUUGCUUAAGAACUUGUUGACCUGUUAAUGGUAUUGGCGCUAUUUCAUGCUCUUGACUUCCAUUAAAAGAUUUUUUCAAUCGCUAAUAAGGGUGAUAAGGUUUUAGAAACCAUCGAUGUUGAGUGUAUAUUGUCUUUCUUCCAUGUUUCAGUUCUACGUAACUUGUGCCUUCUUCACAGAUAGAGCAUGCAUGAUGCCCCUUAACACUAUAUCCACUCAAAUUCCCAUAGGUUAGAAAGUCAUUAAUGGUACAAAAUAGCAUUGCGCAUAAUUUGAAUGUCUCACUUUGAUACCCAUCAUACACGAAAACCCAUUCAUCCCAUAAAUUUGUCAAGUCUUCAAUCAACGGACUGAGAUAAACAUUGAUGUCAUUUUGUGGUUGUCUUGGGCUGAAUAUCAUCAUUGACAACAUCAUGUAUUUUCUCUUCAUGCACAACCAUGAGGGAAAGUUAUAAAUUAUCAGCAAAUAGGGCACGAACUGUGCUGAGUGCUUAAACUGCAAUAGGGAUUCAUUUCAUCAGUGGCAAGUCCAAGCCUAAAAUUUCUUGUCUUUUUCCGGAAAUCUGGAUACAAACAAUUAAUCUUCUUCCACUGGGAAGAAUCAGUCGGAUGGUGAAGCAUUUCAUCACAAUUUCUCCCAUUUGCAUGUCAUGUCAGGUCUUUUGUGUCAUUUUCAUUGACAAACAUACGCUUGAACAAUAGAAUGAUUGGAAGAUACCAUAACACCUUCGAUAAGGGGCCUUUUUUGGUGCUUUCAUCACGGCUACACUCAUUAGCAUCCUUCACUUUGUAUCGUGAUACCCCACACCAGGGGAAUUUAUGCAUUUCUUCAUACUCAUGUUUGUACAGUAUACUGAUAAGUGUUUUGCAUACGUAAAUAGUAUACUAAAAUCGCAUAGCAAUUAUCUAUCUUUUCUCUAUUUUUACUACUUAUUUAGCGUAAAACAAUAGGAACUUAGCUUCUCUUGAAUUUCAUCCAGAAGAUGCUAAAAUUAAGUAAAUAACACUAAUUUUGGUUGUAUUUUUGUUGUAUAGAGUAACAAAGAAAUGGAAGAGCUUCUAAAGAACUGAUAGCCUUGCUCAGCGAGUUGGAGUCACUUAGCACAAAAGAAGCCGCUUAGCGCAAGGAAGCUUCAUUGGAAGACAAUUGUCAUAGGCAAGCCUGCAAAUUCAUGACUUAGUGCAGAUCCACUUGCAAUCCAGUUGGACUAGUGCGAGCAUCGCGCUAAGCGCGUUCAGCAUGAGCAUCACGCUAAGCAUGUUCAGCAUGAGCAUCACGCUAAGCGCGUUCAGCAUGAGCAUCACGCUAAGCGCAUUGAUGCGCUCUAAUUGGUUAGCAAUCACAAUCCCUAUAUAAGAAAGAAACUUGAGAAGUAGGAGGAGCAUUUGACAUCAAAGAAUAUUGAGAAUAGAAGCAAGUCGUCCACUACCGAUGUAAGGAAAUCCAUUUUCGGAGCUCUGGCUAGUUGAUUUCACUCCAUUCUUCUUCCAUUAAAUCCCUUAUAUCUUAUCCACCUAUUUGUAAGCCUCUCAUAACAAUGAGAGGCUAAAACUCCACCGUGUUGGGUGCUUUGUAUUCCUAAACUCCAUGAUGUAACGAUUCUAAACUAUUUUUUAAUAUAAUGUUGUUAUUAUUAUUCAUCCCUGUGCUUAUUCACAUAUUUAUGGUUUGAUCAUUCAUCUUUAUGUACUGUUUUAGUAUAUGAAUAUUGGGAAAUGUUUGUAUGCUAAGAACUCGGGAAGGGUAUCUAAAGUGAGUCACAUCUAGGAAUAAAAUGGUCUUUUUUAGCCUGUUCAUGCAUCUCUUUUCUUAAUGCAAGUCAUUUAGUAAUCAAUCGCUAAGAGAUUGUGAGCUAUAUUAAGUGAGUUCUUUCACUUGAGGGAUAUUGGUUAGAAUAAACUAGUAGAUGCAGGUGAUAAUCAUAUUAAUGUUAAAAGAGAAAAAUCGAUAAAAGAUUACAUCAAGAGAAGUUAUAGAAGUAGAGUGCCCAACACGUCCACAUUCAUCAUCAACCUCACCUUCCAAGUGUUUGUCUUCUCUCCUUGUAUACUUUGUUAUUAAGUCUCACAUUUAUUUCUAUUAAAUAUUGUUUCUAAUGCACAAAACCCUUUUUUCCAGUCUUUAAUUACUUAUUAUUAGUUCUACACAUAACUGCAAAAUAUAAGCACAAUCUUCGUGGAAUUGGAUACUCGAUCUUUGCAUUUUAUACCACUUGUGAAACUUGGUACGCUUGCCAAGGAGACAACAAGUUUUUGACACUGUUACUGGGGACUGUGUUCCUUGAACUUGAUAGUUUAUUAUAUUAUGUUUUUAAGCAAUUGUUCUUUGAUUCUUUGUAUUUAAUUUGUUAAUACAUAUUAGAUUCUUUAACUUCAUAACCUGUUCUCGAGUUGUUUUUGCCUUCUUGUAUGUGAGGUAAGGCUUCUGAGGUGAACCUUGUUCCACUAAACUCAAAAAUCAAGGCAGCCUGUAGGAAGAACAAAACCUUAAGACGGAGGAAAGAACAACUAGAAAAGCAGGCAAAUCAAGGAGAUAGAAGAAUCUCAUCCACUACAACAUCCUUGCCAUUUCCACUUGAACUUGGGAAGAGGUUGUGGAGAAAUUCUUGAAGAAAUACUUUCUAGAAUCAAAGACAGCACAAGGCAAGGGAGAGAUUUCUUUAUUUCAUCAAUUUCUAGACGAAUCACUCAGCGAAGCUCUAGAUUGCUUCCAUGAUUUAGUUUUCCGGACUCCAACGCAAGGAUUCAGUGAGCCAAUACAACUAAAUAUCUUUAUUGAUGGCUUACGACCUCACUCAACGCAACAUCUAGAUGUUUUCACUGGAGGUAAGAUAAAGUUAAAGACACCUGAUAAAGCUAUGAAGCAAAUUGACAAUGUGGCAGCUAGUGACCAUGCAAUUCUUUGGGAUACAGUAUGCAUUACUGGCUUAGAACAAUUGGAGACCUUGACUAAAACCCUAAGCAAACUUCCCCAACACGUUCCUUAACUCACCACAACACCAUCUCACAACAUGGAUCUUUUUGGCCUAUUCUUGAUGUCACUUACAAAUUAUGAUGUUAACAUUAAUUAAUGUAAAUUAUGGUUAUUUUAUCCUAAGUAAUUGCUUAAAGUCAUAAUGCAUUUACUAUUUUGCUAAUUUUAGAGUCUUAGGUUAAAUAAUUAUAUGAUUAUGUUUUAUUAGAUUGAAUGGAUCAUAAAUUAGUUGAAAUACGAUGAACUAACUCAAGAAUCACUUCACUGUAAUUAAAAUAUUUCCACUAGAUUAAAAUUUCCUUAUGUUUUGAGAUUUAAAAUUAUCAGGAUAUACAAAAGUAAAUUAACUUUUAAAACACCUACCUCCUCUUGUGGAUCAAACAAGAAAAUGACUACUUUUCCUCCUCUCAAGCAUGCAUAACUCUUUAAUAAUACAUUUUUUUUUUAAAAAAAACUCUCUUUCUUUUCCUUCUCCUCCUCUAUUAAAACUUCUCUCUCUUUUUUUAUUUGAGCCAAAAUGAUCCCAAUUGUUUGGUAGAAAGGAAAUUGGAAGGAGAAAAAGAUGUUGGACAAGUGGCCUCAAUAACUUAAGAGGGGGCGGGUGAAUUAAGUCUUACAAAAUUUCCCACUAACAUAUUUUAACCCCCUUUUAAAUGAUAUAUGAUAGGCUCAGAAUGUAGAAGAAGAAGAAACAAUCAAUUUGAUAAUGUUCUUUUAAAUGCGUAAGACAAAGUAAACAGCAAUAAAAUAACUGAAAUAAGGGAAGAAAGAAAUGCAAACUCAAUUUAUACUAGUUCGGCCACUUCCCGUGCCUAAGUCGAGUCCUCAAGCAACCCACUUAAGAUUUUCUACUAUCUUUGUAAAUCCUUUACAAACAUUGAACACAACUUAGGAUUUCUCACCCUUGUGUUCAAGAUUCUCCAAGAGACAACCAAUCUCUUGAUUACAAUUCUCAUAAUCCAAGAGACAACCAGUCUCUUGAUUACAACUAAGUGUCUGAGAUGAACAAAAAGAUUUCUCUCCUUUAGAGUAGAUGAUACAAAUUCAAGAUCCUAGAGGAAUUUCUCUCUUUUAGAGAUGAUAUUACACAUUGAAGUUCCUAGAUAAAUUCUCAAUAGAUUUGCAAGUGUUUGUCCAAUAGUUGUUAAGAGAGCAUUUAGCAAUUAAGUUCUCUCAAAACAUCUAUCUCUUGCUUUUCAAAGUCAGACACACAUAUAUAUAGGCCCAUUAUGCCUUUCCAAAAUGGUUUGAAGAGAUGUGUCUUUUCAAAAAGCUUUUCUAAAAUUUUCUCAUUGGUAAUCGAUUACAGGUUUCUGGUAAUCAAUUACAUAGUUAUAUUUUGAAGGGUAAUGAAUUUUCAAUUUGAAUUUUAGGAGUUCCGUUACUAUUAAUCGUUUGCAAACAUAUGGUAAUCGAUUACAAGAUUCAAAAUUCAAAUUUCAAAACCCUUUUUAAAAGCUGAUUACAAACUUGUCUUCUGGUAAUUGAUUACCAGAGCCCUUGAUCUCUUGGAAACAAUUUGUUUUAAGGAAAAAACCAAUCAACCAGUGAGAUUAUUUGAGGCCUUAUCUUUUUCUUGAUCUUGUUUGCUUGACCUUGAAUUAAUAUUGAAACAAUGCUUAACCUUUGAAUGUUUGUUGAAGUAACCUUGUAAGCAACCUUGUUUGAUUCUACUUUGGCAUCAUCAAAACCCUGUAUUCAUGUAUUCACAUUUUCCCCCUUUUUGAUGAUGACAAUCAUUAUCAAGCAAAUUCUUUUUAGCAUCAUCAAAACCUGCAUGUUUCACAAAAGAGAUGAAAAUUAUUUGAUUGUUGGGUUGGAAAAAUCUAGAGUGAAAAUUAUUUUAUUUCUUAAAUAUUUUUUUAAAGUUAAAUUUUUACAUAAUAGUCUAAUACGCUCUACAUGUAUAUAACUACUAUUUAUUUUUAGUAGGAAACUGGAAGGUGGUUUCUCAUCAUUUGAUGGUUUUGGGGAUGUGAUGCAAUUAGAAUGGCUCAUAGGUCAUACCCUAACUAAUAUUGGAGGGAGCAACCUCAUGCUACCUUGUAUGCUUCCCUGCUUGGUGAUGGCAUGGGGUAGUCUGUUCUUUUUGUUUCUUAUUUUUCCACCGAAGCAAAAAAAAAAACAUGCACACAAUGGUUUCCUUAACUAAAAUAUUAAGUGUUUAGUUUUCCAUUUACAUUCUCAAUGGAUAGAUCUUGUGUCAUUGAGUAAAUGACCAUUUGAAACUUCUUAACGGGAAAUUAAACUCAACUUUAGCAUUAAUUAAUCACUUCAUCGAUUUAUUGAUUAAUUUAAUUUUAAAACAUCACAUAAGUUACUCUGGAUACCAAACAGAUAUGCAUCACAACUUCAAACUCUACAAAAUCUCAACCACAAUAUAUAUCCACAUAUUUAUUUAUCUUUGCAAAACAUAGAACGGUGAAACGUGUAACAUCAAAGUACAACUAUCCUAAAUUCUUCAACCAACCAUCUACCCAAGUUUAUCAAAUCCAUUACAUUCAAUUCUAACCAUUAACUACUUUGUGGUCCAUACAAAAUCAAUUGCUUCAUAAGAUAUUCUACAAUGAGCACUUACACAUACAUACUGUCAUCCACAUUCACAUACACAUUUUGUCAAACAUGUUGUAAACACAAUAUGUAAGAGUUACUAGGCAAGAUAAAUUGGAUAGAUGCUUUAGCUUGUUUAUAUUGCGUCCUGUGAAAUUGAAAUGAAGGAUGAGGAGAAAGGAAACGAUUCAGGUUAGGGACUUUAAAUGGAAAUGAGAGAAGGAGAACAAAGUAGAGAAAGAAGAAGAUGGACGAUAACCUUUCAUGACCAGUAGUGAGGUUGCAAUGCUAGUGCCGAGGGAGUUUUAACACCUCGAGAGGUUGCAAAUGAGAGUGAGAAAGCGUUUGAGUGAAAGUGAGUCAAUAAGGUUUCAAAGUGAGGGAGCUCGAGGGUUUUUUGGCACUAGAGAAUCAUUAUAUAAGAUCUUACCACAUCAGUUUUUAAAUAAAAAUGAUGUUAACAAAGUAACGCAACAUCAAAUUUUGGAAAAACCGAUGUUGAGUUUUCUCUAUGUUUUUCCAGUAAAAUCAUUUUUUCAAAAUCAUUGUUACCAUGAGUUCAUUAACAUCGGUUUUUAAAUGAAAAUCAAUAUUAAUAAACUCGUGUCGACAUCGGUUUUUUCAAAAAUCGAUGUUAACAAACUUGUGUUGACAUCGGUUUUUCAAAAAAAAAAAAUGAUGUUAACAAACUUGUGUUAUUUAGGAGUAUGCCACCAUAUUUUUGUUAACAUCGGUUUUAUUAAAAACUGAUACUAACAUAGCGAUGUUAAAACCAUCAUUUGUAGUAGUGACUGUCCCUUUUAAAUUUUUUGGCACUAUUUAUUUUAGCUACCAAAAUUUAGCAAGUUUAUGCAUCUAAUCUUUUUUACAUGAACAACUGAUAAAGCAUCAUGUGUGAGACACAUUUAUUGGAUUCAAUUUCGUGUUAUAUUCCUUUUUAUUUCAUUUAAUGUUUUUUGUAAUUUACAUGUAACAAAUACAUUUAUAUAAAAAACUAAAAACUACAAAAAAAUAUUAGAAUAAAGAAAAAAAUUGAAAUAACAUCAAUUUAUAUGCGCAUUACAUUUCAAAACACAUGAAAUUAGGCUUUUAUCAUUGAAUUGUCAAUACUAAGAUAGCAUUGACCAAACAAAAUGAUAUGUCAAUUUAAAUAUUGUAUGUUUAAGUUAAAAUAUAACCUGUUGUAAAUGAAGUUACUUGAACUUCUUACAAUGCAUAAACCAUUAUGUAUGCAUGUGUUGAAAAAAUCAAGAUGUUUGAUAUUGUUCGUUGCCACUUAAAAUAAGCCGUUUCAAUCGGCUAACUGCUAUAACACAAUUCCAAAAUAUAAUGUCAAGCGAUUGAUACUGAGAAGGGAAAUAUGCAAUCAAUAAUGGGUUCCCAAGCUACAAAAAAAAAAAAACACUUAGUGUAAGAGUGAAGAAAAAAAAAUAAGAAGAUAGGAUUUUUCAUGAAAGAUAAAGAUUGAAUUAAAGUAAAGCUUUAAAUGAAUAAUGUAAAGAAAAUAGAUAAAAUAAGAAGUUAGUGUCGGUUUUGAUGAAAGCCAAUUUUACAAAAUGCAUGAUGGUAUUUGUGUAAAUAAGAUGUCAUCAUUAUUGGUUUUGAAAAAAAAAUCAAUAUUUUGUGUGCUCAAUCAAUGUUGGCUUUAUUUGAAACUGAUGUUGUUAGGUAUACCUUAACAAUGGUUUUUAAAAACCUCCGUUGAUGUUUUGAUAAUAAUUCCAAAUCAUCUUACUCUUGCAUGCCUCGAGCUCACUUGAAACCCUCUCUUUCUUGAAGCCCUUUACUCAUAUGUGUUGCCACUAUCUCGUCCAGUACAUUGCCGCCUGUUUGCCACUGCGGUUCCCUUCUUCUGCAAUGGCGCUUCUCAUGACUUUUUCAUUUUUUCUAGUUUGUUUUCCUCAUGUAUUCCAAAUGUUUGGGUGGUAGCACCUGUGUCUCUCUGGUUGAUGGUAGCACUUGUGUCUCUUUGGUUCGCAAAAUCACUUAUGUCUCUCUAAGUAGCAAAAGCUAGUGCGCAAAAAUUUGGUGAUUGGGGCUGCUUAGGGAAUCUGAGGUUACCAUUGCUAUUGGAGCAGAUUUUUCGCCUCAGGUAUUUUUCAAAUUUGGUGAUUCUGCUUAGGGGAAUUUUAGAGUUAUUCUAGUGCCCAGUCUUUCUUUCCCAAUUGUAAGCUUACUUUCCAAUUUGUCUCUCUUUGCUUUCCAUGCUUCCCUUUUGCACCUUUUAAAAAUGAUUUUAUUAGUGGUUGUUGAUGAAGCAUAAAGAGGAACUGGUGUACAGUGUUGGAAUCAUUAUAUAAAUUUUGCAUAUAAGUCUCAAAUCUUAAGAUAAAAUUCAUAAAAAAAUUCUAAUUAAUCACACAACAGUUAUGGCCUCUAAGCAAAAGGCUACAACAAGAUCAAUGAUGGGAAGUGCCAUUUAUAAAGACAAAGGUGAAGGAUAGCAUCAACAACAAGCAACUGCUCACCCUUUAAAGCCUUUUCUUCAUCAUAUAUAAACUUUGGCAAUAGAAAAUACUGAUCUGUGGAAGAAUAUUCAAGCAAUAGAAAAUACUGAUCUGAAUCAUAUAAAUUUUACAAAAGAAAUUAAAAUGCACAUCCUACCAUCUUUAAAAUUUUAAAGAUAUGUAAAGCCAUUGCACUACUUGUAAUUAUGCUACAUACAUUGGUGACUACAUAAAUAAAAGGGGUUAACCAAUUUAAUUUCAGUAUACAAUUAAAUAAUUGGUGACUUGAAGAGCAAGACAAACAUCUAAAUGUAACCUAUUGAACACCAACAUCUAGUACUUGAAAAAGUAUAUUUUAGUAACAAAUACUAGCUGAGAUGCAUACAAGCAAUCAAGAGUGCCAACUAUUAAUACUCCCAAGAGAACCACCCAACAAAUACACUAGCAUUGUCGGUCCCUUGACGACUUAGAUUGAGAGACAAGUUUUAUGGUUUAAUCUUGACCAAAGAGUGGUCCACUUUGUUUAUGGAGGAUGCUAGCAAAUUUUUUUGCAAUAGUAGAUGCUCGAUUAGGAAAAAACAUACACAAAUGAUAGAUAAGUGUAAUUGUUAGAUCCUGUAGCUUAUUUUUUCCCAUUUGGUAAGCUAGUUUUUUGUUCAGGUUUUCUGCUAACUACUGUUCUAAGCUUACUACAAAAUUUGACAAUGAAAAUGUCUUCCGAAAUGCAUGGUAGUAUUAAGGGUAAAAAAAUAGGGUAUUGGAUACUACUUUAGACCAAAGUUGCUCAACAUUACUGAAAUCCAUCCUAGCUUAGAGGUUGGUUAAAGGAAAAUCCAUAGGAAUACCAUGCCUUGAAACAAAAAGUGAAAGAUAAAUUAAAAGUAUGUCAUUUCCUCACAAAAUCUUUCAAAAUUGUGUUUUUUUGGUUAAUUUUUUUUAUUAGCUAACUAGCUAGCUCUUUGUAAGUUGUGUUGCUUUGUGAUAUUUUAAGCCUUCCCAGUAGUUGUUUCUUUAAAAUUAUAAGCUUUUUUUCUUCAUUGGGUAUCUUAGUAUUGAAUUUUGAGGUGAUCAAGUUAGGAAGCUCCAUGGAGUAGUAGAACUAGCUAGUGACAAUUUUCAUCAAAUUUGUGGGUGAAGUGGUGAUAGCAACAACUAUAAGUGGAAAUAGUGGUAAUUUUAUCUGUUUUAGAUUGUGUAUAUAUUAUAAUAAUAUCAUAAAUGUGAAAGAUCAGUAUGCAAGUUGUGAAUAUUAUUAUUAUGCUUUAGCUUAUCAGUCCCAGUGAUUAUUGCCAUUCUAGUUAUGCCAAUCAAACCAUGUUUGCUUUUGCAGCUGCUGCAAUCCUUGUUUUCUUUUGGUAGUUUUUCAAAUAAAUUAUACUUAAAGAUUACUCUUCUUUUUCAGAAAACAUGGGUUAUUUUUGUUGGAGCAUGCACUAUGCACCAGCCAUUUAAAUAUCAGAAAAUUAUCUUAUAUUUAUCAAAGUAAAUAUGAAUUAAUUUAGCUAAUUUUUUUAUUUUUCAUGUCAAUCAAAUUUUGUUAAAUCAACAAACCAGGUAAGCAGUCGAUUGAUUGAAAGUUAAUUUUAGUUGAUUAUGAGCAAAUUCAUCAUGAUUCAAAGCCAAGCCUACCAAAUGGCCAAUCUUCAAUUAACAUAUGAGUCAACUUACCAAAAUUGCAAAAUUUGGUUACCAACAUAUUCUUAAUUCUAACUUUAAUAUGUUUGAUAAUGGUUUUCAAUGAAGGCCAAUUUGGUUUUCAAUCAAUUUUGCAUAUAUACUAUUAAGAAUUUAUGUAUGCAAUGUUCUAUGUUUGUUGAUUGUGUUAAUUAUUUGGAGCAAGUUGUUAUGCAUAAGAUAUGUGGAUGCCUUAAGUGGAAUGUAUGUGGACGAAUCUGUCACUCUUAAUGGAAGAAAUGCAAGUUGUGUAGGUCUUCUUAGAAACUACUUUGGGGGUUGGAUGAAUAGGUAGUUUAUGCAUAAUAUUGGAGUCGUAGAUAUUUUGAAUAUGUUUGAAUUGUGGGGCAAUUUUUCAUCUUUUGACAUUUAUUGGAAGGUUGGCCACACAAAUCACAAAUGUAGUUAUUGAAAGUGAGUACUUUGAGUGAUUUCUAAGGGUUGUCCUCACAAUAUUGGAAAAAGGUCAAUUAACAAUGAUUGUUUUACACAUUCAAAGACACUUUGAACCAUCUUUGAAACUAACAUCAUAGAAAGUCAAGACUUUCCACGACGGUUCCUAAAAAGUUGUCUUACCAAAGCUAUCAUUCUAAAACAGUUUUUAGACAAAUAAUCGUCUUAGAAUGACAAUUUUCCUAAGGCGGAUUUGACUUCAAAAUCAUCUUAGAAUGUAUUUUUAAAAAAAAAUUAAAAAAUUGAGGAUUUUAAGACGAUUUUUCAUAAAAUCAUUUUCGAAGGUAGACUUUCUAAAACGGUUUUUCAGAGAACUGUUUUAUAAUGUAUUUUUUAAUCUUUUUUAAGAAUUGAGGAUUCGUAGGGGAGAACCUUCUUAGAAUGUAUUUUUUUGAAAAAUUAAAAAAUUAUAUAGAUAUAAUUAAAAUAUUAUUUUCUUUAUAUUUUUAAACAAGAAAUAAAAUAAAAAUAGAUGAUAUUUUCUUGAAACUUCUAUCUUAAGUCUAGUGGCAUAUUGUUGGUAGCAAGGACAAAGCCUAAAAAAUACUAUGGGGGCCCAAACGAAACUUAUAAAUUAUAAGGAUUAAAAUCAUAAUUGAGGUAAAAUAUAGGGAUAAAAAAAUAUGUCAACCUUUAAAAUAUAAUAUUUUUACAAUAUUGGUUUCAUCUAUAUAUAAUUGUUCCUACUUUCCAUAAAAAAAUAAAAAAAAAAAUACAAAAUGAAAGGGAAACAUAAGCAGAUUAAAAAUACACAAAAAGCAUGAUGUAGGUGCAUCAAGAGCAUAAAAGCCAAUUUUUAAUCAUCUUUUCUUUUAUCAACUUGCUAAUAGAUGCUAAGUUGCCAACAUAGAUCUUUGAUGCACUAAACUUUUACCAAUUAUCGUUUCUUCUAACAAGUACCUUUAUAAGAAUUGUGCUUGUGCAACUCCAGAGAAUUGUCUACACAACAAUUUUAGACUUGAGGGAGUCUACAAGGAAAAGGAUACCUUCAAAUUCAAAAAAGUCAUUCUAGGGGGUGCGUGAGAUCUAGGUAAAGAAUAUCAUUAGACAACCUAGCCACAUAACAUUAAAACACAAUUCAAUAGCCUUCAAACUAAAAUUAAACAAUACAUGCCUUUAUUGACACUACGACCAAGAUUGUUGUUUUCCUUCAAUGGAUCAAUGAUGUUAAGAUGUUUCUAGGGAAAUGCACAAAUUUAAAUCAGCCCCCCUUAAUGGUGGUGAGAAUGACUCCACACAACUUCUAAUGAAUUCUUUAGUCAGUAGAGUAUUCCCUCCAUUUUCAUGCACCUCAACUUCACAUAGAAAAAAAACAAAUAAUAAUAAAAAAGAACAUAAAGCUACUUAAUGAUACGAAAAAAAUUGCCUACCUACUAUAUCAGGCAGAGAAGAUUUGCCGACUGGUCCUUCAAACUAACACAAUAAUUAUCCCAAUCAAAUUUGUAGAAGUAGUCCAAAAAUCUAUUGAAAACCUAGAAAAAGGGUAGAGUGCACAAAAAUCUUAUUGAAAUUAUGCAUCACUAUCAUCAUGUGAUGCAAAUUUUCUUUUCCAUCUUUUGAAGAAAAAGUGUGAUCCAUGAGAUUUGAUGGAGAACUUGCUGCAAGAGGACCAUCUAAGGAUACAUGAAACUAAUGGAAAAUAUACAGAACCAGUGUUCCCAAAGCUUAUGUUGAAAUCAGACCAUGAUGGGCGCCCAGUACACAACUCUCAUAGUAGCACCAAGCUUUAAUAAGGAUAAUACUAUGUUUGAAGAGAUGAUCCUUGACAUCAAGUCGAUCAACCUAUAAAUUAUAAGAGUGGAACUUACUUAGUAUUAGAUACAACAAGACAUAAUCAAUAUAUAAUAAUAUAUAAAAAAACAAAGAGUCAAACUAGAGUAGUGCACAAUAUUCCAAACUAUGAUGAGUUGCAUAUGAUGUUGUGACACAUAAUACUUGUUUCUAUAGUGUUGAUACUUAAUAAAAUAAAGAAAAUUAAAUAAAAAAAUCAUUCUAGUUUCUCAGGUGUUACGUGAAAAUUAAGUACAAACAUUGCAAUACAAAUAUUAUUGCGGCCUCAAGAGGCCACUUUCAAUAAUACCUUCUCAAGAAAACAUAAUGUACUGAGUCCUCCUAAAUGAUUGAAAGAGAUGUCUACAACAAGAUCUUGUACAAUGCAUUUACGAAGCUUAACCUGUAGAAAAAGAACCCAAACAUAUGAAAAAUAAAUAUAUCAAACAUAAAAUCAAAAAAGAAAAUUAAUUCACAAAUAUUGCACCAAAGACACAAAUUAAGCAUCUUUAAUAAAUAAAAUAUUUAAAUAUAGAGAAAAUAAUUCAAGUCAACAGUAAACUAACUAGCAGAAUCAGCCUAGCAUGUUUGCAAAGUCCACAAUCAACAUAGAGUUAGACGCCACAUUUUGGUUGUCAACAUGUGAUAUAAGAAAAUACAAAGAUUUAAAAUCAACAAGAUUUCCAGGAGUUGCGCUAGAUUUAGUCAAAGCUACCAAAAUAAAGUAAACUACUUUUACAUAGGCUAAAGCAACAAGUUGGGGAGGGGAAAAGACAUUCCAUAACUUAUUGAGCGAAAAGCACCAACAAAACAUUCUUAGCACUGCCAGCUUCAGAAAAGAGAAAUAAAGAGUAAGGGAAGAGGCAAUUAUCUGAAUGUUUGAAAACACCUCAAUUUCAACAGAGAGAGAAAAAUGCUUGGACCCGCAAAUGCAGAUUCAACAUUUUUCAGGUUCAUAAUAAAGUUAGCAGAUCUUUAUUUUAGCAGAUCUUUAUUUCUAAUUUACUUUGGCAAUUAGUAUAAAAUAUUUUCACACUAAAUUGCAUUCAAUUUCUAAUAAGGCAUCAAUUGAGUGGAAAGAACCUUUGGAUCCUUUACUUCAUAUUCAACAGCUUCAUUAACUUCCUCUCCAUGAAGAACAACAUGUACAUCGGAUACCAGGCCAUCCUCAAUGUUUUGACAACUUAGUGCAAUCAAAUCAAUAUCUCCAUCUGGAAGUAAAAAAUAAAUUUCAUAUUUCAUAACAUUAGGCCAUCCUCAAGCUUAAUUUACUUACACUAAUAUUCAAAUAUUAAACAGGGAAUAACCAUAAUUAUCCUAGAUUUAACUUCAAUUAACCUAAACAUAGUCGAAAUGAAAAAACACAAAGAUUCUUACCUAAAACCUACAACGGAAAAAAAAUCCAAAUAGGUUAAAGCAAAAAAUGAGCUCAUUUGAACACUAUAAAUUAUAUUAAACAAAGAUAUUUUUUCUAACAAUGUUUCAAACCUUUAUCCAACAUAUUGUUAUUGGAUACUUGGGAAAAUGGCAAUAAAGGAGAGAAAUAAAACAUAAAGAAAUUGAAUUAAAUGAGAGAGAAGAAAAUGUAUGUAUCUAACAUGCAACAACAGUUAGUUAAGAUGAAGAGUAUGCAUACAAAUCAAUGGAAGCUCAUAGAGAAUCCAGAGGACAUGGGCGUUUCAAACUUCGGCACUAACCCGAACCCUAUGGUGAAAUACUUCGUGAAGUUCAUGUGGUAAUACUCCGGUGUGUCGAUGGCGCAUGAGUCCAAACUUGUGCUUCAUAAUUUCGGGUGUGGAUUCAUCUAGGGUUUCAAGGUCGAUGUCAGAGACGAGGAAAUGGAAGAUUUUCUCAAGACAAAGGGACUUGUGGAGGAUGGAGUGCAUGACGACGAUGGAACCAUGGAGGUAGUUGACAUCAAGGGUUAUAGCCAUGUGGACCAAGGAAGGUCGCAGACAGUGGUGGUUUCACUGCAAAUUGAACCGCACUCGGUGGCUUUUUCGAACAGAGGAGCUUUCCAGAAGGAAAAUUGAUGGGAGGAUUGAAUGGUUUCGGAUUGAAAGUAGUGGGGAGGAUAACCCCGAGAAACUUGUUAUCCCCAAUAGUUUUUUUAGUUUUUUUGCCCUGCGCUUCCAUUAGGGUUUUGGAAUGGUGGUUUUUUUGGUGCAUUUUGAGUGUGAAUCAAAGUAGGGAUGCAAUAGGGGCAAAGCAAGUUGGGGGAGAAAAAUCCAUGGGGUUCUCUCUUCCAUCAUUGGAUAUGCGCAUAGGGGACAAGGUCAACUAGUAGGGAAAGGUUAUUGUGGUGACAAUUUGGUAAAUUUAGUGAAUAGAAACUAAGACAAUUUUACAAAAAAGAACGUUUUCGUUUUGAGGUUUCAAAGACGGUUUCACCAAAAUCGUCUUUGAAAUGUUGACAAUAUUUACAAAAAUGUCAUCACUACCUAAGCGACGACUUUUGACAACUAACUUUAAAUAGACAUUGUAAAAAGUACUUUUCUUAGUAGUGUCAUAACCAUCCUUUAUUGUAGUGUUGUACGUACUAUACUAAGUCUGUUGGUGAAGAAUUAACAAGUAAAUUAAAGAUUUAUCAUGUUUUUAGGGAAGGGAGUAGCCUGGCUAAGUUUCUAGAUGUGAUAGCUUAUUUCCUAGCCUUUAGGCAUUUUGCAAGAUUUAUAGCUUAAUUAAUUAGUAUACCUUCUUUUCUCUUCUUUUUUAUAUUUUUUAUUAUGUACAAAAAUAUCCUUAACAUAAAAAAAUAAUAUAAACGUACCAUAUUUUUACCCCUUCAAAUUCUUCAUGCUUUAAAUUCUAUUAUCCCAUCUUUAUCAUGACUCUUUAAACUCAAUUACUACCCCAUCCUUAUCAAUCUUUAAUCCUUGUGUUUACAUCUCAUCUUUGUUAUUCUUUAAACCCAAACAUUUUAACUCCUAUUAGAACCUUUAAGAGGGGGUAGGCGAUAACAAGACAAAGGAAACUAUUUUGGAAAAAGAAUAAAUUAUAUAGGACAUUUAAGAAAAUUCAUUAAGAAAAACAAUAAGAAUAUAGGUAUAUUUUAUUAAUUAAAGGAGGUGUGUUAUCAUUUUCCUAAGAGAUUUGGUUAUUGGCCUAGUUUUACAUAGAAUCAGGCGUGUGUAGUUUAGGCUUCAACCCUACUUUGUGAUACCCACUAAUAAGAAGAGGAAUUUUUUUUAUCAGCAAAUUAAGUAUGUAAGCAAGACAAGAAAUGUCAAAAGUAUCAAGCUACAACCUUGUAUAGGUCAGAUAUACAAAUCCUAAAGAUCACACUUACAAAAACUAGCAAACUUAAUCUUUCCCAAUUGCCAACUGCAUAUAGGAAGAUACACUAUUAAAUAUGUGACCAUUACCCUCCAAACAUGAGCUUUUUGGUUUCCCCACCUGAUAGUAUUCCUGACCCAAAGACAACCUUUACACCCAAGCCCAAGAGAACCAUUAACCGUCUUACCGGAUGGGCUAAUUUCAUCCAUUGAUUCAUUAGAAGCUUCUAUUAGAUUCUUUGAGAAAGUCUUAGAUUUAGCAAUGAGUUGUCACCCAAUGAUUGGGUUUUUUAUUUCAAUUAUGCUAUUUCCUUUCUAUUAAAAUGAGUUAUGUAAGAUGAGUAUAUAUGAUCUGUUGAGAAUGAAUAAAAAGGCAUUGAAAUAUUUUCUCAAAAAUUCCUUAUUCACUUUGAUUUUCUAGAGGUAUCCCUUGGCCUCGAAUUCAGGAAGAAUAUCAUUAACUCUUUCCAUUUUAUCACCUAUAAACUUAGGUGCUUUCAUUGAUCCUCCCCAUGGCUAACAACCCUCAUGCUCAGACUUAGGAAAAAGAGGUUGCUUGCCUCGAGGAUGUGCUUGCCAAUCUCACAAACACAAUUACCUCUGACCAAUAACCAGAGCUCCCUCCAUUCCAAACUCAAUGAUGUCCUUAAUCGUUUGAAAACCAUGGAACCUUUCCAUCAUAACUCCGACAUGAAAACUAUCCCAAAAUCCUCUCCAUCUAAGAGUUAUCGCUCUCACAUGAAGCUUGAGGUUCCCUACUUCAACAACAUCAACAUUAUCGAUUGGAUCAUUAAGAUCUCCCAAUUUUUUAACUACCAUAGCACGUAGGAGGAGGAACGUCUCCAUAUCGCAUCUAUUUACAUGGAUGGCCCUGCCUUGGGGUGGACCAAUUAGGGACGUUGACGGUUAAGAAGUGGCAUCAAUUAGGGGUGUACACGGGUCAAUUUGGUUAUAAUAUAGGAGAAAAUAAAAUCUGAACCAAUUCAUUUUAAUUGGUCUGAUUUGGUUCGAAUUUUAGAAUUGUUUUUGCCUAACCCGAACCAAACCAACCUAAUAAUGAAUGGAUUGGUUCACGUCAGGUCAUCAGAUAUCCAAUAAAAAAAAUAAAAAUAACAAAUAUUUUUUAAAAAUAGAAAGAUAACAUGAUUUUGUCCAAAUUUUGAAAAACAAUGUUGCAAUAAAAUAAUCUAGGCAGUAUAUUCAAUUGUAAUUUUACUUAUACUGACUAAAUAAUAGCAUAAAUUAUAAAAAAAAUAACAAGAUUGAUUGAUUAAAUCAUGAAACUCCAUCUAUAUAUAAUAAUAAAAAGGACUUAAACCAAAUUAUCUAACACAAACCUUGGUUUUAAAGACAAACUAAAGUGAAACAGAAUGAAAAGAUUCAAAAGACACACAAUAUUACGUAAGUUAAGCAUUAAAAAAUAAUAUAAAUAAUAUAUAUAUAUAUAUAUAUAUAUAUAUAUAUAUAUAUAUAUAUAUAUAUAUAUAUAUAUAGUUUGUUUGGUUCGGAUUUGGAAAGUUUGAAUCUAAUAAUUAAACCAAUCAAUAUUAGAUAUUUCAAUUGGUUUGGUUCAUGUCCAACCCAAACAAUAAAAAAAUUUGAAUGAUUCGGUUUUGAUUGUCGGAUUCAUUGGAUUGAUCUGAACUAAUAAACACUCCUAGUGUCAAUACCUGCCUGGACACUCCUUUGUUUUCCUUACAGAUUAUCGCAGCUUGAAGGAAUUGAUGUCUCACGCUAUGUAGACCCCCAAACAGUAUGUCUUCCUGGCCAAGCUCCUUGUCAUUGAUUACAUCAUCCAAUACAAACUAGGAAAGAUCAACAAUGUAGUUGAUGCCUUGUCACGUUCUCACAUUCCUCAUUUCUUCAUCAGGAGUUGUGUAGUUCUCCUAAUUUUCAGAGUUUGACCCAGUCUGUGGAGCAACAUCCCCAAGAUUAUGCUCACUAUAAAUUUUCCAAUGACAUUCUCUUCUUUAAGGGUCGUAUUUGGAUUAAUAAGGGUAAUUCUUUUUAUUCCUCUUCUCUUGGAUGAGUUUCACAAGUCACCAAUUGGGGGCCAUAUGAGUGUUGUGAAAACCUAUUGUCGCAUCAAGGGGAGCUUUUUCUGUCAGGCAUGAAACACGAUAUCUCUUAGUAUAUGCAGAAGUGUACUGACUAUCAACACGCCAAAUACCUCACUUAGAAGCCCCCUAGGUUAUUGCAGCCCAUUUCCCCACCUACUAAACUUUGGGAGGAUUUGUCCCUAGAUUUUGUAACUAGGUUACCUCCUUACCAUGGAUCUUUAGUUAUUCUGGUUGUGGUCGAUCACUUCUCCAAAGGCUCUCAUUUGGGCAUGAUUUCCACCUGCUUUACAGCUUCUAAGGUAGCACAACUCUUCAUUGACCUUGUUUGCAAUCUACAUGGGUUCCCUCAUAGUCUCAUUUCAGAUCAAGACCCAAUAUUUAUGAGUCACUUUUGGCAAGAGCUAUAUAAGCUAAGUGGUACUAAGCUUUGGAUGAGUACCUCUUACCAUCCCCAAAGUAAUAGCCAAAUUGAGGUGCUGAACAGAGUUUUGGAACAGUAUUUUGAUACAAACCCUUUUUGAGUAAGGGAGAACUCUAGGAAAUUAGGAAGAGGAAGAAAAAUAGAAAACUCAAUUCAUUUUAACUAACUUUCCAACAGUACUAUGGUUGCGUAUAUAUAGCAGCAUACUACACACUUAGCUGCUAUACACACACACUAACAACAAGCCAGUGCAUAUUCCUAACAAUCCUAACAAAAUUACUCUACAUAUUUUUCCUAUUAUUAUUUCCUAUAUUUAAUUACAGACUAAUAACAACUCUUUUGGGCCUGCCAAUAAAAAUUGGGUCGUAACAUUACUCCACCCUUUCACAACAACCUUGUUCUCAAGGUUUUGUGAUCUUGGCAAUCCUUGAAAGAAAGCAUAGCUGCAACAAUAAGAUUAAUAUGGUCCAUGUAUAUGGAAAGUGGCUACCAGACUUGUUGGAUUUGGAUCCUAAUCUUUCAUCAAAGUAGGCAUAUAUUGGUCUGUGGUUUAUUGAAAGCAUCCAAGUACAAAAUUCUAAUCAAUUUUCUCCUCAUUGUAAAUGGUAACCUCAAUGAUUUUACCAGCAAUCUAAGAAAAAUUCAAAGGCAUAUAAUGGCUUAAAUUCACUGCAAUCAACAUGAUCUCCCAAGUUCAACACUUCCCUUGAAUAAUAACAAUCCAUGCAGGCAACUAACAGAAUCUCUGUGGCAUCAACUAUUUCAACUAAUUUGUCACUUGCAGCAAUCAGUGGAGAUGGAUUUGAACAAUGAGAGCUAACACUUUGAGCUACACUUGGUGUUCUAAUUUCUUCAUGAAACAAAUCAAGGCCUUUAUUAUCUACUGUAUGCAAGCUAAUGUCUUUUUUACAGUCUUUUGUCAUUCUUAGAAGGUAGAAUGAUUGAAGCAUUACUUCUUAACAACAAAUUCUCAAAGUAACCAAAGAUAUUGAAAGAUGGUAUAAGUGUGGCAUACCUAGAAUCUGAAGCAUAUGGUGCAUAAGUGAUCAAGAACUCAAUGUUGAUUCUUUGAAAGUCUUAACUACUUCACUAUUUCGAAAGGUAUUUUCCAUGUGUUUUUUAGUUUCUAUAAAUAAGCUCCUGAGGUGUAUCUCUUGAAAAUCUACCUUUGACUUCAAAACCAUCAUUUUCACAUCUCCUUCGAAGAUUGUUCAUAGUGAGAUUUGCCAAUUGAGAUACAAGUUGAAAAGGAUUUUCUCAUGAUCUCAUCAACUCCCGAGCUCUUAUAAUUGUAUCUAAAGUGUUAGUUUCAAAGCUAGAUUUAGUAAAUCAAGCAACUCAACAUAAAAAUGAUCCCAAACAGCUUGUAAGCUAAAGAAAUGAUGAUUUGUUUACCAAGAAAACUCAUCUGAUUGUGGAUCAUUUCUGCAUCCCUAACAAAACCACAAGAUUGUGCAACAAUGAACUGCAAUUAAUCUAAAUCUAUGCUUAUCCUUGGGUGUGGCUACCAGACAAGGCACAAUGUAUAAAGUUGGAACAUCUGUAUUCAGAGAGAUUGCAUGAUUGGAUAAUGAAGGUAUACACAUACAAAUAUUUUGAAUAUAUCUUUUCUCAACUACAUCUGAUGGAGAGAAGAGUUCAACGUCAGUCAAUCCCAGAGAUUUGCAAUUAUGCAUAAAUGAAUCAACAUUAGAAUGAAUAAGUCUUGUAGCUCGUGAUGUUCUUCUUAGAAGAAAAAGGCUGGAUUGGUAUAGUUUUAUAUGCGCUAACUCCACGUGCUUUACCGACAACAGUUUUCACACCACUUUUGAUACUUGAAACACCUUGAGACCUUUGGGAAUCAUGACAUAGUUUCAUCAUAAAACUCUUCCUCUACAAGCAUAGAAGUUUUGCCUUUGGUUCCAGAAGGUUCUUAAAGAUAUUGCUUCGAUCAUUAUGGUGAGUGGAGAAACAAGAGGCAUCAUUGUUGUAGCCUUAUUCUAAAUAGUAAUAAAACCCUUGAGGCUAUGGUGGUGAUGGGAAUGGAAAUCUUCAUAAAGAAGGGUGUACUUACCAAAAUCCAGAACUGGCAUCGUGUCGUACUGGUUGGGGAACUUCUCGCCCUCGCGAAUGGGUGCAACCUUCUACUGCUUCUGGGGAGCCUAUCCCAGUUAUUGUGAUCCUCCCCUCUUCUGCUUCUUGGGGUGUGAGGAAAGGUAGUGGCGGUGAAGAUGUUAGGGCGUAUCCUCGAGUGUGAUGUAGCCAUAGCACUAGGUCGCCAUGGUAAGGGACAACGUUUUGAAAUACAAGUCCUCUCUCACCUCGAUUGCGAGUGUGACUACUCUUCAACGCCAGGUGAAACUGGCGAGCCUUGAAUACUCAUGCAAGUUAGCCAUUCAGGCUUGUAAGAGUAAUGACUUCCUUUUUUUUAAGGCAGCGUCGAGUAAUCCGCCCUUCUAUUUUAAGUAUAGGUAUUUGUUUGAGGUCUUGGGUCUUACUCUCCCCUUGAUCGCCUUCCAAUGUACUCUACUUGAGUACUUGAAUAUGGCUUCUUCUCAGCUGCACCAAACAAUUGGGCAAUGGUGAGAGCUUUUGAAAUUUUGUUCCAUUUCUUUAACAUCCGGCCUAGUGUGUUGAUCAUCUUGUUUUUCUUUCAAAUGAAGCUAACUGGUAGGAUAGGUUGGGUCUCCUUUAACAACGUGUCUAAGAAGUGAUUUGAAUUUGACUCAAACAUCUUUCACCAUUUUAAGGAUCGACUCUUUAAGGUCCUGUCUACUGAUGUCGUGACUGAUGGUUUGUCAUUGAUGUUCAAUAGGGACGGGGAGCCCCACUUCCUGUUUUACUGGUAGUUUGACCCUGCCAGGUUCAAGUUCUUUGACGAGGAUUUGUUGACACUUGUGGAGAGGGUUGACAAGGCUAUUUUGGAGUAGCUCCUAGCCUCACUGGACACACGGGCCAUUUUGUUUUGUAAGUAUUAUGGGUAACUUUUCCUGGAGGCCACUCGUGAAGUAGGUCAAACCUGCGAGUGGGAUUCCACCAUCAUUUAUUGCUGCUGCUACUAUUGGAGAAGAGGGUCAACCUAUUGGUGAGGUUGGCCUUAUUGCUAUUGUUGCCAAGGUCACCCUCAGUGCUCCUUCCUCCGUUUUGGCAAAGAUGAAACGGGAUGAUGGUGUUGGGUCGUCUGGUCGUAAGAAGGAAACGGCUCCUAUGAGUCCUCAUGCCUUAAGGUAGGCUGCAGAGUUGACACCCAAUACGAGUCGCCCUUCGAUCAUGUAGGAUGUAUCUCUGGCUUCACUAAUCGUCGAGGCUCCUAUUGUUGAUGCUUCCACUCCUGCUCCUUCACCUCCUUUUGAAGGUUUUGUUUAGGAGGCCACUCAUACUAUUGUUGAAGUUAGUGUGCUAACUACUUUGGCUGGUUCUAUUUUGGCGUCGUCGUCCACCGUUGUUGCACCUUUGUUGACUAUCAGUGUGGCAACCACUAGUGCUCUUACAGUGUUGCCUCCUUCCUCUUAAGCUCAAAUGGUCUAUACCUCUGCUGUUUUAGCAAUGGCAUUGCCUUCUUCGUCUUUUCACCCUUGGGUUGUAGAAGCAAAGCUUUAUGGCGAAUCAAAGGUGAUUCAAAGGAUCAACUGUGUGUGUGUUUUGAUGAUAACAAUGAUGAUAACAAAAGAUGAUGACAAAGGUGAUGACAAAAAGCUCAAAGAUCAAUCAAAGAACAACUCAAGUGAUCAAGAUAGAAUCAAGAACAAUUCAAGAGUUCAAGAUAGAAUCAAGAAGAAUUCAAGACUCAAGAGGAAAGUUAAGAGUCAAGAAUCAUGAUUCAAGGUUCAAGAUUUCAAGAAUCAAGAUCAAGAUUCAAGAAUCAAGAGAAGGCUUAAUCAAGAUAAGUAUGAAAAGUUUUUCUCAAAAAUUGAGUUGCACAUGAUUUUUCAUAAAACAUGUUUACCAAAGAGUUUUUACUCUCUGGUAAUCGAUUAACAGAUUAUUGUAAUCGAUUACCAGUAGCAAAAUUGUUUUGAAAAAGUUUUCAAAUUGAAUUUACAACGUUCCAAUUAAUUUCAAAAAGUUGUAAUCGAUUACAAUGUUUUGGUAAUCGAUUACCAGUGCCUUUGAACGUUGAAAUUCAAAUUCAAAAGUGAAGAGUCACAUCUUUUCACGUAAAAGCUUUGUGUAAUUGAUUGCACUGAUUUGGUAAUCGAUUACCAGUGAUUGUUUCUGAAUAAAAUCAAAAGUUGUAACUCUUCAAACAAUUUUUGACUUUUUCAAAUGGAUUUUUAAGUUUUUCUAAAAGUCAUAACUCUUCUAAUGGUUGUCUUGACCAGACAUGAAGAGUCUAUAAAAGCAAGGCUUUGUUUUGCAUUUAAAAAUCUUGAAUACUUUUCCAAUCAAUCUUAUACAAUCCUUUACAAGCCUUGAAUCUCUUUGAACUUCUUCUUCUUCUUUGUACCAAAAGCUUUCCAAAGUUUUCUGGUUUUCUAAACCUUGAAAACUUGUGCUAUUCAUUCUUUUCUUCUCUUCUCCCUUUGCCAAAAAGAAUUCGCCAAGGACUAACCGCCUGAAUUCUUUUUGUGUCUCUCUUCUCCCUUUUCCAAAAGAAAAAAGGACUAACCGCCUAAAUUCUUUUGUGUCUCCCUUCUCCCUUGUCAAAGAAUUCAAAACGACACUGUCUGAGAAUUCUUUUGAUUCUUCCCUUUCCCUAAUACAAAAGUGUUCAAAGGACUAACCGCCUGAGAAUUCUUUUGUAUCCCCAUUCACAAAGUAUCAAAGGUUUAAUAGUCUGAGAUCUUUGUCUUAACACAUUGGAGGGUACAUCCUUUGUGGUACAAGUAGAGGGUACAUCUACUUGGGUUUGACUGAGAACAAGAGAGGGUAAAUCUCUUGUGGAUCAGUUCUAGUGGAGGGUACAUCCACUAUGUUCAAAGAGAACAAGGGAGGGUACAUCCCUUGUGGAUCUUUGCUUGUAAAAGGAUUUUUACAAGGUUGAAAAAAAUCUCAAGGACCGCUGGUCGCUUGGGGACUGGAUGUAGGCACGGGUUGUUGCCGAACCAUUAUAAAAACUCUUGUUUGUUUGUCUCCUUCUUCCCUACUCUUUUAAUUUCCGCUGUGCAUUUAAUUUCCGCUUUUACUUUCUGUUAAGUUUCUCUUCUACUCCUCAUUCUCUUAACAAUUUAGUAAAAGCCUUAGAAGAGUAAUUUUUAAUUAGUAAAGGUUUAGGAAUAAUUAAUUCCACCCCCCUUCUUAAUUAUUUUGAGGCCACUUGAUCCAACAUGGGUCUCCUUGGAUCAUUUGUAUACCUCUAGUGAUAUUGAUUCACUAUGGGGUGAAACUUACAAGCCGAAGCAGAAGACCCAGGUUAACUUUGGGUCAACCUUUGAUAAGAACUUUAUUAGGUGAAUUGGGGUGCAGCACACUACAAAUUCUGUCAAAGUCUUUCUCAAGAGAAGUUUGGUGAUUCAGGAAGAGAAUGGACAGUGGCACCAAGAGGCUUUGCACAAGGUGGUGUCCAUGGAGGCAGAGGUCGCCAAAUGGAGGGCUACUACUCACACUGUUUAGAGAAUGGAGUGCUCUAAGGUGGCAAAUGCAACCAUCAUCUUUGCUUUGGCCAUAGGCCGAACCAACUGUCUUCCAAAGUUGGUGGUGUGUUGGCCAAGUUGCUGCGUACCAGGUUGGAUGGUGAUGAAUUGUUCAAAUGCUACAAAGACUUGCAGAUGGAGAGAAAGGACUUGGUUGGCAAGGUGGAGAGCACUGCGGAGUCCAAGUUGUGAGCUACCAAGGAGAGGAAGGCCAGCAAGGAGCUUGAGGAGGAGCUUCUUGUUUACAAGAAGAAGGUCAUGGAGCAACAUGGCAAAGGAUUCAACAAGACCAUCAGGUAAGCUGGGUUCUUUGCCAAGGACCUUGACUUGAGUCUCUUUUACCCUUUCAAGGAUGUGAAGGAUGGUGCUCUUCUUGGCAAGGAGUACAUUACUAUAGAGGAGGAGGCUGUUGAUGAGGAGCAGGGUGCUGCGGAGCAAGGCGAUGAUGCCUAUGUCUAGGCUGCUUUCUAUUUAUCUUCUUUCUUCAUUGUUUGAAUUUUGACUGUACAGGCCUUGUAACUAUGGAAAUUUUCUUCAAUGCAUAGGUUUUCCUUUGAUGACAAAUUUGUUAUUGUGUAUGUAUGUCUUGUGUGUAUGGCUUUGUUUAUGCAAUGCUCUAUGGUAGUAGGAAUAGGUCGUCAUGAUGAUAAGUGUGGAAUCUUUGACGGUGUAGGAAACAAGACCUUGUCGAUGUAGAGGUAGGACUGUGGUGGUCUUAUAAAAGAAGAUGACAUAAAUUAUCCCAGGUUUGAUUUCAACCUAGUUAUAAGUCUUGUCACCCAUCCGGUGGGGCUCUCUUUUGGUUUGUGGAGUUUUUCCCCUGAUGCUUACGAGGAGUGUGUUUGACUUGCCCUUGGUUGAAGGUCUUGCCAACCAAUAUGGGGGGUAAGUCGCUUGACCUAUGAAGUUUUUCCUCUGAUGGUUAUGAGGAGUAAGUAUGACUUUCACCUGAUUGUAGGUCUUGCCACCUAGUCUAGUGGCAACUCGUUUGUUGAACAUAGACCUUUGGAAGUUGUCGUCCUAGUUGCUACGAGUGAGCAGACCAAGGGGGAGCCUUGGUUUUUAUAGGAGUGCAUACCAAGGGUGGACCUUGGGUUUUGGAGGAGUUCAUACCAAGGGUCAACCUUGGGUUUUUGAUAUACUUGUAUUCUUGCACAAAUAAAAAUUAAGUACUAAUGAGGAUUACCAAGGGUGAACCUUAGGUUUGUCUAGUCUUGGACUGGGGACAUGUUUUCCCUAGGCUUUGUCAAGCUCGUGGAGCUGCAUCGAGGAUUACCAAGGAUGAGCCUUGGAUUUUGUGAAACUUUGAGGAUUACCAAGCAUGAAUCUUAUGUUUGUCGAGUCUUAUAUGUAGCGCAAGUGUUGUGCUCUUGCAUACAUGGCAUUCACGUGGAUGCAUGAACUGAAGACGUAAUAGCAUGCUCUUAUGUACGUGUCACUUAUGAAGUGGCACGUACUGGAGACAUAGUGGUGUUAAUCAGUAGAACUCACCAAAGGUAGACCUUGGGUUUUGUGAGCCCUUUGGGUGUCGUGCUCUUGCAUACAUGCCACUCAUCGUGUGUGGCACACACUAGAGACAUGGUGGUAUGCUCUUGCAUACAUGUCACUCACCACGGGUGAUGUAUAUUGGAGUUAGGGUGGUGUGCUCUUGCAUAUAUGUCACCUGUCGUGGGUGGCAUAUACUAGAGUCAUGGUGGUGUGCUCUUGCAUAUAUGUCACUCGCCGUGGGUGGCAUAUAUUGGAGUCAUAGUGGUGUGCUCUUGCAUAUGUCACUCAUCAUGGGUGACAUAUACUAGACUCAUAGCAGUGUGCUCAUGCAUACAUGUCACUUGUCGUGGGUAACACGUACCAGAGUCAUAGUAGUGUGCUCAUGUGUACAUGUCACUCACCUACAUGUAAUGGAGACUUAGUAGUAUGCUUGUGCAUACACGUCACUCGCGGUGGGUGACACAUACUAGAGUCGUAGUAGUAUGCUUGUGCAUACAUGUCACUCAACAUAGGCGACACAUACUAAAGAUAUGAUAGUGUGCUCAUGUGUAAAUGUCACUUGCUGUGGGUGGCACAUAAUGGAGACUCAGUAGUGUGCUCAUGCAUACAUGUCACUCGCCGAGGGUGACACGUACUAGAGUCUUAGUGCUAGAAUGAGGGCUUACCAUUGGUGGUGCUUGGGUUUUAAGAGCCUUACAGCCACAACUAUGGAUGCACUUGUCUUGAUAAGACAAAUGUGAGACUUGAGUCUCUGGAAUGUUUUCCAAUAUAGGUUAUCAGUUGAUGCAAUCCUACCUCGUAAGGGCAUUGGAUAGAAGACUCCAAGUAAAUUGGGCUAGAGAUCCAAGGGAAGGCCCUAGGGUUCUCAUGAGCCUUAGGGUAGAUUUCGAGCCCAUGGGCUAAGUAUGAGCCCGCUUAUCUGUAAAUAUUAGAAUAGGUUUUUCCUUCUUUUGGGCCUUGCAUUUUGGCCAUUCUUGUAGUAUAGGGUUUUAGCCUUGUAUUUGAGGGCAUUUUGGGUAGUCUUUGUAGUAGGGACUUUUUUUUGUAUUUUCAUGUAUUUUGUCAAGGAGGUGAGCUUAGUUUUUAGAUGGGUGUGUGUAGCUAAGCUCUAGCUUCUCAAGGAAGUUUUCUCAAAGAAGCUUCUCAAGGAAGUUUUCUUAAGAAAGCUUCUCAAGGAAGCUACCUAGUCUAUAAAUAGAAGCAUGUGUAACACUUGUUGUAACUUUGAUGAAUGAGAGUGUUGUGAGACACAACUCAAAGUUCAACUUCUCUCCCUUUUUCUUCCUUCAAUUUCGUGUUCCCCCUUCUCUCUUUCUCUCCCUCUUUCUUUUCCUCCAUUGAAGCAUCCUCUCCAAGCUUCUUAUCCAAGGCUCAUCUUGGUGGUGAAGCUCCUUCUUCCAUGGCUUAUUCCCUAGUGGAUGGCGCCUCCUCUCACCUCUUCUCCUUUGUCUUCCACUGCAUCUCCAUGGUGGAAAAUCACCAUUAAAGGACCUCAUUGAAGCUCAAAGAUCCAGCCUCCAUAGAAGCCCCACAAGCAAGCUUCCAACUGGCUUGGUCGAUGAGGACCUUGGAAACCAUGAAGUUUGCAAUGAUGAUGGAGACAACCACGGGGUCAUCUUGGUUGACGAGGUUGAUACCCUUGAAGUCCCUACCCAUGAAAUUGAUAGGAGGGACACUUUGUUGUGAUGAUGCAUUAACAAAAUUGAUGUUAAUGUCUCAAAUGGCAUGAACAUGAUGUUUUUGAGACUGCCUAGACUAUCCUCCAUAAGAAAAUCUGCCUGCAAUGGUGUUGAUUACACCUCUAAUCUGUUGGGCGGGUUCCUAUUCUUGUGGAGGUUGUCGCUCACACCAUUGUUGUUGGUGUCUCUAUCUUCCUCGAUCUUCUACUUUGUCUCUUAUUUUGUCUGCUUCAUGAUUCCUACAUUGCUCCUCUUGGUGUCCUCCAGGUCUUGCUUCUACUUGGUGGUUGUCUAGCCUUUUGACAAACUGGGCUAGGUACCUAGCUUGUAUAAGCUCCCUAUCUUGUCCUUUAGGACCUAGCAGUCUUCUGUGUUAUGACCAAUAGCACAAUGAUACCUAUAGUAUUUCAUUACAUCUAGCCCUGACCUAGGAGGUUUCCUCGGGGGUGGUCUACUGAGUUCCUCCAAGUCGAAGCUUCCUCUAGAAUUGUAGUGUGAUUGGUUGUUAAGGAUUUGUAACGCUCAUACCUAGGCCUUUUUGGGAGAGGUUGGCACUUGUCUGGGUUGUGCCUCUUGUCCAACUUGUGUAAGUUAGUCUUGGUGGCUUCCUUCUCACUUAUUGCAUUUUUGUCCAGGUUAUCUGACUUCAUUCCUGAAUCUGGACAUUUCUUUCAUCUGGAUGUAGCCCUUGGCUCAUUCACACAACUCAUCCAUUCUACCAGGGGGUUUUUUGCACAAAUUUUCUGUGCCGUAGGGUGAGGAGCAUGGAAUGCAAUGUUACCUUGGCAAGUAUAUUCUUAAAUAUUGCUCGAGUGAGCGAUAGAGAGAUGUGCAUAGGAAAUGAGACUUAAGAAUCAAGGAAGUCAUCACUUAGUCCAUUAUGUAAGCCACCAAGGGAAUCAAGGAGCUAGAAAGAAAUAUAUGAAGAAGCAUGAUAAAGGCAAAGGGCCAUUAAAGAUCAAUGAGGCAUCAAUGCAAAUCUAGAAGAAAGCAUCAAAGAGAAAUAAUUGUCACUUUUGUGGGAAAGCUGAACAUUUUUAGAUGGAUUGCCCAAAACACAAGGCUUGGUUUGAAAAGAAAUGGAUUUCUUACAAUCCAAAUCAUAAGCCCAAAUGAGAAGUUUGUCUUUAUGAAAAAUAGAGUGAUAGCUCUAGUGGAAGCAGUUGAGACUUAUUGUUUAAUCCUUGACACUAAACAUCAUUUAGAAUUAUUGGAAACUCUUUAUGCACCUAGAUUAUCUAUGAAUUUGGUUUUAUUAUCUAAACUCAAUGUUAUUGGAUACUCUUUUAAUUUUGGAAAUGAAUGUUUCAAUUUGUUUAAGCAUAAUGAUCUCAUUGGUACUAGUAUUCUUUGUCAUGGUUUAUAUAAGUUGAAUUUAAAUGGUUUUAUAUGUUGAAACGAUUUUGACUCUACAUCAUAUUAUACACUAAACACAAUUUAGUGAAUGAAUGUUGCGCUUUUUAUGGCAUAAACCUUUAGGUCACAUUUCUAGAUAAAGAAUGGAAAAAUCAAUAAUUUGAAAAUCUAGAUUUUACAAAUAUGAAUAUUUAUGUGGAUUGUAUUAAAGGAAAACAAAAAAAAAACACACAAAGAAAGGUGCUACAAGAAACACUCUACUUCUUGAAAUUAUGCACACUGACAUUUGUGAACCCUAUUAUGUUAGUUCUUUCCGAAAAGAAAGGUAUUUUAUCACACUAUUGUGUUGGACAAGUGACCUCAAUAACUUAAGAUGGGGGUGAAUUAAGUUUCAAAAUUUUCCACUAACAAACUUUUAACCCCCUUCUAAAUGAUAGGCUCAGAAUGCACAAAAAGAAGGAGCAAUCAAUUUAAUAAUGUUCUUUAAACAUGCAAGCUAAAUUGAUUGCAAUAACAUAAAUGAGAUAAGGGAAGAGAGAAAUACAAACUUGAUUUAUAUUGGUUCGGCCACUUCCUAUGCCUAUGUCCAGUCCUCAAGCAACCUACUUGAGAUUUUCCACUAUCUCUGUAAAUCCUUUAUAGACUUUGAACACACCUUGGAUCCCUCACCCUUAUGUUCAAAGAUUCUCCAAGAGACAACCUGUCUCUUGAUGACAACUGACUUUCUGAGAUGAAUAGAAAGAUUUCUCUCCUUUAGAGUGGAUGAUACAAAUUGAAGUUCCUAGAGGAAUUUCUCUCUUUUAGAGAAGAUAAUACAAUUUGAAAUUCCAGGAUGAAUUCUCAAUAUAUUUGCAAGUGUUUGCCCAAGAGUUGUUGAGAGUGCAUUUGGCAAUUAAGUUAUCUUAGAAUAUCUCUCUCUGACUUUUUGAAGUCAGGCACACAUAUAUUUAGGCCCUUCGUGCCUUUUCAAAAUGGUUUGAAGAGAUGUAUCUUUUCAAAAAAAAAAUUUCUGAAAUUCUUCACUGAUAAUCAAUUACAGGUUUUUGGUAAUCGAUUACAUAGUUAUAUUUUGAAGGGUCAUGACUUUUCAAAGUGUUAUAUGAAGUUUCCUUGCUGGUAAUCAAUUACAAACAUCUGGUAAUCGAUUACAUGAUUCAAAAUUCAAAUUCAAAACCCUUUUAAAAACAUGAUUUUCAAAAUUGUCUUCUGGUAAUCUAUUACCAGAGCCUUGGAUGUUGGAAACAAUGCGUUUUAGGAAAAAGCUUGAUCUACCAAUUGUUGGACCUUGUGGCCUCAAUAAUCUUAAGAGGGAUAGGCUUAGAAUACAGAAGAAGCAACAACAAUCAAUUUAACAAUGUUCUUUAAACAUGCAAGACACAAUUGAUUGCAACAAAAUAAAUAAGAUAAGGGAAGAGAGAAUGCAAACACAGUUUUAUACUGGUUCGGCCACAACCCGUGCCUACGUCUAGUACUCAAGCAACCCACUUGAGAUUUCCACUAUCUUUGUAAAAUCCUUUACAAAGUCUGAACCACACAGGGACAACCCAUCCCUUGUGUUCAGAUGCUUUACAACAAGAGACUCAUAGUCUCUUAACCAAUCUCUUUGAAUAAGAAGAACAGAAGAAGAAUUCUCUCUUCAAGAGAAGAAUAUUACAAUGAAGAUCAUGUAAGAAUCCUUAUAGAUUUUGCAAGUGUUUGGUCAAGGAUUUCUUUUGAGAGAGCAUUUGACAAUGAAGUUCUUUUGGAAUCUCUCUCAUUGUCUUUUGAGAGGAUAAGACAUUUUGGACCAAAAAUACUCUCUGCAUAAAAUUCGUGCCCAAGUCACCUAUUUAUAGGCCUUUGAUGGCCAUUCACAAAUCUAAUGAAAAGAUGUGACUGUUGGCAGAUUUUCUGAAAACUUUCCACUGGUAAUCGAUUACAAUGUUUGUGUAAUCGAUUACACAGUUAUAAUUUGAAGGGUUAUGACUUUUGAAUUUGAAUUUCCAAAGUUUCGUUGCUGGUAAUCGAUUACAGACAUAUGGUAAUCGAUUACAUGUUGAAAAUUCAAAUUCAAAACAUUUUUCAACAGCUAUUUCUCAACCCUGUCUUCUGGUAAUCGAUUACUAGAGCCUUGAAUGUCUUGAAAACACUUUGUUUUAAGGCAAGGCUUGGUCUUUAAUGAAUCUUGAAACAUGGCUUUGCUUGUUGAAGCACUCUUGAAUUAUUCUUGAAGCAAAUGCUUUAUCAUUUGAAGCAGCCUUGUUUGAUUCUUCUUUGACAUCAUCAAAAUCAUGUAUACAUACAUUCACAUUCUCCCCCUUUUUGAUGAUGACAAACAUGUGAUUUCUUCUCGACACCAUCAAAGCUUGCAUGAUUUACAUCUCCCUCUUUCUCAAGCAAAUUCUUCUUGAUAUCAUCAAAAUCUUCAUGAUUUACAUUCUCCCCCUUUUUGAUGAUGACAACCACCUGUAGGUUAGGAGCAACAACAAAGAAAAUAUCUAUUUGCAUAUAGUUUACUCCCCCUUGGUUUUACAAUGAUUGCUUAUAUGAGACAAUUGAAGAUUUCAUAUUUUUCAUAUAUAAAAAGUAGUCUCAUAAAACAAUAGAUAAUUUUUCUUACUAUUUUAUCUUUUAUCUUUCUCUCCCCCUUUGUCAACAUAAAAAACAAAUCAUGAAUAGAAAGGAGAAAGAUGUUACCACUUGUUGCAAUGUAUGAGAAUAAGUGAUACCAAAAGGCAUUAAAACAAUCAUUCAAUAUUAAUCAAGCAAAAACAAGUACAAUAACACAUCAAUCAAACACAAUCAAUCAUCAAAUAUUUCAAAUCAAAUUAAUUAAAUUAACAAUCAACUAACUAUACACAAUAAUUUCUAUUAUUAAAAAAAAAUUCAAAAUUCAAAAUUCAAAUUUCAAAUUUCAAAUUUCAAAUUUUUAAAAUUUUAAAUUUAAAUUUUAAAUUUUAAAUUCCAACUUCCAAUUUCAACUUUUAGUAACUUCCCCUUCCAACUUCCAACCUCCAUUUUCAACUUUCAACUUUCAAUAACUUUCAUUUCCAACUUCCAACUUCCAGUAACUUCCACUUCCAACUUCCAACUUCCAUUUUUAACUUUCAACUUCCAAUAACUACUUCCAACUUCCAACUUUCAAAUUUCAAAUUUUUAUUUUCAAUUUUCAAAUUUAACUUUUCAAAUUUCAAAUUUCAAUUUCAAAAUUUCCUUUUCUAAAUUAAAUAGUUUUCUUAAAACAUGAAACUAAUUUGAAAAGUUUAAUAGAUUCUUUAAAAACAAUCAAAAACUCAAUCAGGAACAAACAUCAAAGACAAUCAAACACACAAUAAAAAAAUACAAUCAAUCAAUCAUCAAACACAGUCAAUCAAAUUCAAUCACAAUCAUCAAGGACAAUCUAAACUCAAGUAGAAAACAAGCAUCAAAAGUAAUCAAUCAAAGACAAGUGACCUGUUGGUAUCAUUUGAUAUUACUUGUUGGGGUUGUUGAUCAAGUGGCCUUUGUUUGUUGUCUCCAUAAAUCGCAUAUUCACUUUUCUUGGGGAGAAAUGUGGCAUUCGUUUGUUGUCUCCAUAAAUCACAUAUUCAUUUAUCUUGGGGAGAAAUAUGAAUAAACUUUGAUGCAUGCCAUGUGUUUGGAGAAAUUGCUAUCAAUGUAUCGACUUUGUUCUUCUCCAUUUUCAUAGUCUUUCAUCAUGAUACCCAAACUUAUGAUUUUCUUCUCUGAAUCACUUGAAUAAUUUAUGGCAUUAUCUUCCCAAGUGAUAUAUCCUUUCUUUUCUUUCUUCUCUUUGAAAUUCAUCUUGUCGGAUUUUUCCAUUCUUCUUUUAAACACAGGACAAUUGAAUCUCAUGUGCCCAAGUUGAUCGCACUUAGCAUUUUGGGGCUAAAGAGGAAUCUUCUUCUUUCUUCUUUCAUCAUCAUCUUUUUUCUUCUCUAGUUUUUUUUUAUAUAUAUAGUUGCAUUUCUCUCUACCAUUGUAGGAAUAAAGGAAUCAAAUUCAAUGGCUUCCCAUAUCUUUAGAUCUAUGGCUUCUAUAAAGAUAUGCAUUCGGGUUAUCCAAUAAUGAUAACCUUCACCAUUGAACAUAAGAGCCUAUUGAUAGAAUUUCCCUCAGGAAAUGGAAAUUUGGAUGAGGCCAUAUCUAUUCUUGAAGUUUUUAAACUUUAUACUAGAAUCCCGCUCUGAUACCACUUGUUGGACCUUGUGGCCUCAAUAAUCUUAAGAGGGAUAGACUUAGAAUACAGAAGAAGCAACAACAAUCAAUUUAACAAUGUUCUUUAAACAUGCAAGACACAAUUGAUUGCAACAAAAUAAAUAAGAUAAGGGAAGAGAGAAUGCAAACACAGUUUUAUACUGGUUCGGCCACAACCCGUGCCUACGUCCAGUACUCAAGCAACCCACUUGAGAUUUCCACUAUCUUUGUAAAAUCCUUUACAAAGUCUGAACCACACAGGGACAACCCAUCCCUUGUGUUCAGAUGCUUUACAACAAGAGACUCACAGUCUCUUAACCAAUCUCAUGGAAUAAGAAGAAUAGAAGAAGAAUUCUCUCUUCAAGAGAAGAAUAUUACAAUGAAGAUCAUGUAAGAAUCCUUAUAGAUUUUGCAAGUGUUUGGUCAAGGAUUUCUUUUGAGAGAGCAUUUGACAAUGAAGUUCUUUUGGAAUCUCUCUCAUUGUCUUUUGAGAGGAUAAGACAUUUUGGACCAAAAAUACUCUCUGCAUAAAAUUCGUGCCCAAGUCACCUAUUUAUAGGCCUUUGAUGGCCAUUCACAAAUCUAAUGAAAAGAUGUGACUGUUGGCAGAUUUUCUGAAAACUUUCCACUGGUAAUCGAUUACAAUGUUUGUGUAAUCGAUUACACAGUUAUAAUUUGAAGGGUUAUGACUUUUGAAUUUGAAUUUCCAAAGUUUCGUUGCUGGUAAUCGAUUACAGACAUAUGGUAAUCGAUUACAUGUUGAAAAUUCAAAUUCAAAACAUUUUUCAACAGCUAUUUCUCAACCCUGUCUUCUGGUAAUCGAUUACACUUCCUGGUAAUCGAUUACUAGAGCCUUGAAUGUCUUGAAAACACUUUGUUUUAAGGCAAGGCUUGGUCUUUAAUGAAUCUUGAAACAUGGCUUUGCUUGUUGAAGCACUCUUGAAUUAUUCUUGAAGCAAAUGCUUUAUCAUUUGAAGCAGCCUUGUUUGAUUCUUCUUUGACAUCAUCAAAAUCAUGUAUACAUACAUUCACACCAAUGAGAUUAUUUGAGGCCUUAUCUUUUUUCUUGAUCUUGUUUGUUUGACCUUGAAUUAAUCUUGAAGCGCUUAACCUUUGAAUGUUUGUUGAAGUAACCUUAUAAGCAACCUUGUUUGAUUCUACUUUGGCAUCAUCAAAACCCUGCAUUCAUACAUUCACACACUGAUGAUUAUUCAUGUUGUGGUUAUGUCUACUUAUUGCAUGAGAAAUCUCAAGUAGUAUAUGCUUAUUUGAAUGAAAUAGAAAGACAAUUAGACAGAAAAGUGAAAGUUGUUAGGUUGGAUAGAGGCGAUAAGUACUACAAAGGUAUGAUGAAACUGGGCAACACCUAGGUCCAUUUGCUAAACUCCUUUAGAAACAUGGUAUUCCUGCGUAAUAUACAAUGUCAGGUACACCACAACAAAAUGGUGUAUUAGAAAAGUGUAACAAAGCAGUAAUGGUUAUGGUUAGGAGUAUGUUAAGUAAAUCCAAUUGACCAAUAUUUUUAUGGAUGUAUGCAUUCAAAAUUGUCAUGUUUUUGUUGCAUAGCAUUCCUAGUAAGGCUAUUCCGAAGGCACCUUUUGAACUAUGGACUAAUAAGACAAUAAGGAUUUAUAAUCCGCAAGAAAAGAAACUAGAUGCAAGAAAAAUCAAUGGAUAUUUUGUUAGUUAUCCAAAAAAAAUCAAAAGGGUAUAAGGUUUAUAAUAUGAGAAUCGUUGAAACUAGAAAUGCAUGGUUCAUUGAAAAUGGUCAAAUAAGUGGGAGUACAGUUCCAUGAAAUGUGGAAAUUAAAGAAGUUAACGUGAAAGUUCCUUUAACUUGUGAAUCUAGCAAUAAACUGAGUGUUUUUCUAGAUGUUGUUCCAAACAACAAUGAAGAAGAAGAACACAAUAAUGAGCCUAUAAUUCAAAAUGAACCUAUUGUAGAAGAACCAUAAGAAGUAGCACUAAGGAGGUCUUAAAGAGAAAGAAUGCCAGCUAUUUCAAAAGAUUAUGUGGUAUAUCUACAUGAAUUUGAAAUUGAAUUAGGCAUUAUAUAUUGAUGAUGAUCCAAUUUUGUUUUCACAACCUGUAAGUUGUGAUAAUUUUGAUAAGUCAUUGGAAGCCAUGAAAAAAGAGUUAAGAUCCAUGAAAUAGAACGGUGUUUGGGAUCUUGUAGAAUUGCCAGAAGAUUGCAAGUGAGUUGGUUGUAAGUGGGUCUUUAAGACUAAACGUGACUCUCAUGACAACCUUGAAGAUUACAAGGAUAGACUUGUUGCCAAGGGUUUUACUCAGAUAGAUGGUGUUGACUAUAAAGAGAUAUUCUCAAUAGUCUCACGAAAGGAUUCUUUAGGAUUAUCAUGGUACUGGUAGCCCAUUAUGACUUGGAGUUACAACAAAUGGAUGUGAAAAUUGUCUUUCUUAGUGAAGAUUUAGAGGAGAAUAUUUACAUGGAACAACCAAUGGGGUUCUUAGUUAAAGGAAAAGAACACAUAGUGUGCAAAUUAAAGAAAUCAAUAUAUGAACUUAAGCAAACUUCCAGUCAAUGGUAUUUGAAGUUUAAUGAUAUUAUUGUUUCCUUUAGAUUUAAGGAAAACAUUGUUGAUCAAUGUAUAUAACUGAAGGUCAGUGGGAGUAAGGCUAUAUUUCUAAUUUUGUGUGUUGAGGAUAUCUUGCUUGCAACUAAUGAUCUUGGUCUUCUUCAUGAGACUAAGAAGUUUCUCUCUAGUAAUUUUGAAAUGAAGGAUAUGGGUAAGGCAAGCUAUAUAGUAGGAAUAAAAAUGUUCUAAAACAAAUCACAAGGGUUGUUAGGCUUGUCCCAUAAAGCAUAUAUCAAUAAAGUACUAGAGAGGUUCAAGAUGGAAAAUUAUUCAACAUCAUCCGUUCCAAUUCAGAAAGGAGACAAGUUUAGUCUUAAACAAUAUCCUAAGAAUAUAUGAUUUGGAAUGGAAAAAAACGGAAGCAGUUUCAUAUGCAUUUGUUGUUGGAAUUAUUAUGUAUGCUCAGAUUCGUAGUUGACCAAACAUAAGCUUUGCAGCUAGAAUGUUAGGACGGUAUCAAAGUAAUCUAGGAAUGGAACAUUCGAAAACUACAAAGAAGGUUCUAAGAUACUUACAAGGAACAAAAAGUUUGAUGCUUACAUAUAGGAGGUUUGAUCACCUUCAGGUGAUUGGGUAUUUAGACUCGAACUUUGCUCAAUGUGCAGAUACAAGGAAAUCCACCCUUGGUUAUGUACUUCUUUUAGCCAAAGGAGUAAUAUCAUGGAAGAGUGCAAAGAAACCUAUUGUUGCUACAUUCAUUAUGGAAGCUGAAUUUGUAGCAUGUUUUGAGACUACAAUUCAAGCUAAUUGGCAACAAUAUUGUCAAGCCGCUAAAAAUAUAUUGUAAUAACUCCAUAACAGUAUUUUUCUCUAAGAAUGACAAGUACUCUAAAGGUGCUAAAUAUAUGGAAUUAAAGUAAUUUGUCCUGAAAGAAGUACAGAAACAAAAAAUGUCAAUAGAAAUUAGCACAAAUCUCAUGAUAGCUGACCCUUUGACAAAUAGAUUAUCGUCCAAGACAUUUAUUGAACAUAUUAAAAAUAUAGGCAUUAUUGUUAUUAAGGAUUGUUGAGUGUAAUGUUUACUUUUGUUCUGAAUUGUUGACAUUUUGAACUCAUUUAUGAUAUGUUUCUGAUUACCUGCUAUCUACAUUUGCAUGCAUGUUUGUAUUAGAGUAACGUAAAUAGGUACCAUCUUAAAUAAAAUCAUUAUGUUGGACCAUUAUGUGCUUCUAACUAUUUUCAUAUUAAGGAUAAGUCUAAUUUGUGAUACAUGGAAGGAAUUAUGUCGAUUAAGUAAUGUAAAACUGUCAUGACUCGAAUUAGUACGUAUUUUUAAUUAUGAAAUUAUGAUGUGUCCAAUCUAUGAAACGAUUUAGUCAUUUCAAUGCACAUUACGUAAGUUUAGUUUAUUUAUUUAUUCGUCCAUGAUGUUAGGUAAUGUCACAAGAGUCAAGUGAGAGAAUGAAAGAUUUAAAUUCUCAUGUGAGAGACAUGUGACUUAUUAAGGACUAAUAAACAAAUAAUUAAUUAUUAUGGACUAAGUACUAAAUGGACCAUAAGCUUAAGUGGAACAUUUUUUAGAGAUAACUAUUAUUUUAUGGGAAUAGUAGUUGUAAAAGGAUGAAUAUUCAUUAAUUUAAAAUUAGGUUCCCUUCCUUACUUUAGAGUAUUCUCUCAAUCCUAACGACCAUCAAGAAAGAUAGAGAUAGUAGAAGGAAAAACCAAAGGAAGUAAAAUUUUAUUUAUUUCUUCUUUCAAGGAAUCAAAGCGUACACUAGGGAGAAAGAUAUACAUUAUUUAUCUAUUAUUUGUGAGAAUCAUAUAUUUUAAAAUCUUGUUUUGAUUUCUAUUGUGAUCCUUAGAAAAAUCACUAAGUUUUUCACACAAUUCCUCAAAAUAAAACACAUCUAUUUAUAAGACACUUAAGUAAGAAACAUGUUAACUUUUGAACUUGUACGUACGGUAGUAAGAGCCAUAUUUAUUAAUAUAAAUUUCUGGCCUUUCAAAUAAAAAAUAAACCUAUAAUCAAAAGCCAGGGAAAUUAAAAAAUUUAAAAUUAAAUCAAUGACAAUUCCUUAAAUUCCUCUAGAAUCACCUUAUCUUACCAAAUUCACGAGGGUGAUCAUUGCUCUAUACUAUUAAUUCUCCAAACAUCCACAAAUUAAGAAAAGAAACAUGCAUCCAAUUUGUGAGGCCCAUUUAAUGGAUUAUCCAUGCAUUAUCACAGCAACAAUAACGGUGUUAAACACUAGAUUGACCUCUCUAAACACACGUCAAAGUUCUAACCACCCAUAAUAAUAACCCCUAAUUAAACCAAAUCUAAAUCUCCAAGUAAAUUCACAAAAGUUAAUUAGUGGCCGAUAGGCCACAAUAAUGUACAGUUAGUCCCAUGCUAGGUAUUAUAAAUAGUGCGAGUAUGGAACAAGAGUAUCUCAAGCCUUGAUACAUUUCCCUUCUUAGCUUUCAUUGCCAAACCCUAGUGUGGCCUAGCUGUUUUCUCAAUAUGAGAAAGGCUUCCACUCUGCAAUGCUCACUUUGGCGCUUCGGUGUUUCGCUAUUGCUGGUUGCCAGCUUCAUUUGUGCUUCUUCUGUUAUGGCAACAUCUGAAGUUUCAGGUUUGUGGCUCAUUCUAACACUCAUACAUAGAUUGUUACGUUUUUCGUUUAGGAAAUACGAUUCUUUUUAGUCUCUAGCUAAUUAAAUUUUAUCUGUUUCAAUCCUUAUAUGCUUUUACUAAAAUAAUACGAAGCAUGAUUUUUCUUGAAACAUUUAAGCACUAAUUUAAAAUUUAAAUAUGGGUUUGUUUCAACCAGCAUGCACAAGGCCAACUAGCCAAGAUAUAUAUAAUUUAUUUCGUUAUUGAAUAUGUUUAAAACAUAUAUGUACACAUAUACACGUAACUAUAUAUACUGUACCUAUACACAAAUCUGAUUGGAAACGUUAGGUCCAACUUGAUAAGCAUACAAUUAAGACAUUCUGGCAUGUUGAAAAUAAUAAGAUACAUGAAUUGUAUAUAGAUCACGGUAGCCCAACUUUUAAGGAAAGAGACCCACGCAUUAUAUAUACGCUAGAAUCAUCAGUUACUUUGCGAGUUAAUUAGUCUUUGAUGGAUAUUACUGUCAUCCCUUUUAUGGUAUUUAAAUAUUUUUACUACCAUGAAAAUAUCAUGUAGUGUUUACCUUGUGUUAUUUUUAAUUCCUUAUGUAGGGAAUGAAGUGGAUACCGAUGGGAAGCUUGUAAAUGAAGAGCCAGCAAAAACAAGCCUUCAAGGAUAUGAUGAAGAAGAAAAAUUUAAAGGGCUUUUUCCAAAAUCUAUUCCUAUAGUUAAGCCUAUCCCAAAGUUAGUUAAACCUAUUCCUAUUCCCGUGUAUAAGCCUAUACCAAAACCAAUUCCCUUGGUGAAGCCUAUUUCAAAGCCAAUUCCAAUUAUAAAGUCAAUUUCUAAUGAAGAAGAAAAAUUUAAAGGACUUCCAAAACCUAUUCCAGUAAUUAAGCCGAUUCCAAAACUAAUUCCUGUUGUAAAACCUAUUCCUGUUCCAAUAUAUAAACCUACACCAAAAUUAAUUCCCAUCAUUAAACCAAUUCCAAUUGUUAAACCUGUACCAAAACCUUUUACAGUGCAAAAACCCAUCCCCGCUAUUGACCCAGAGUCUUUUCUAAAGCCGAAGCCUUUCUUUGAGAAACCUAUUCCUAAAUUGCCACUUGACCCUAAAUUCAAGAAACCACUUCUGCCACCUUUCCCAAUUCAAAAGCCAAUUUCAAGUCCAUAAGAUGAUAAGACUUUACCACCUCUCACUAAAAAAUAUCUUGCUUAGACGAUCUAUUUCUAACUCCUAUUUAUGUGCUCUAUAUCUCAAAAUUAUUAGUUGCACUUGAUAAUCCUAGGGUAUCUCUCUUUAUGUUGGAAUACCUAUAUAGUUAAUGUUAUCUCCUCAAUAAAGUUCUCAAUAUUUGCGGUUGUUAAUCAAUUUUAUAUUAAUACAAUUACAAAGAGUGGGUUGAUUUUCCCUUUUUAAAAUAACAUUUUUUAAUUUUAUUAUAUUUUUGUGAGAUUAUAUUUUGAGCAAGGAUACUCGUAAAUCGUAAUAAACUAAAUAAUCACGAGAAAAAAAUAUGCCUGUGUUAUAAGCUAAAACAAAUGCAUACUCAUUUGUUUCUUAAAAGCAACAUAAUAUAUUGCAAACUAAGUAUAACUUUAAGUUUGGUCAAAUAUUAAAAAAGUAUAACUUGCUAAUAUAUUCAUUCUCGAAUGAGAGUAUAUUAACAGUUUUAAAUACUAUGUAGGGAUUAUAUUCUGACACUAGGUACUUUAACAAAUGACAUUGUUUUAAGCAUUUAACAUUUUAGUGACAUAAAAAAUGUCACCAAAAGAUUUUAGGAACAUUUUUAAAGGUAUGUGUAGUAGUGUAACUACAUGUAUAUUAAUUAAGAAAGGGUGGGAUACACUACAUUAUUUUAGCAUUUAACAAAGUUUUACUCUUGUUAUUAUAAAAAAUAAAAAUAAAAAUAAAAAUAAAAACGUUCUCAUUGAGAACAAUGAUCUCCACGCGGUAAUUUGAAAGUAGGAAUCAGUAACUUGCAAAUAAAAUGACCCCCGAAAGGACACAUUGCUGGCAGAAGGCCAACUCAGUUUUAAAGAGUGUUGUUAUGAAAAAAUAUUGUUGCUGAGAGUGAUGAUCCCGACAUGGUACUUAGAAAGGAGGGAUAGGUAACAUGCACACAAAUACUACCAAUUACAAAUUACAAAUUACGUACUGCACAUUAAACUUGUACCAAAACACUAGAAAUUUCAUAAUAACGACCAAUUCAAUUUUAAGGAGUGUCAUUAUUAUGAAAAAUGUUGUCAUUGAGAGUGGUGGGUUCAGCGCACUACUUAAGAAGGAGGGAUCACUAGCUUGAACAAGAAAGGAUAUUAGAAAUUUCAUAGUACUGGCUGUUAGAUGACCAACUCAAUUUUAAUUAUUGUUGUUAUUUUAAGGGGAGUUCAAAUGGCAGACACAAGAAAAAUAAUAUAUUUAAAUCUCUUUAAUUUAAUAGUUAUUUAAUUUUUAGAAAAUUUCUUUCAAAUAAAAUAUUUAAUGAUGAAAAAAUAAAUACCUCUUAUAUUUUAAUAUAUCGAAUUUAAAAAAUUUUACUAACCAAAAGUAUCCUUAAAAAGAAAUGUGAAUGGACAUGUUUGCAGAAGACACAUUUCAAAUGUUAAAAAAGUAGAAAAAUACAUGGAAAUAGAAUAAAUUUAGAUGUCUUUUACUUAAUAAUUAUUUAAUUUUUACAAAAUUUGUUUCAAAUAAAAUAUUUAAUGAUGAAAAUCGUAAAUAACUUUCAUAUUUUAAUAUAUUAAAUUAAAUCAUUUUAUUUUCCGAAAUUCCUAUUAAAGUAUCAAGAAAAUGCAUUACAGAUGGACAUGUUUAUGUUUGAAGACACCUUUCAAACCUUAAAAAUAAUAUGGAAAUACUAAGUACAUUCAAGUUAAUAAUUUUUUUACAACACAAAGGUCUUGAACAUAAAAUACCUGUUUAGCUUGUUCUGUCAUGAUGAAAGGGUCAUUCUGGUAAGCUAGUUUCUUUAGGUCUAUCAACGUAAAUCCUACAUCAUCGAUCCGCACACCGGUGUUUACAGAUGGACAUGUUUAUGUUUGAAGACACCUUUCAAACUUUAAAAAUAAUAUGGAAAUACUAAGUACAUUCAAGUUAAUAAUUUUUUUACAACACAAAGGUCUUGAACAUAAAAUACCUGUUUAGCUUGUUCUGUCAUGAUGAAAGGGUUAUUCUGGUAAGCUAGUUUCUUUAGGUCUAUCAACGUAAAUCCUACAUCAUCGAUCCGCACACCGGUGUUGCUGUCAAUCCAUUUAGAUUUGAAAACACAAACAAUAAAUUUGACAUAGUUAAGCUCCCAAAUUUCAUCAAUGAACCCAAAAUAAGGGAUGGAAGCUACACAGGGAUUAUCAUCAUGUACACUAGCAAAGUGUUGAGAUUCAACCCUUAGGGUGACCCCACUGUUUUGCAUUGUACUUUUCUCAUCUUGUGCUUUUGUAUAAAAGGAAUACUUGUUUAUGUCGUAUCCUUGCCAAGUUAUAACAUUUCUUUUAGGCCCAUGUGCUAGCUUUCUUAAUGUUUCAGAAGCAUUUUCAUCAGCAAAGAUUGUAUCUUUAAACCAAUCAAAGAAAGUCUUGUUAUGCUUUUUCAAGACCCAAUUCUUUGACAUUUUUGGAUUACUUUGUUUGACUAAACCUUCAUGCUGAAGUAUGUAUGGCAAAACUUCAUUACUGUUAUUCAAGACAUACAAGUGAGCUUGUAACAAAUCUUCUACACUUGGAGUGAUAACAUGCAGUCCUCUUGAAUCCUUACUGCCCACUCUGUCAUCAUGCCGAGACUCGGGAAGCCCAACAAGUUUAGCCUUUUCAAUGUACUCUGAACAAAAUUCAAUGGCUUCUUCUGCAAUGUACCUUUCAACAAUAGAUGCUUCGGGACGAUGUAGAUUCUUCAUAUACCCUUUUAAGAUCUUCAUGUAUCGCUCAACCGAGUACAUCCACCGCAAAUAAAUAGGACCACAACAUUUGAUUUCUCUAAUCAGAUGAACAAUUAAGUGAACCAUGAUGUCAAAGAAAGCAGGAGGAAAAUACAUCCAACUAGCAUAGUAUAAUUGUAGCCUCAUUUUCCAGGUCAUCAAACUUGACAUGAUCAAGGACUUUGCUACAUAUGGCAUUGAAAAAAAAAGCACAGGCAAGUUAUGACUAACCUGACUUUGUUAGGCAAAAUUUCUUGUAUGGCCACGGCUAACAAUUGUUGCAUCAAGACGUGACAAUCGUGAGACUUUAACCCUACCAGCUUAAGCUCCUUCAACUGCACAAGGCUCUUCAUAUUUGAAGAGUAUCCUUGUGGGACUUUGACCCGCCACAGACACUGAUAAAAACUUAUCUUCUCCUUUUUCAACAAAGUAUGACAAGCUGGAGGCAAGUAUAAUUUUUUCCCAUCAGACCUUGGAUGCAACUGCGAUCGUAUGCCCAACUCAGCUAGAUCUUGACGGGUAUUCAAGCCAUCUUUCGUCUUGCCUUGAAUGUUAAAGAGCGUCCCAAUGACACUAUCACAUACAUUUUUCUUCAUAUGCAUAACAUCAAUACAAUGUCUAAUGUCAAGGUCAGACCAGUAUGGAAGAUCAAAGAAAUAGACCUCUUCUUCCAUAUGCAAGUCUUACUUUUUUCCUUCUUUUGGGUCUUUCCAAAUAUAGUAUUCAAGUGUUGAAUCCGCUAGAAGUCCUGCUCACCAGUCAACGGUAUCAGCACAGUUUCGUGUUCUUGACUUCCAUUAAAUGCUUUUUUCAAUCGCCUGUAAGGAUGAUGAGGUUUUAAAAAAUGUUGAUGCCUAGUGUACACUAUUUUUUUUACCAUGUUUCAGUUAUAUGUAGCUUGUGUCUUCUUCACAGAUGGGGCAUGCAUGAUGACCCUUAACACUGUAACCACUUAUAUUUCCAUAUGCUUGAAAGUCAUUAAUGUUACAAAAAAGCAUUGCACGCAUUUGAAAAGUCUCAUUUUGAAACCCAUCAAACACUAAACCCCCCUCAUCCCACAACUUUGUCAGGUCUUCAAUCAAUGGACUUAGAUAAACAUCAAUGUCAUUUCUUGGCUGUCUUGGGCCCGAUAUCAUCAUAGACAACAUCAUGUAUUUUUGCUUCAUGCACAACCAAGGAGGAAAAUUAUAAAUUACUAGUAGAAUUGGCCAUGAACUGUGUUGAGUGCUUAAAUUACCAUAUGGAUUCAUUCCAUCACUGCCUAGUCUAAGCCUAAGAUUUCUUGCCUCUUGCCGAAAUCCAAAAACAAAUGAUCUAUCUUCUUCCACUGCGAGCAAUCAGCCGGAUGACGGACCAUUCCAUCGCAUUUUCUCCCUAUUGCAUGUCAUGUAAGGUCUUUAGCGUCGUCUCCAUUAGCAAAAAGAUGCUUAAACCUUAGAACAAUCGGCAGAUACCACAACACCUUCAUUGGGGGGCCCUUCUUUGAGUUUUCAUCACUACUACACUUCUCAUCAUUCUUCACUUUGUACCAUCAUAACCCACACCUAGGGCAUUUGGACAUUUCUUCAAAUUUAUGUUUGUACAGUAUGCAAUCAUUCGGGCAAGCAUGAAUCUUCUAAUACUCCAUACCCAUAGGACACAGUACCUUUUUUGCCUGAUAGUAACUUUUAGGCUACGUGUUUUCCUCUGGAAGCAUAUCGUGCACUACUUGAACCAGUGAAAUAAAGCUUUUGUCACUCCACCCAUAUCUGGACUUGACAUUAACUAGACUUAACACCGUAGACAAUAGUGUCAACGAAUUCUUGCACCCCGGAUACAAAGGCUUCUUUGAAUCAGUUUGCAAUGUAUCAUACAUAGGGGCAUGUGUUUGUUAAAAAGACUCUUGUCCAAGGUCACGAAUCAUAUCCUCCAAGCCAUCUCCCAUUUCUACAUCAAACGGUUCAGAUUGGGGCCCACUUUAGUUGUCUGUCAUUCCACCAUGCCAUAUCCACGUUGUAUAAUUCCUCUUGAUUCCAUUACACAACAGAUGGUCUCGUAUGUCAUCAACUUUUUGCCAUCUCCCGUUCAAACAAUUUAUGCAUGGACAAAAAAACUUGUCAUUUUCAUCUAGUCGACUUCUUUCUGAAGCAAAUUGCAGGAACUGUUCAACGCCUUCCUCAUAUGCAGAGCUCAAUCGGCUUUCAUUCAUCCAACUUCGAUCCAUCUAAAUAAUAACUGAUUCAUACUCUGAAACUCAUUCAAUGCAUGAUAUCUCACUUUUUCAUUUAAGGUGUGGCCCUAUCCCAUUCAGGAAGACACAUUUUUAUGGUAGAUUCAGGCGUUAAGAUUAAUCUUAUUUUGUUAAAUUUGAUAAAAUUUUGACAGCAUUUCACAUUGGUCUCCAAGUACACGAUACAAAAUCGGUGACAUUAAUUUGUCGAUAAUCAUGUAUGCACUUAGAGAACAACUAGAGAUGCAUUGUACCAUAAUUUCAUCAAAUUAAACAAAAUAAUGUUAACCUUAACACAUGAAUCAACCAUAAAAAUGGGAGUCUCCCCAAACUGUCCAAACGGACAAUUUAAGAUUGAAUACAAUGAUUAAUGCACACUUUCUGCAAGAAUCAUUGUAUUCAAUCUCAAAUGGGAAUCUAAGGCUAACUCAUUAUGAAAAAAAGUUUAAUCUAAAGCAAAGCACAUUAAUGACAUACAAUUUAAAUACAGUGACAUCUAACACAACACAAUAGAUCGGUAAGAACCCUAACCAAACAAGAAAGCAAUGGACGCUAAGUUAGAGCAACAGACGGUGGAGGUAUCCACUCUCGUCACACGUGCCGCUCAUGAUAAGUCCUCUGAUUCGUUAGCAUCGCUAACGAAACCAACGAGUUAUCAUGAGCAACGGGUGUGACGAGAGUGGAUACCUCCACCGUCUGUUGCCCUAACUCGGCAGCCAUUACUUUCUUAUUUGGUUAUGGUUCUUACCGAUCUAUUGUGUUGUCUUAUAUCUGAAAAGAGAAACUAGCUAACUAAUCGAAACCAGCGGUAUAUAUAUAUAUAUAUAUAUAUAUAUAUAUAUACAUACAUACAAGUCCGUACGUACGUACCUAGAAUUGCUAUAAUCAAAGACCUUCCAGAGCAACACGAAUUACCAGUAGCAAAUGAUAACCUGGCAAAAUGUGAAACAAAAUUUAAUGAUUUAUAUUACAAAUUGCCAAGUAGUUAGUUAUUUACCAAGUACAUUACAUCUAGUAGCUUCUAUUUCUAUUCUUUGGUAAUUUACUCUCCUUGCCAAUUUUCCUUCUAUUUACUAAACUUAAUAUUUAUUAGUUUAUUCCUUCUUAAUCUAGUUUUUUUUCAUCGGCCAGUUGACUCACUAAGUAACCCACUAUUUGGUUCAUUGUCACCUAACUAACUAACAGACCUAUGAAACAGCCUCUUAAGUUGCAGCGCCGGGGGCAAUGCUACUAUUUCAUUGCCAGGGGCAUCAAUUGAGUGAUUUGGGUGGUAGGGAGUGAUGUAGCUCCGUUGGAGCUUGUAGGCCUUGGAUCUUCUUCAUCAAUGAAGUCCUUUGCUUCUUAAAUUUUAAUGGCAGCGGAAUGGAGAAGAAGAGGAGUUGAGAGGAGACACCACUUAAAGGAGAAUAUGAGUCAAGAAGAAGCUCACCACCAUAGGAAGCCAUGAAUAAGAGCUUGGAGGUAGGAGAAGAAGAAUGGAGGGAGAAGAAGAGAGAGAUCACGAAAUUUGUGCCUCAAAAGAGGUCUGAACUUUGAAGUGUAAUUCUCAAAUGAUCAAAGUUAAAAAAUGCACACACAUGGCCUCUAUUUAUAACCUAAGUGUCACAUAAAAUUGGAGGGAAAUUUGAAUUUCUAUUUAAAUUUUACUUGAAUUUGAAAUUGAAUUUGUGGAGCCAAAAUUUCACUAAUUAUGAUUAGUAAAUUUUAGUCUUGGUUCAGCCCACUAAUCCAAGAUCAAGUCCAAGAUUCUCCACUAAGUGUGCUUAGGUGUCAUGAGACAUGUAAAGCAUGAAGGACAUGCACAAGUGUGACUAUACGAUGUGGAAAUGAGGUGUAGCAAGUAAAUGUUCACCUCCCCCUCUAAAAUUUAAUUGGAUUAGGCUUCUCCCAAUUCAAUUAAAUUUAUUUACCAACACACACAUCAAAUAUUCACUCAAUGCAUGUGAAAUUACAAAACUACUCCUAAUACAAAAACUAGUCUAGCUGCCCUAAAAUACAAGGGCUGAAAAAUCCUACAUUUCAAGGGUACCCUACCUACAUUAUGGAGCCCUAAAUACAAGGUCCAAAAAUAAUGAAACCUUAAUCUAAUAUGUACAAAGAUAAGUGGGCUCAUACUUAGCCCAUGGGCCCGAAAUCUAUCCUAAGGCUCAUGAGAAUCCUAGGGUCUUCUCUUGCAUCUCUGGCCCAAUCUACUAGGAGUCUUCUAUCCAAUGCCUUUGCGGGGUAGGAUUGCAUCAGGGAGGUUGCAGCCCCAGGGACAGUGCUACUGAUUCUUGUCAAACCAUAAGGGGCAUGAUUAUGCUUGGUUUUUGCUUGUUGGGUAUAUCUAAAUAAAAUAAUAUAUAACAAAAUUCUCAUCAAGCCAUGUAGUAAUUGCUACUGAAUUGUAGAAUUGAGCAGCUCAAAACAGUGUUGAUUCUUCUUCCCCAACCUUGGAGGAUAAUGAAAUCUUUCAUUCUGAUAAGCAAUAUCAUGUAGAAGAAGAAUCAAUGGCAGAAGGUUCAAAAGAUCAAGUUUUAUUGAGUAGCAAUUCAUAUUGUUUUGGUGGGUCAGAUAAUGGUAUGAAAGGCAAUGUUCUAAAAAAUGAAACAUUGAAGAAUAUGAGGUCUGUAAGAGAGCAAUAGAAAAUGAAGUGAACCUCCUGAAUUUAGAGAGCACCGAUUUAGAUAAAGGGUCCUAUGAGCAGAGACCAUCAUCAUUUGCCCCCAAAGCCUAUGAGAUGGAAGGCUCUUGCAGCUCUAAGAUUAACAACACCAAAAACGACAGCAACUUGAUGUCCAAUUGUUCCAACAAAGACAUGCUCCUAGACAGCUACACCACUAGUUGGCAACCCUGAGAUUUGAUGUGAAAUUACCCUCUUAAUAUCAAAAACAGAAUGAAGAGAAAGAAUAGAAAAGUGUUGUGUGCUGUAAGGGAGAGGAAAGGUAUUGCAAAUUUGUCAACUGAGUGGGAGAAGAAAGGUGUCUCUUGAAGAUAAGAGAAGGCAAAAAAAACCUCAUGAAAUGAAGGUUUUCUAUGCACUGGAUAAUGCAAUAGAACCCACAAAAUUGCGAGCCUUCAACUUUCAGAAAAAUGACAAUCUCACAAGCAAGCUAGUUUGUUCUUCAACCCUCUGGUAUAAUCCCACUCUGCAGCAAUCCUACACUGAUACUACCUAAUGUACAAUUGUAAAUGCUCGAGCUAGUUAGUAAAAAUACUAAUAGCAUCAUAGCAACACAUAAAUACCACUAUCCUUGUUACGGGUGAAAAGAUUUUAAAAUUUUCAUCAUAAUAUCAAAUACACGUGUAUGGAUUGCUUUAGUACAGAUAUUUGAACUUACAAAAUUAUAAAUUGAUUCCUACAUUUUUCUUGGUAAACCAGACUCAGGCCAAUUGAGAUAUUCUGGGAAUUGAAGUUGCUUAAUCAAGGUCUGGAAUUACUAUUUCCCAAUAAACUAUGCUCUUGGUAUUCUUGAAGAAAAUGGAAUGGUGAAUUGUAAACCAUUAGAUAAUCCCACAUAUCAAGAUAUUGGAGUUUGGCAGAAAGCUAAACUAAUCCAAGUAGAUAUUGGAGUUUGGCAGAAAGCUAAACUAAUCCAAUUGUAACAAGACCAACCAUCUUUUGUUGUAAGUGUGGUCAUUAGAAUGCAAAUGUCAUAAUUCUGAUAUUUCUUAGAGGAUCACUAGUAAAAGGAUUUAUUAGUGUUUUUGAACAGAGGGCAUAAGGAGAUUAUUACCUAUACUUAGUAGGAGAUCUACCUAUGGAUAUUGUGUUCUAUUUGGAGUGAAUCUCUUUCAUGGAAAACCUUAAGAAGCAAAAUAUGGUUGCAAGGUCCAGAGCUGAAGCAAAAUAUCAAGCUAUGACUCUCACUACUUAUGAACUAAUAUGUCUAAAAACAAAUAAAUGACUCAUUAAAGAGCUAAAAUUUUGUGAGGUUGGAAUUGAGACACAUUUGUGAUAAUCAAGCAGCCCUUCAUAUUACAUCUAACCCAGUUUUUUAUGAGCAUACCAAACAUAUAGAGAUCGAUUACCUUUUAUAUUUCUGAGAAGAUAGACUCCAGAUAAAUUAGGACAUAUUUUGUUAACUUCAAAUAAUCAAUUGGUUGAUCUGCUCACUAAUGCUCUUUAUGGACAAGGGAUUUCUUAUUUCUAGCCAAAACAAUAAAAUUAAAGGCAAGAAAAAAUUACCUCAAGACAAGGGAAAGAGGUUUUAAUGUCACUCACACCGGUCCAUGUUCAUAGCAUAUAGGAUCCUGCAUGUAAAACAAAUAAUUCUCUAAAAUGAAGUUAAGUAAACAACCACUUAAUUGAAAAGAUAUAUCCUGAAGGUAACUGUAACAGCUAGUGUUUGGUAUAUUGAGUUCAAUCAAGAAAUAUGCAAACCCCUAGUAGUGGAAUACCUGUUGGAGUAGUGAUCAAUGCCGGGAAAUUGAUGACGUCUAUCCCUUGGUCAUCGAACUUGUACUAGAGAUGGUAGUUGUCUGCAAAUAUCAAAAAGACUCGAUGUCAUGCUACAGAGGGAAAAUGGUGGAAGGUAUUAUACCAAUUUAUAGGGCAUAUGUCAACAAUUAUUGUUUGUCAAUAGAAAAUGAUGCUAAGGUUGACAAGAAUAUGAAAUAUACGGUGCAGAGUUUGGAGAACAAGAUUAGGUCUCUAUUUUAGCCGAAGCAGAGGAAAGGUAGUAGCAUUAAAUAGGCACACUUGAUUAGUAAAAUAAAAGAAGUCAGUCAUCAAUUUCGCUUGACUCUAGCUUCUCUAUAAUGCUUUUCCUUGUACUUGCAAUUACAGACUUGACUGUAGCUACUCUAUAAUGCUUUUCGCUUGACUCUAGUUGCUCUAUAAUGUUUGGAGAACAACUACUACUACUAACAAUUACAGACCUGACUCUAUUGAAUCUGUAUUGAUGACUUUGCCUUCAAUUUCAUCAAGUAUAGUCAGUGCCUGAAUGAAGAAACAGGUAGUUCUAUCUAGCUCUGUACUUGGUCUUAAGAUUCCAAAGCUAAGUAAACAUUAAUUCUUGUGCAAAACUAAACAAUAUCCAGUCAGUCAAAUGGGAUGUUUCCCUUAGUACUAUGGCAAAGGGUUUGUUGUGUCCAGUGUUUUAUGCCAAACCCUUUGUAAAGUAAAUAUGAGGUUAAUUGCAUAAAAAAGUGAAAUAAAGCUCAGAGUAGGCAAUCCUAUCUUAAAUCUUACCCUUUCCUUGAUGUCACCCAAAGUCGGCAAGUACAGCUUAUAGAAUUCCUCUCUGAAUGCAACCACAAACCUAAAUAAACUUUAGAAACCACCAAGAAUAAGACAAUUAGGAUUCGUUUGAUUUGUAUAAAUUUAAGGGACAACACAACAAAAUAUUACAUAUGCAUACAUUCAAACUUUAUUGACUCACUAAUCUUAUAUUUCCUCAAUGUGGGUGUUAGACAGAAACCAAACUAGGAUACAUCUACUAUUUUUUUCUUUUAUAUAUGUGAGGGAUUCGAAGAGUGUCAAGAUACCUAUACUACAUUAUAGUAUUUUCACUUUUAAAGGACUAAAGACGAGUAAUUGACCAUUAUCAUGUAUAGGGAUAACAACAUUUUAGGCCUUCACUGUGUUUUGUUCGAAAUCCUGGGGUCUAUAAAAACCCUCAACUAAUUAUAGGAAAAAAAACUAUUCAUAUGGAACUAAUUUAUUUUCAAAGUUUUGGACUAUACAAAUUUGACACAAACAUUCGAAGAAUCGAUAAGUUGUCAUGAUUGAGAGUGAAUGGAAACCAUAUUCCUUAUGCACACAAUGUUGUUGUAGUGACGUACCUCAAUCACGACAGAGACAAACUCGUUUAUGGUAGUUGUGGCUUCAACGACAGUCACAGGGUCAGGAAGAAGGAGAAAGGAGAAAGGAGAAAAGGGUUUGAGCGCGCGGGGGCCAAAAUGAAUUUGUGUUUUAAUUUAUGAAAAGAACAACAUCAAUUUUUUUAACAUAACUAAUGUUAACAUGAAGUACUUAAGAUCGGUUUUUUAAAACCCGAUGUUAACCUCAAGUACUUAACAUCGACUUUAUAAUGAUCGAUGUUAACCUCAUAUAGUUAACAUCGAGUUUUAAAAAACCGAUGUUAAUUAUAUGAGAUUAACAUCGGUUUUUGUCAAAACCGAUGUUAACUACUUGAUAUUAACAUCGGUUAUUUAAAUUUAAAUAAUCGAUGUUAAUCUCAAGUAGUUAACAUUGAUUUUGACAAAACCGAUAUUAACUAACUCGAUUUAUUUACGAAAAUAUCACCGUACUUUUCUUAACAUCGAGUUUCUAAAAAAUCAAUGUUAAUCGUGCGAUGUUAAAUCUAUAUUUUAUAAUAGUAAUAAUAUAUAUAUAUAUAUAUAUAUAUAUAUAUAUAUAUAUACGAGUAUUACACUCUUAAUCAAUCAAUUUUUGCGAUCCUCACACAAUAAAAGUUCUCUCUUCCACACUUUCUCCCUCUAUCGCUUGCACCUAUUGCUCAGAUACCUUUAUCGAAUAUGCAUGCAUGUAGUUAACCUUUCAUUGUAAAUCUUUACGUUACUUACACAUUUUCACUCCAUGAUAUAUACUACAAUGGCGUGUCAUGCUAUAUUAUUUGAAGAUUACCAACCAUAAAAGAAAAGAAACACCUAAAAUGGAAGGCUCAUUCAAUGGCAGGGAGCCAUGAAUAAUCUCAGCAACUAUAACGGUGUUAAACGCGAUCUCUAAACACACCUCCAACCACUAAUAAUAAUCACUGACCAAAUCUGAAAUCUCGGAGUGCAUUUCAAAAAAGAAAGUAAUGACCAAUAGAGCCAUGAAUGUACAAUUAGUCCCAAGCUAGGUAUUAUAAAUAAUGAGAGUAUGUGACAAGACUAACUCAGGCCUCCAAAUAUUUUCCUUUUUAGCUUUGAUUAGAGUGGCCUAGUUGUUGUUUUUCUCAAUGAGAAGGGCUUCCACUAUGCAUUGCGCACUUUGGCGCUUCUGUGUUCCCUUGUUGCUACUUGCUAGCUUCAGUUAUGCACCUUUUGUUUUGGCGACAACUGAAAUUUCAGGUCUGUGGCUCAUCCUAUUACUCACACAUUCAUUUUGUUAUACAUUAGUUUAUGAAAUAUGAUGUUUCUUUGUGUUAGUCCUUAAUAAAAAAAAAUUAUUCAUUUUAAUAUUUACAUUUAACAAAACAGUAUAAUCUCUAAUCUAAGGACUAAAAAAGAUUAAAUUUAAAUAUGGGUUAAUUUUAAAAAAAGUGUGGUAAUACCAAAAAGUAUAUAUAAGUGGCCGUAGUAGUUAGUACCUAUAUAUGAUCAGGUGUAGAAGAUUAGAUCCAUAUACUUGUCAUGCAUAUAAUUAGAAAUGAAAAUUUGUAUUAUUCAUGAAGUACUGUACGAAUUUCGCUGGCCUUCGUUUCAAGUAAAAAUUAAGAUCGACCCUUCAUACACAAGAUUCAGCCAAUGAAGGGUGCUAUUAAUUACUCUGACAGAUUUUAUUGUCUUCUGAAUUCAAUUCAAUCAUUUAUCUUGGCAUGCAGUAUAUGCGUGUGGAAUUAACUUGUGGUCUUCAGCGUGGCUCCCAUACAUAGACCAUGCAUAGUCCCCACAAAAAUAUUUUUGAAAAGAACUAUGGGGAUCCAGUACCUACCUGGUAGCUAGUUUUGGUCAUUAUAUAGCUAUUAUGAUUGGCGAUGAAUUUUUCAUUUUAUUUUUAUAUAUUUUUCUCUAUCAACACUUGAAAAAUAUCAAAUUUACUGGGUAUUACAAAAAUAUUUACUGUGUUUAACUUAUAUUUUCUUGUUUCUUAUUAUGUAGGGAAUGAAGUGAGCACUGAUGGAAAGGUUUUAAAUGAAGAGUUAGCAAAACCUAAUCUACAAGGACAUGAUGAAGAAGCAAAGUUUAAAGGAUUUAUUCCAAAGCCAAUUCCCAUAGUGAAGCCUAUUCCAAAACCAUUUCCCAUCAUUAAGCCUAUUCCAAAGAUAAUUCCUAUUGCUAAACCUAUUCCUAUUCCGAUUUAUAAGCCUAUAUCAAAAUCAAUUCCCAUUAUUAAGCCUGUUCCAAAGAUAAUCCCCAUUAUUAAACCAAUUCCAAUUAUUAAACCUGUACCAAAACCAAUUCCCAUUAUUAAGCCUGUCCCAAAACCAUUUAUAGUGAAAAAGCCUAUCCCUGUUGAGUCGGAGGAAUUUCUAAAACCAAAGCCUUUCUUCAAAAAGCCUAUUCCUAAACUACCACUUCACCCUAAAUUCAAGAAACCAAUUCUACCACCAUUGCCAAUUCACAAGCCAAUUCCAACUCCAUAAGAGGAUAAUACUCUAUAUCUCGAGCUAUAUAGUUAUCCGUUCCAUUUCUAAUGCCUUUAUAAGUAAAGCUGCAUCGUAUCUCAAUUAAAUUUCGUACUCUUCUCGUAUACUGUAAUGGAAAAUAAGUAGUUGAUGCUCUCUGUUCAAUGAAGUUCUCGGUGUUAUCAUGUGUAGAUCGAUUAUAUUAAUGCAAGAGAUUGUAUAUGCAGUUAUUACUUAUUAUUUAAAUAAUGUUUUUUAAUAGUUUUUCAGUUUUAUAUUUUAUGAAUAUAUACUUAAUUGUGAGAGAGAGUGGGGCUCAUCGAUAAAUGUAGCAAUUUCUGCGAGAGAUAUAUCUUAACAAUUACAUUUAUCAUGAAUAAUAUUACGACAAGUAAAUCACUAAAUUAGUUCUUAAAAUUUUAUAGUUCAAAUCAAACAUUUCAUUUAGUAAGAUUUUAAAAGCCCUCUGUUAGUCCUUCAGUUUAUAAUAAAAGCAAAAGAAAAUUCCUCUUCUGUAAUAUUUUAUCAUUAUAUCAUUUUGCACUAAAAAGAACUAAAGUGAAAAAAAUUUGCAAGAAAAUAAAAUCAGUAAAAUUUUUUUUUGUCAAAUUAGGGGAUUGACAAAAUUAAUUAAUUUAUAAGAUCAAAUAAAACUUACACAAAUAUUACUAAAAAGAAAAAAAAACAUCAAUUCAUAGUUUCCUGACAAUAAAUAUAUGUGUAUUUGUUUAUUUUGUACUCUUUUGUUUGUUAAAAGAAUUUAAUAGUAAAGUCUAAUUCAAACUUAUAAAACUAGGUUAAAUAUUUAUUAAUUCAUUAAACUUUAAAUUAAAUUUAAAACAAAACCGUCAACCACGUACAUGAGAUAAACUCUUAGGUAUCAUCUGUCGAAAUAAAUGGUGAUGUUUGAUAAUCUUUUUCAUUGUGCCUUUAAUGGCCCUAUCUAUUUUAGCUACAGUAGUUUAUCAAAUUUUCACCUCAUCAUUUUCGGCAUCUUUAGAGAUAAUUAUAAAAUUUUGCUUCUAAACAUUUGACAUUAAGUCAUUAAUUAUAACAAUUGAUAAAGCGUCAUAUGUACCACUCAUGUAUUCCUAUUCAGUUUGUUGUUUUUCACGUCAAAUGCUAUCAACUAUCAAGUAUGAUCUAGUCAACAUUAUGGGAUGAGACAAUCACUUCAAGCUGUCUUUGUCUUGAAUUGGGUUGCUUAAUUUGGGCCAUGUCAUUUUCUUGUUUGGUUCUUGAAAGGGAAUUACUUUGGGCACCCUACAGUUUUGCUGGGACACCCAGCACCCUAGGUGAAAGGGCCAAAAUGCCCUUCACCCUAUUAAUAUAAAUAGGGCUACAUUAAUUCUUUCGUCCUGUGCUUCUUCGUGCUACAGUAAUUCUGCCGUUCCGCCACAAUGCUUCUUCCUUCGUGCUGCGCUUCUUUCUCCUCGUGGUGGUCUCCUUCAUUCUCCUUCUACUUCUUCAUGUUGCGGUUCUUCUUCUUCAUGGUUGUGGUUCUUCUUUUUCCUCUUUCUCCACUUCCCGUGCGGCUAUGGUUUUUCUUCUUUCCUUCUUCUUCCUCCACUUCCCGCGCCCCUGUUCUUCUUCUUCCUCUCCAACAAAAAAAUGACAUUUUUCUAGGAAAACCCCAUAUGGAUAUGGUUCAUAUAGAUUGCUAAUUUGUAUGAGUUUUUUUUUUUUUUUUGUUGAAUAAUUUUGUUUCAAUUUUUCUUCUUCUAAAUUUGUUUUUUUUUAAUUUUUGAUUUUUGAAUUAUUAUUUAAAUUAUUUCGUAGUAUAAUGUUAUUUUGUAAUGUUAGUGAAAUUUUAUAAUUUUUUCUGAUUUAUAUGUUAAGUACUGAUUUUAUUUAUAAAAAAUAUAUUAGUUAUUACUAAGAUUAGAUUAGAUUGCUAAAAUUAAGAUUAGAUUGGUGAAACAAUUAAUUUUUAAUAUUGUUAUAUUAUAUUUGUCUAACUUUUAAAAAAAAUAAAACAAAUAUUUAAAAGAUAUUGAAUUUGUUACUUAUGAAAAAUAUUGAAAUCAUAAUUAAAAAUAAUUUAAAUUUUUUAGUUACAACAAACAUUUAAACAAAUUUUUUAAUAAUUUAAAUUUGUUAUAAAAAUAUUGAAACAUAAUUUUUAAUUGUACAAUAAAUCUGUUAGUUAUAAAAAUUAUGAAACCAAAAUUUAAAAUAUGAUAAGAUUUUUAGUUUAAGAUAAUGAUUGAAAUCAAAUAUGAAAAAAUAUUUGAUUUAGUAGUUAUAAAAAAUAUUGAAACCAAAAUUUAAAAUAUGAUAAGAUUGUUAGUUUAAGAUAAUGAUUGAAAUCAAAUUUAAAAAUAUAUUUGAUUUAGUAGUUAUAAAAAAUAUUGAAACCAAAAUUUAAAAUAUGAUGAGAUUGUUAGUUUAAGAUAAUGAUUGAAAUCAAAUUUAAAAAUAUAUUAAAUUUGUUAGUUAUAAGAAAUAUGAAAACCAAAAUUUAAAAUAUAAUAAGAUUGUUAGUUUAAGGUAAAAUUAAAUUUAAAAUAAUAUUUGAUUUUGUAGUUAUAAAAAAUAUUGAAAUUAAAAGUUAAAAUGUGAAAUAUGAUAAGAUUGAUAGUUUAAGAUAAUGAUUGAAAUCAAAUUUAAAAAUAUAUUAAAUUUGUUAGUGAUAAGAAAUAUGUAAACCAAAAUUUAAGAUAUGAUAAGAUUGUUAGUUUAAGGUAAUGAUUAAAAUUAAAUUUAAAAAUAUAUUUGAUUUUGUAGUUAUAAAAAAUAUUGAAACCAAAAUUUAAAAUAUGAUAAUAUUGUUAGUAUAAGAUAAUGAUUGAAAUCAAAUUUAAAAAUAUAUUAAAUUUGGUAGUUAUAAAAAAUAUUGAAACCAAAAUUUAAGAUUUAAAAUUUAUUUAUUAAUCCCUAUUAUUUAAUUUUUUCAAAAUUAUUUUUGUAGAAAUUUUUUAUUCAUUUAUUUUAUUUACAAAAUUUGAUAAUUAAAAAAAUCUGAUAUUUAAUUGAAUGAUGUAUUUAGAUUUUUAUUAUAAUGAUUAAAAAUUAAAUAAAUAUGAUAUUUAAUUGAAUGAUGUAUUUAGAUGUUUUUUUAUAGCAAUUGAUAAUGAAAUAAAUUUGAUAUUUUUUACAUCUGUAAAUACUUAUUAAACCUAUCAUUUUUAUUUAUAAUUUAUAUAUGUAAAAAAAUUAAUUAUUAUAUAAAAAUAAUCAUUACAAAAUUUAUUAUGUAAAUUUAAAUAUACAUUAAAUAUAAAUUAAAAAUUUUAGUAUUAUAUAUAACGACACUAUUUACUUAUAGCAUAAUAUGUCUAUUAGUUCAGUUGGUUUGAUUGUUAUAUUGAACCCUCUCUAUCAUACCUUUGGGAAAGUUAUUCUACUUACAAAAUGGAUCGUCAAUUCUAGAAGAAAGCAUAAAUACCUCCUCUCUAAUAUUUACCAACUUGAUCAUUAAGAACAAAGGCUCAAGACUCUUCAAUGUACUCUAAGCUUCUUUUUUUCUUUUUUUGCUAUGUAAAGACAACUUAUAUCAAUUACAAAAGUUAACUAGUAAUGAGCUAAAAAAAAAACAAAACUCUUCCCAACGUUGUAUUUUGUAAACGAAGAAAAUAAAUUAAAAUAUGCCAUGAUAAAGAAAAAGUUGCUGUCAAUAAUAUAAUAGAAGAUAGGAUAUCAUCAUCGUAAUUAUUGUAAAGUAGUGGUAUUUCUAAUGUUAUUUCUUAGUAUAUAAAGCUCAUCCAUUCAUGAAACCAUUUAUGUAUUUCAAGUAAUAUUUUCAAAUUCAGAUAAACAAUUAACUAAACUUUCUCCAAACUUACUCACCAAAUUAGUAUCAUUGUGUAUUGUUAAAUUUAUUAUACUACAUAAAUUUUUCAUCAUAUCCAAAUUAAUUUUUUAAUUGUUAUUAAAGAACUUUCUAAUUAUUAAAAACUAUGUAAGGACACAUUUUUGUAACAGAUCUACUUAGCAUUUUUUGAAGUUGUUUGAUUAUGUUAUUACUUCACCCUUAAUUUUCGAUUCUUUGGUUUUCAUGAAGGUAUGCAUUGCAGAAUGGAGGUGCAGUGGAAUUUUCACUUGAAUUUUUUUUACUGAAAAUGUUCACACAAUCGAAGACCCAUAAUUGCAUUUUUUAUUAUUUAAAUUCUCGAUCUCUCUUUAGCUUUAAAUUAAGGGUAAAUUUUCAUUAGUUAAAUAUAAUGUCAAAUAAGGAUAUCUAAACUUUUAUUUGCAAUGAGUUUCUUCAAUUUUACGUGAUGGGAUUGUUUGCAUUUAUUUUAAUUGUUAUGUUUUGUCUAUUUUGAAGUUCUUUAUUGGCAAUGUAGGACAAAUCUUUUCUUAUGUCUUGGAUUAUGUGUUAGACAGUAAGCAAAAUCUCAUCAUCAUCUCCAUUUAUUGCAAGUAUAUAUGCUUGCAAUAGCAUUAUGCUAUGUUAGAUGAUUAAAAGAGAUGUAUUCUAUAUAUCAAUUUUUAAAUCACUAAUAUAAAUAUGUUCAGAAGAGAUAUUUUUAUUUUAAAUAUAAGAAUAUUUUUGGAUUUAUUUUUUGGGGUCUUCAAAUGUGUGAUGUUACAUUUGGCCAUAGGAGAUAUAUAUGGAUUGAUGUGCUCCAAAUGGAUGAAGUCAUACAAGAAACACCUUUCUCUAAUCAUUCUCUUUAGAUCAUCUAUCAAAAUUAUUCGUUCCACUUUGAUUUUAACUUAGAGAUGUUGCUCCAAGUCAGCAUUUUCCUUUUCUCUUCAGAAUUAGCUCCGAAUCAAGUUCUUGUUGCAAGACUAUUUUUCAUCAAUUAAAACUAAAUAUUCCCAGCCUGCCAAGAAUGCCUUCAAGCUAUAUGUUAGAAAUUAGAAGUGUUAUUUCUCAUCUAAUUAAUACAACACAUCUCACAUAGUUUUAUGAACUUUUAGAAUGUUGGGAUUCAAUCAAUCAAUCUAAUUUGAUUCUAACAGGCAAUCAUCAAACUUAAUCACAUGUUUUCUCUUCAUGUAAAGAGAAAUUACUGUAUAAAGAUGAAUAGAACCCCUCUGUGUUCUCAUACUCAAAAUCUUGAUGAAAACUAAGCUGUGGAAGUGUACCUGGAUUAACCAUAGUGGAAUGAUGAUGAAAAGUUGAUCAGAAGAUUGAUUUUAUGACCUUCCAAAUGUAGAGAGUCUUUUUUUUUUUUUUUUCUUCUUCUCUUAAAGUUUUAUCUUUAUGAAGUGUACAUGUUGGUUUGACUUAAGUUGCUUUCUACAAAUGGGGACCAUAACCCCUUAAGCCCCUUAUCAAAUUAACAAUAUCACUAGUAUCUACACAAUUAACCUUUCAUGAUAUCCCCUAGCCAUAUUUUUAUAUUGAUUAGACCAUUUUAAUAUUUUGGCUAAUUAUAUAAUGACCCUAACUCAUCAAAUUAUGUGAUAUAAACCCAAAAUUGCUACUAUAAAAAACUUCUAAUUUUUAAUUUAAAGCAUAAAAGUCUGAAAUAUUUACGUUGUCACCUAAGACAAAAAAUUCAUAGACUACGUUUUGGCCUAACUUAUUUAGAAGAUGAUCAAAAGUACAAAAUGAAAAUUAUUACACUGUCAAGUAUUUCAGUCUUAUAAAGUUACUUUUAUGUUUGAUAUAAAUACUUUCUUGUGACAAAAAUAAUAUUUGUUUUAAUAAUCAUGUCGUGAGUUUGCUUCUGUUUUGUAGAUUAUAUUCCCUUUUAAAAGUACUGAAACAAGAUUGAGCAAAGGUGUUCCCACUGAAAGUUGCCCUACAUUUUAUCAUAUAAGCAGUCUUUCAGAGGUGGAAACUUUUUGUUUGUAAAAACAUUUGAUAUUUGAAUACAGACUCAGACUCAUAGGUACAAGAUUAUUCUAAUUAUGCAAUUAUGUAUAUAUAUAUAUAUAUAUAUAUAUAUAUAUAUAUAUAUAUAUAUAUAUAUAUAUAUAUAUAUAUAUAUAUAUUACCAAAAGAAAUCUCUCUCUCUUGGUUAUUUAAAGAUAUCCAUAAAUUUUAAAAUGUUGUUGAUAAACUAAGAGGGUCAAUAAUUGAGUGCCUACAAGAAGAACAUAAAGACAUUUUUAUUUAACUUGAGGUCCAAUUCCUAUUAUUUUCAUGAAGAAAUAAUUCUUCACCUACAGAUCAAAUUCAUGAUUUGACAGAGGGAUCUCAAGAUGACAAAGCCUUCUCCAGCCUUGUUCUUUUGUUGGUGCAAUUGUCUUUUAUUGGACAAACUGUCAUCCCAAAAACCAUCAAGGAGAAGAUCCUUAGCUAUCUAAUAUAUUACUUUAAAUUAAUUUUUUCUAUUUGUUAUUUACUUUAAAUUUUAUUUGCAAAUUGUGGUAUAUUUUAGUCAAAAGGUGAUUAUUUCCUUUAAAUUCACAGAAAAAGUCAUACAAAUUUUGUAUAUUUUAUGAGUAUUAUAUUUUGUUUUGAAAGAAAAACUUAAUAUAUCCUGUAGAUUUUUAACAAAAAUAAUUUACAAAUAGGUUCUCUAACAUUUUGUAUUCACCGAAAGUAUAAAAGUCAUAAAAAAACCAUGAAAAGUCUUAUUAAUAAAGUGGAAAAAUCUAUUAUAAUAUCAUAAAAAGGUAAUUAAUAAAAUAAUAAUUAACAUUUAAAUUAUAUAAUUAAGAGUUUAAUGCACAUUCGCAUAUAUACUGUCAAUUUAACAUUUGUGUUAUUAUUGCUAUGGUGAUUUGUUAUUAAAUCAUUAUAUAAAAUACGUUACACUUGUAAUGUAUAACUUAUUUUCUUUUUAAUUAAAUAUUGAAAAUUAUGCAUAAAAAUGAUACCAUUAAAACUAGUAUAUUUAAUUUAUAUCUUAUAAUUUUAAAUAUUUUGGCAAGCUAUGCUAUUGGUGGUUAGUGUUUAUUUAUGGUUAAUUCGAUAACUUCUUCAUCGGUGACCCCAAUAAUAUAUAUAUAUAUAUAUAUAUAUAUAUAUAUAUAUAUAUAUAUAUAUAUAUAUCAGUCAUUAUUGAUUAUACCAUCAGUAUAACACUCUUAAUCAAUCAAUUUCUGCGAUCCUCACACAGUAAAAGUUCUCUCUCGCUUGCACCUAUUGCUCAGAUACCUUUAUCGAAUAUGCAUGCAUAUAGUUAACCUUUCAUUGUAAAUCUUUACGUUACUUACACAGUUACACUCCAUGAUAUAUACUACAAUGGCGUGUCAUGCUAUAUUAUUUGAAGAUUACCAACCAUAAAAGAAAAGAAACACCUAAAAUAGAAGGCUCAUUCAAUGGAAGGGAGCCAUGAAUAAUCUCAGCAACUAUAACGGUGUUAAACGCGAUCUCUCUAAACACACCUCCAACCACUCCCAAUAAUAAUAAUCACUGACCAAAUCUGAAAUCUCGGAGUGCAUUUCAAAAAGAAAGUAAUGACCAGUAGAGCCAUGAACGUACAAUUAGUUCCAAGCUAGGUAUUAUAAAUAAUGAGAGUAUGUGACAAGAGUAAUUCAAGCCUUCAAAUAUUUUCCUUUUUAGCUUUGAUUAGAGUGGCCUAGUUGUUGUUUUUCUCAAUGAGAAGGGUUUCCACUAUGCAUUGCGCACUUUGGCGCUUCUGUGUUCCCUUGUUGCUACUUGCUAGCUUCAGUUAUGCUCCUUUUGUUUUGGCCACUGAAAUUUCAGGUUUGUCGCUCAUCCUAUUACUCACACAUAUUCAUUUUGUUAUACAUUAUUUUAUGAAAUAUGAUGUUUCUUUGUGUUAGUCCUUAAUAAAAUAAAUUAUUCAUUUUAAUAUUUACAUUUGCCAAAACAGUAUAAUUUCUAAUCUAAGGACUUAAAAAGAUUAAAUUUAAAUAUGGGUUAAUUUUAAAAAAAAGUGUGGUAAUAUAUACCAAAAAGUAUAUACAAGUGGCCGUAGUAGUUAGUACCUAGAUAUGAUCAGGUGUAGAAGAUUAGAAUGAAAAUUUGUAUUAUUCAUGAAGUACUGUACGAAUGUCGCUGGCCUACGUUUCAAGUAAAAAUUAAGAUCUACCCUUCAUACACAAGAUUCAGCCAACGAAGGGUGCUUUUAAUUACUCUGACAGAUUUUAUUGCAUGUCUUCCGAAUUCAAUUCAAUCAUUUAUCUUGGCAUGCAGUAUAUGCGUGUGGAAUUAACUUGUGGUCUAUUGUUGAGCGUGGCUCCCAUACAUAGACCAUGCAUACUCCCCACAAAAAUAUGUUGAAAAGAACUAUGGGGAUCCAUGCCAGUACCUACCUGGUACCUAGUUUUCUUCAUUAUAUAGCUAUUAUGAUUGGCGAUGAAUUUUUCAAUAUAUUUAAUUUUGUAUUUAUAUAUUUUUUUCUCUAUCAACACUUGAAAAAUAUCAAAUUUACUGGGUAUUACAAAAGUAUUUACCGUGUUUAACUUAUAUUUUCUUGUUUCUUAUUAUGUAGGGAAUGAAGUGAGCACUGAUGGAAAGGUUUUAAAUGAAGAGUUAGCAAAACCUAAUCUACAAGGACAUGAUGAAGAAGCAAAGUUUAAAGGAUUUAUUCCAAAGCCAAUUCCCAUAGUGAAGCCUAUUCCAAAACCAUUUCCCAUCAUUAAGCCUAUUCCAAAGAUAAUUCCUAUCGCCAAACCUAUUCCUAUUCCGAUUUAUAAGCCUAUAUCAAAAUCAAUUCCCAUUAUUAAGCCUGUUCCAAAGAUAAUUCCCAUUAUUAAACCAAUUCCAAUUAUUAAACCUGUACCAAAACCAAUUCCCAUUAUUAAGCCUGUCCCAAAACCAUUUAUAGUGAAAAAGCCUAUCCCUGUUGAGUCGGAGGAAUUUCUAAAACCAAAGCCUUUCUUCAAAAAGCCUAUUCCUAAACUACCACUUCACCCUAAAUUCAAGAAACCAAUUCUACCAUCAUUGCCAAUUCACAAGCCAAUUCCA